This 149126-nucleotide long non-coding RNA is filed under the name Fragaria vesca (wild strawberry). RNAcentral describes it as "long non-coding RNA (FVES_LNC003858)". Lineage: Eukaryota; Viridiplantae; Streptophyta; Magnoliopsida; Rosales; Rosaceae. The record is from RNAcentral.
AGGGAUGUGUGCUAUCUUGUGCCGGUAUCGUCCUUUGUAUCUCUGUUCAAGUAGAGGACAGUUGUGAAUACGAAGUUGUGAAAGAGGCAGGCCUUCCUCCACUGGAAGGGUUGUAAGCUUCGGACAGCUGAGGAUGGAAAGAAGUUCAAGAGAGGUGAGGAAUUGAAAGCCCUUGCUCAGUUUCUUUAGAUUUGGGAAGCCUUCAAUUCUCAAAUUAACAAGAGAUCUGGGGAGCAGUAUCUCCGUCUCCUUUGAAUUCUCAGCAGCAGGUGGAAAUGACACCAGACCUCCAUCAUCUUCACCCCAUAGAAGCAAACGUUUCAAAGAGGCGAGUCUCUGCAACCCUUGAGAUUCCAUCAGCGCCUUACAGUUCUUGAUCUUGAGAAUUGACAGCGAUGUUAGGUUGGUGGGGAAGGAAGUUGUAGUUGUCAAAUCUUCAAAGUAAUCAAUACUCACAACUUCAAGAUUACUGGUGUGCAUCAUGUCUCUCGCCAACUGUGCCACCUCCAAUUUAUCGCAAUUUAGGAUCUGUAUCAUUCUUGGCCACACAUUCAUUCUCGGCAACGAAACAAGACUUUGACAAUCAUAAACAAUUAAUGACUGAAGAUUGGUGAGGUGGCACACUCCCUCGGGUAAGGAUUUCAGGUUUGGGCAGUCCCAGAUGUAAAUUAACUCGAGUUGGCAGCUGUCAUCGAGGAACCUCUCAGUUAUUAGCUCCAGCUGUCCACAAAACACUAUCUCAAGCUGUUUAAGAGACCUGGGUAAUUGAUUUUUGCAUAAUAAGCACAUCAAAGAGGGACAUUCAUUUAUCGUCAAACGCUCAAGACAAGAAGAAGAAGAACCGUUACCCACCUCCUCCUCCUCUUUCUCUAUUAAUGACUUUAAAUUCUCACAAUUCUCAAUCUCUAUUCUUUUUAGGCUGGGAGGAAUCUGGUAUUUUGCAAAGUGCGAAAGAGAAUCGCAGCCCUUAAUCUCUAUGACUUGGAGACAAGGUGGCAGACCAACAUCCGGAAAAGAAACAAGACUUGAACAUUUACUUAUGUGCAGCUCUUGAAGUGAUCUAAGGUGAUGCAAUCUUUCUGGUACCUUCACAAGGCUUCCACACUUGCUUAAUUCCAGACAUUCAAUAUUGCAAUCCAGGAUUUGCAAUUGCACCAACUGUUCUACUUCAAUCCCUAGCUUUUCAACAAGGAUCGAGUUGUCUUCGAUAUACAGACGACCAAGAGAAAUCAAGUGUUGCAGUAAUCUAUCCUCGUUUUGAAAGCAACAUGUAAGCUCCUCACAACGAGUGAUCUUCAACUCUUUAACAUUUUUCAAGCUUUUCAUGAACGCCUCUGUUUGGAAUCUCAAUUCUGAUACAUUUGAAAAUGUCAAACUCUCUAGUAAGUCAAACCGAACCGUACUUGUGUCGUACACCACCAUCUUGCACUUUUCAAUGAUUGAUCCAUGAAGCUGUCUGUAUUUGGAUACUGAAACAACCAAUUCCUCACAUCCAUAUAUCCUAAGCUGUGCUAAUGAAUCAAGAUUCUCUGGUAAAUCACCCUCUAAUUUGGGGCAGCCCCUGAUGGAAAGCCUUUUCAGGCAAGAGAAAACUUCAACCCCCUCACUUUGUUGGCAAGGAUACCAAUUCUUCCAAUUUUUCAGAUUCCAAAACUCAAGGGUCUCUAAAGCUUGAAACGACAAGUCACCUUCUCCAUAAAACUCAACACCAACACUCUCCACUGCAUCCAUUUCUUGUAUACAAAGUUCUUUGAGACAAGGCAACUGUCCGAAUGGUGGCAAGAAUUGACAAUGAUUACAACCUUCUAACUUUACCCGCACCAUUUUAGUGAAUGAAGGAUUCCCAAUCCAUGUUGAAAAUUUCAAUCCACCAUAACCUUUGAUGGUGAGCUCUUUGAGCUUGCUAUGAGGUUGUAACAUGUCAAGCACAAUUGCUGCAUCUUCUGUUGAGACAGUCGAAGAAGACCAUUCAAGAAAUAGGGCUUCAAGCCUUUCCUUGCUCUUUAAGUUGGCACUCCUGGCAUCCUCGACACGAAUCACAUUUUCUAGUCUUGAGAUGUGCAAUGUCCCUUGCAGAUGCAAUAAUGACUCAAUCUCUCUUACUCCUGAUCCACUACCUUUGCCAAUAACAAACUCAGGCAAUGUUUGGAGGUUAGUCAAUUGACCGAGCUGAGGAGGCAUUUCUUCCAACGAAGAUGUCUCUGAAUUGUUGAGAUGACGCAAAUUAACUAGGUUCCUCAUGCUUGUGGGCAGUGCCUUCAACUGGUGACAACUUUCCAAUAACAAUGUCUGCAAGUUGUACAGAGUUGUUGUCGAGUCUGGCAAACUUCUUAUCCCAGUGUGGGAGAGAUCAAGAUACCGUAGAUGCUUCAAUUCACCAAUUGUAUCUGGCAACUCGAUUAUUUCAUAACUUUUCAAAGAGAGGAGUCGUAAGUAUUGGAGUUUGGGCAAUAAAUCAGAAGUAACCUUCUGAGCCAGAUAAUGAUCAUAUGAAGGUGAAAGUGGUAAGAACGUUCGCAAAGAUGUAGCUUCAGAAUAGACCUCGAACUUCUUAACCCCAUCAUACUUUCCAAGAAUGUAAGACGAAUGACGAACCUUGGGCAAACAUGUACGUUGCUGCGAGUCAUAAUUCUGCAUAUCCUCCAAUCUACAACAUGAACUUCCUGCAGCCCAACGUGCCAAAUCAGUAACCAGGUCAUGCAUUAUGUAUCGCGACUCUGUUUUGCUUGAUUUUUGAAAUAAUGAUCUAGACACCAACUCUUGAAAAUAGUCACGUCCCAAAUCUUCCAUUUGCUUAUGUUCUUUGGGUUGCUGCGGAAUCAAACCUUCCGCCAUCCACCAAAGGAUCAAUUGCAUCUCCUCAAAUUCAUAAUCAUUCGGAAGUAUUCCACAGUAGGAGAAACACCGUUUCAAAGUUGAAGGGAGAUAAUGAUAGCUCAGUUUUAAUGCUGGACGGAUAUCCUCCAUCUUGUUCUGGUCUGAGUCUGAUAGUGUCCACAUCUUGUGGUCUAAUAUGUCUUCCCAUUCCUCUAGUCUUUUCCAACGUAAAAGCCCACCAAGUGUCCUUGCAGCUAACGGUAACCCAUUGCAUUUUUCUACAAUUUUCUCUUUAAGGAACUCAACAUCUUCGGGUCUGUUUUUUAACUGUGCAUGGUGCUGAAAGAGUUCCCAACAUUUAUCUGUUGACAUCGGGUUCAAGUUAUAAGGGCUCCUAUCUCCCAUCAUAUUUGCGACAUUGGCGUCACGUGUUGUCACGAUGAUCUUACUUCCAGCUGCUCCAACACGAAAGGAGGCCUGCAGUGUAGUCCAUUGACCAUAGCUACAAGUGUGCCAGACAUCAUCAAGAACAAUUAAAAACUUCUUGCCAGCCAAUUCCUUACUCAACUUCUCCAGAAUUGAGUUAAGCUCCUUCAAUUCCUGAACUGGAGAGGACGUGACUGAUUCCAAAACGGCUGCUGCCACCCUUACAAUGUCAAAGUCGUCUGACACAGAUACCCAUCCUUUUGGGGAAAACUGGCCAGUUGCAGCAUCGUUGAAUACAUGUUUAGCAAGUGUUGUCUUUCCUAGUCCUCCAGUACCGACAAUACCAACCACAUGAUAAUUCUCUUGUUUUGAAAGCAAAUCAUAGAGAAUCUUAGCCUUUGCUUCAUCCCUUCCCAUCACAGGUCCAUCAAGUUGAUAAGUAGUGGGUGGCAUUUUCCAUGGCUUUUUAGACACUCCAAGUUUCUUCAAACCAAGCUGCUUCUCUCGAGUGGUUAUCUCCUCAAGUCGAUCACUUAUCUUCUUGAUUGCUGAGUUCAGACCAAAAUUGGACUUAACUUUAGAGAGUGAGCUCCAUAACUUGCUUUUGCUUCCUUGUUGUCUUUCUAUCCUCCGCUUCAGCAUUUUAGUAUCAAAUAUGUCCAAUACAUCUUGAAGAUCGUAAGACAAAUCUACUGAGAUCAUCCAGCCACUCUUUACUGCUCUUCGUGUUAGUUGCUUCUCCUCAGCAUCACUCAGCACCGCUUCAAUGGCCCUCAACGUUCUAGUCCAUUUCUCCAGCACCUUUUUGUCGACCCCCUUAAGGCGUCCGAAGUACUCAGUGAUCUCUUGAUCCGCCAACUUCUCAAGCAGCACCGGGAGGAAUGCACCAAGAACAGCCUCCCCCAUCGUUUCUUUUUUGUACAAUCGAUGUAUUCAAAACUGCAGAAAGUGAAGCUAGUAGUUAAUUAAGGUACAAUUAUAGUUGAUGCAUGCAUGCUAGAAAAUAAUUUAAACAAUGAAAUGGGUGUUAAAUCUGAUUCGUUUCCCUUAAUUUGCAAGAUCGGAAAACAUGCACUUACAUGAAAAGUUGAUUAUUUCUUCUGUGAGAUCACAACUAAAACACUUGCAACGUUAAUUCUUGCACAAGGUGAUCGGCCAAGUCUCUGAGAUCAUGAUCAUGACAGACUUUCUUGUUGCAGAUCGAUCUGAUUCCAGCUAUACUGCACAAAUUAGUAAGCGGAUCCAGUUUAAUUAGUUCAUAAUGAUAAUCCAACAUGAAUAUAACUGAUUAACAAAAUGAAAUUAGUAACGGAUUCAAGAAGAGCUAGCUUACAUGGAUCAAAGGAUAUCUGAGUCCAAAAUCAAGAAGCCCUUUCUUCUUUAGAUGAAUAAUGCAUACAGUGCGGUGUGUAUAGAUCAAGUAUGAAUGGAUAGAAGCUCCUCUGGCGAAAAGUCUAGAUAUGAAAGCCACUUGCACUUUCCUAAAAGUCGAUGAAACAAAGGUGAGCCACACAACAGGAACGACGAGAAAAGGCAAUGGAACACAAAGGUUUCACCCUGCCGACGCCGAAGUUACUAAUGUUUGUGUUCUACUGUGACUGUUGAUACUUGCUGUACAUGCAUCUAAUGUUUUCAUCUGUUUUUUCUGUUUUUUUGUUCUACUGGAUAGGGUAAAACUAUUUUUUUGUUCUACUUGUUAUAGAACAGACGACGACUAUGUUUUGUGAGACUAAUUACGCUUAUGGUACCAAUUCAUCAACGAAGAUGCGUUUUUGGCAAUAAAACAUAUUUGGACCACCGUUUUUUGGUGAAUUUGAAUAAUAUUAUUGGAUAGUCUUCACAGAGAUGGGCUCAUGGGCAAUAUCAUUCAAAACCAUACAAUUAUUCGAAAAUUUGAAAUACAAAUUCGACGCUCUACAAUAUAUGCAGGUUGAGCACAGGGCUCAAAACAGGCACAACAUUGGAAUGCCACCACCAUGGAACUACUCAAUCGUCAAGAGAGUUUUACAUAUACAUUUGUACCUAAAUGAGAGCUGGGAAUUGGUUGCAGAACCAACUAGCACAUGUAGUAGACAAACAAGAAGUUUCUCAUACAUACGUUGAAGAUAGAUAAGCCCUCACAAGAAAGGAUCAUUCACCAUGAUAAAGUAAAACAUCUGAACCAAAAGAGAAAAGUUCAACAAAUUAGAACAAGUUAUACUUGAUAUGAUAGCAAAGAAGCGACUUGUGUUCAACGCAAAGCUACAAUUGAAAUGAGCAUGGAAACAUGGAAAGAAAACAGUAGAAAUGGCCAUUUAGUAAAGGGAUUGGAGACGUACCAGCAUCACUUGUUUUGUUUAGCAACGGUCCUUUGAACAGUUGAAACUCCAUCCACAAACUUUGUCCGGAAAAGGACAUUAGCAUUAUUGAACAUGCCUUCUUUCAGUGAAACCACAAUGAACUGAAAAAAAUGUGAUAAACAAGAAAAUGGGUAAGUAGAUGUCGCAUAUUAUCUUUAUAAGUUAUGCCGCAAUCUGCUCUUUUGUAGAAUGAGGUUUGAAUUACAAACUCCAGAAUACCAGACUCUACAAACAGCCAAGGGACGACGAUCAGUCAAAGAGCAGUGAAUAUACCAGAUCACAACUAUGCCUAAAACGCUUUCUGAACUUUUUGGGAUUUGUAAAAGUCAGAUAGCAUUACUUAUUUACUUGCACAAUGAAGGAAAAGAAGUUGUAUGGAUUACUGGAGGAGAAGAUGGCACAUGUCAGAAGAAGAUUCCAGCUAGGUAAAAUGUAAAUAACCAGAUGGCAGAAUCCACCGACCUGGGAGUGUGGGAAAUGACUUUUGAUCAUUCUUCCAAUAUUCUGGGUGUGACUUAGAUCAAGAGCUGCAUCAACCUGCAAGUGAAUAACAAGAUGCUGAAAACUGUUUCAUCUUAACAACCAGAGAUCAAUACAAUAUAAUGCAACCCACAUUAAAGCUUUGCAGAGUCUACAGAUGCUACAAGUAUCCCACUAGAUUACUCCAAAAAGAAAAAAAAGUAAAACUUUGAAUGACAACUUCCACAGGUGGAGUAGCGAUGUCAAACAAAGAAACGACACAAAAAAAAAGAAGCUAAAACCCAGGUAAAUAAGAAACGAGCCGUCCAUUAAACACAUAGGAACAACAGAGCACCAAUGUUGUAGAAAUGUUUUGGUAGAGAAUCCACAGCAGAAUCUUAUAGUUUAGAAUUUCUAAACCCAAAUUGCACCCAGUUCAGUGAAAAAAGUCAAUAAACCCUAAAAGAAAAGUUAAGCAUACCUCAUCCAGUAUAUACAGAGGAGCUGGUUUGAAGAGAAGCAAUGCCAAGAUCAGAGAAAGUGCCAGCAGGGAUCGCUGACCUCCACUCAGUUCUGACAAAGACUGUUUCCAAUCACCCCCAAAUGCAACACACACCUCAAGGCCAUCUAGGAAACUACACCCUUCAGGAGGUUCAAGCUUUCCCAUUGUGCCGGGUAAAAGGGUAGAAAAGAUAGACCGUAAGUCUCUGAAGGAAGAAUUUUUUUAUCAGUUUCAGUUUGGAGUCAAAAAUAAAUAGCAUUGGAAGUAUAGAGAAGUUGCUGAAAAUCACAAAGUCAACUGAGAAUGACUCACUUGUUAACUUUGACCCAAGUAACAUUCAAUGUUUCCUUCUUUUUCUCAUCCAGCUCUUCAAUCACCAUCUUGAUCUUAGACUUGUCAUUCUAAGAAGGAAUUCUAGAAGUAAAAGAAAAGGAAAACAGCUCACAGACAGAUCAAGGUUCACCAACCUCAAUGAUGUUCUUCUUAGACAUUAGGUCAUUGUACUCGUCUUCUGCUUUCUCAAACAUUGCCAUAACUUUCUUAUUCACCCUUUUCUCAAGGCUACAAAAGGUAUAAAAAAAAAGUCAUCUCUCAGCCUCAUGGAAGGAACUAAUAACAAACUUCACAACAUAUCAAUUACGGAGGGAGCAUCUUAGUUAAACAACUCCCGUGCAGUUUAUUUUCCAUAACAACGUUAUGUAAAUUGGAUUUAAAACCAUAAGACUUCAUGAAAUUCAUAACUAAGUUUAUUUUAUGUUUGUUUUAUAUAUAAGGAUGGCGAACAUAGAAAUUCUUUUACGAAUUACAUUUAUAAUAGUAUGAGAUCCAAAAUUCGAUAGGUGAUUUAAGCAGGCCAGCCAAAUGAUUCACAAGAACCACUAUCUAACAACAAACUUCAUCAAACAAGUUGUUUCAGAUAAAGGAAGCUCAAUCAGACCAAAAAGAAAAAAAAAACUCAAUUAGAUGCCACGGACGAUAGUUCAAUUAAAUCUCAGCAAUAAUAAAACAUACCUUGAGAUCCUUUGAAGCUGACUGGAGUAGAGCUUUUGUCUCUUUGAUCUUCUUUUCCAAAUCUUUCAGCCUUCCCUCCCGACUGUUGUCGUGCUCUUUGAUUGAUUUCUCAAGAAAUGACACUUUAUUCACACAAUCUUCAUGCAAAAGUUUCUUUUCUUUGGCUGCAGUAUUAGCUUCUUGUAGCUCUUGCUCAAUCCUCUUUACUAAUUCACCAAGCUAGAUAGCAGAAUAAAAAAUUAGGAAAAAUUCCCAUCUGCCCUAAUUUUAAAAAAAAAUUUCCCGCUAAUAAAAUAAGAAUCUAAAAUUCCCACUAACCAUAACACUUCUAAUGAUUUAUUCCCUCUAACAAAAUUUUCAGCUUUUCUAUUAUUUUUAUUGACAAAACUGACCUCCCCUCCAUUCUCUCAUCUCUCUCUCUCCCCCCCUCCCCACCGUGCUUGUGCUUCGCCAGAGCCUUCUUCCCGGUGCGAAUUCACUACAACGCCGCCUCUACCGGCUCUCCCUCCAUAUCUCCUCCACCGCCACCACCUCUCAACAGCUCCUCCCUCCACUCUCCAACCAUCGCCGUCAAACAUAUCGAAAUCACCACUCUCGAAAAUCUCUGUGUGGAGAUCGUCUUCAAAGUUGAUCACCUAACGCCGGUAUGGAUCUAACGACAGUGGUGGAUCUGACGACGUCGAGAUCUGAUCGUGCUCCGAUCCGCUCCGCCGUUGUCACCGUCUCUUGCCGUAAAUCUCAGAUCCUUCCAGGCAUGGACUUCUGAUUGAAAACGCUCUUAACGAGGUGAGUAGAGAGUGAGGUGAAUUGGUUUUCAGUGCCACUUCGAUUCUGUGUUUGAGAAAAUGUGAUGGAAUUGUUAAAUCUUGUGGUUUAGUAGUAUUUUCGGCCUGAAAUGAGGGUUAGAUUUUCAAUUUUGAGUGGUGGAUUAGUGUAGAACGGAUCGGUUAUUGUUUGUAGGGAUAUUGUUUGAAGCAUGUUUAGGUUAGAUCAACCUGAAAUGGUAGAUUUUUGUGACUGGAAAUGGUUGUGACGGAGGGAUGCUCUUCAUGGAGGAGUCUGGGUGGUGGGUUCACUGCUCCAAUUUGAAGAACGACCAUUAUUUUUGGGGUUGUUGAACUUGAAGCAUUUAUGGAAGAGGGUCGUUUAUGCAUCAAAAAGAGAUCAUGGAUCUCUCACAUGGGAGUCGUAUUUGUAGUAUUUAUUGAUGGAUUUCUUAGGGAAAAUGGAGGAUUUCAUUUCAUGCAUAUAUAAUAUAUGGCACUAUGGCAGAUAACCACCAAGACACUAAGCGUGGAAUAUUGCUUUAUGGUCUUUGAGCCUUUGUCUAUGUAGACACAGACUUCUAAUUCACCAUUUGUCCUAGUAUUUUAGGGUAUAUGCAUGUAUGGUGUAACAUGCAAGUUUUGUUUUACUUUGUUUAAGACCAUAAUAGUUGAUUUUUAGUACACGACUUCAAGAAUACAUGAAUUAUUCUUUGCAUAGUUGAAUGUAUUAUAUAUUGAUUGUGAUAGUAGUUUAUAAAUUGCGAUAGAUCGACUUCCUAUUGUCUUUAUACAUGGCGAUAGACUUCCAAUUGUCUCUAGUAGACUAUGUACUACCCCCAAUAGGAGGUCCUAUUGCCCCCAAUAGGUGGUCCUAUUGCCCCCAAUAGGUGGUCCUAUUACCCCCACUAUGAGAUCCUACUGACCCUAGUAGGAGGUCAUACUGACCCAAUAGGUGGUCCUACUGCCCCCAUUAGGAGGUCUUACUGCCCCUAGUAGACCCUAGACGAACCCCCUACUGCUCCUAAUAGACCCCCGAAGAACCCCCUACUGCCCCUAAUAGACCCCCCGAUGAACCCCCUACUACCCCCAGUAGGAGGUCCUAAUGACCCCAAUAGAUGGUCCUACUGCCCCAGUAGGAGGUCCUAGUGGAGGAAUAUUAUGUUCUUUAUGUAUGUCCUAUUGUCCUUUAAUUAGGGUGUGAAGAGUCACUUGUUUUGGUGUAGAUUUGGAUAGAAGUUAUCUUCUCAGUCUUACAUCUUAUAGAAUAUUAUAGACUUCACUUCUUCCAUUUCAAAACUUUUCUUAAUACAUGUAUACCUUAUAUCUUAAGUUUAAGGAUCCUACUGCCCCCAGUAGGAAGUCAUACUGCCACUACUAACCUACUGACCCUAGUAAGAGGUCCUACUGAUCCUAGUAGGACCAGUAAGAGGUCAUAUUGCCCUAAGUAGGAUGUUGUAUUGCCCCCAAUAGGAGGUCUUACUACCCCAAUAGGUGGUCAUACUGCCCUCAGUAGGAGGUCCUAAUGACCCUAAUAGGUGGCCAUAUUGCCCCCAAUAGGGACAUAUUAUAAGUGACUAAAGCACAACGACCCCUGGAGUCCGGUCAACGGUCGUCGGAGCCCGGUCAACCACCCUCGGAACCUAGUCAAUGGUCCCCGAAGCCCGGUCAACGGUCCUCAGAGUCUGAUCAAAAAUUGUCGGAGUCCCGUCAACAUCAUUGGUCGUGGGAAUCCGGUUAUAAAAACUUUAUUUUAUAAUAGACUAUUAUAAUGGUCUAUUGUAGUUUAUUUAAUUCAUUAAGGGUAUAAUUAUCUUUUUGUUCUUAUAAUGGUCUAUUGUAGUUUAUUUAAUUCAUUAAGGGUAUAAUUAUCUUUCUGCUCUUAUAAUGGUCUAUUGUAGUUUAUUUAAUUCAUUAAGGGUAUAUUUGUCUUUCAGCUAUUUAAGUUGACUCUUGGGAAUUUUAAAAUCUGAUUUUGUUAGUGGGAAUAAAAUUCUUAAAAUUAGGGCUAGUGGACAUUGUCCAAAAAAAUUAAGAUUCAUGUCAUAAAUCCAGUAAACACAGUCCGCAGCAUAGUUCUGAACUGAAUAUGCUAAAAGAGAAAAGAAAUGUGACAAAACCUUAUGAUGCUCAUUUUGUUCAGCCCUGCCCUGAAAUAAUUUAAGGUCAUAUGAUUUGAGUUCUAACUAUUGUUUAAGCUCCAUGAACUUCUUGUGAAGAGGCUGAAUUUCUCUUAUCUGCAAAUAGAAAUACAUUAAUGAAAUUGCUAUGGAAAUGAAGUUCCCAAUGACAUAUAAAACAGCCACACUAUGAUUUUUCAAUUGCAUAUAGUGUAAUAUGGAAUUUCAGUAUCGUAUUGAGAGAAAAUAAGAUUUCAUAGGCAACCUUAGCUUCAAUCUCAGUCAACUUUUUCUGAUGCUCAGAGAGUUUUAGCUCAGCUUCAGCCAGCUCAUGACGCUGCCUUAACAGAUCACCCCCACCCCUGUGACAGGAAAUUAUUGCUUUAGAAGGAAAACUAGCUAGAUGUAUAUGUACUUUGAAUUGAUAAAUGAUAAGGACAACACAAGUACGGAAAAUUAGUCAGAGAAAUCUAACAACAGAUAUAUUCUAGACGAAGGGAGAUAAAGCAUGAAAUCUGAACUGGAGGAAAAAGAACAGUGGCAUACUUGCGGCUUCCACCAGUCAAAAGACCACUGGGCUGAAAGAUAUCACCUUCAAGAGUGACACUAGGGGUACGAACUUCCCUGUUAAAAGCAACCUAGGAAACAUUCAUAGAGAAUCAGAUUGGGUCAUGCCGCUUUCCAGUUUAGAAUACAAGUGUUUAAAAGGACAAUACUAUAUAAUCAGCCAACAGCACGAUCAAAUCCACCUCUCACCUCCUUUGCAGCAUCAAUAGUCUUGCACACAAAGGUUGAACCGAAGACAUAUUCCAUAGCACUCUGCAGUAAACAUUAAAUGGUAGGUAAAGUGAGCAAUUAUCAUAUUCCGGAGGUCUGUAAUUUGUUUAUGAUCGAAAGAUACCCUCAGGUGCUCAUCAUAGCCAACCAAAGAAAGUGCAAGUUCUGCGUUUUCUCUGCCAACCUGAUCAUAGAAAUCAAGGUUAUUAGUAUAAUAAGCCACACCAUUGGGAGGAAAGAAAAGCCUAAAACGAGGUCGGGGCAGGACAAACUAUUGGCAAAAGAAACUAACCAAUUUAGCAGCAGCAUUUUGAACCCUAGGAGGAACUGUGUGAGCUUGAAUUUUGUUCAAGGGUAUGAUUGUUACUCUUCUUCGAAGAUUGCCAUUCUGAAGAAGUUGUUUUCCAGUACUUUCUGUGUCUACGACAACAUUAAACAACUUUCCACCAGCAGUGACCUAGAAAUCGAAGGUAUGCAAGUUAAUACACAUUCUAUAAGUCAUGAGAUGAAAUCAUUUGUGAUAAAUGCAUUUUCACCUCUAAGGCAGUCAUGGUGGAGCUAUCCUUCACUUUGAUAAGUUUUGCAACUACACCCUUGACCUUAGACCUAACAAAAUUGUUCACAGGAUCUCUAUAAGAAAAGUCAACAUUUCCAAAGUGUACUGAAAGAUUACGCAUUUAAUCCUUCAACUUCUGCACACACUCCAACUCAGAUGAUCGGUCCUGAAUAGAAUAUUCAUUUAGAGAAGGAUCCAAAUUAAGAGUUAUAAACUGUCUAGAUGUAAAAAGAAUGAUCAAACAGACAGCAUGUUAACCUUUUGCAAAGCUUCCAUCUGGCCCUCCUUAUAUGGAAGAGACUCCAGUGCCAAUUUAACAUUUUCAACAUCUGUUUUCCUAGCCUUCAGCUCACUCUCUACAGCAACAGCUUCUUCACGCUUUGACAUUAGUUGAGAACUUUUCUCUUUCAACUCCUUUUCACAGUGACGAAUUUUUGUUUUCAACUGUUCCAGUUCUGUUUCAGCACUCCCUACAGCUCUUUUGGCAUCACCCAAUUGAUAUUCGAGGCAUUUAUCCUCAUUUCCACUACUCUUGCCAGCGAUUACACCCUGGAAACAUUAAUGAAUCAAAAAUCAUAGUGAUUCCAAGAGUAACUCGCACACCAUGCAAGCCUAACAUGUGACUUAGAUGAACAAGGUAUAGGCAACACAUAGAUACACUAUCUACCUGGUACUGAGUCUCAUACUCAUUCAGACUAUGAGAAAGUUCCUCCGCUCUCUUUUUCAAAUCAGCAGCUCCUUCUUCGGCAUUUCUUAUAGCACAGUCCCUAUCUUUUAGAGAUUGUUUCAUGUCUUCAAUGUUGCUAGCGAUCUGACAACAGAGAGAGGCAAAUUCUAUGUUACCAUAACCAUUUCAGACAAAGCAUGUAGCAAAUGAUUACAUAACAGACUUGAAAGAGCUUGGUGUCAUACAAAAGAAAGCAGUAAGUAAUACAAUAUAUCAAUUACCAUUCUAGCAUUAUCAUUUUCAGUAUCAAGAUUGUCCUUCAUAUUAUCCAGUAUAGACACUUCCCUCACUACAUCUUGAGAAAGCGCAUCUACUUGGUUAGACAGAUUUUUCACUUCUCCACCCAUACUAGCCUCCUUUUCAGCAGUCAACUUGGACACUUGUGUUUCCAUUUCCUUUAUUGUUGCCUGCAUCUUUCUGGUAUCAUCAUCAACCUCAGAAAUUGGCCUUCACUUGUUCCACCUCAUAAACUGCACUGUCCCUUAUCCUCUCCGCUUGAACAUAUUCAUAAGCAAUGCAAAACCUCUUGAGCCGAUCCAAGUCAGCAUUGCCAUUAGCCCAUUGCAUAUACUGUGUCCUUUCUCUCCUCAACUUGUCCAAUGCAGGCAGUAUCUCAUGGUCCAGAAGCUUAUUUAUCUCAUCAACUUUACUCUGCUUCUUCUCAAGUGUCUUAAGAGCCGCUUCCUUUUUGGUCUCAUACAUUCUCGUCCCGGCAGCCUCUUCAAGCAUAGACAAAAUCUCGGGCGGUUUCAUAUUCAAAACCUUGGUAAUUCGGCCUAGCAUAAUCAAAAAAUGUGGAUUAUUCACAUUGAGCUGCACCGAAUGAAAAAGAUUCUGGACCUGACUCGGCUGCGCAAGUUUCCCGUUGAUCAAGUACUUGUUCCUCCCACCAACCACAAUCUGAUAUAGCAACACCAACGAAUUCGUAUCACACACUCAAUAAUCAGAUUCAUUGAUAGAUUCCGGUUGCAAUCAGAAGCGUUACAACCACUCCACUAAUACAGCAACUUAUAACUAAAUUCAACCUAAGAAAUAGUGAUAAAUUAAGCAAGAAACCCUAAAUCUCAACUACUUAUCGGCUUAACUAAACUCCGGUUGCGAUUAAUCUAACUUCUCGUAACAUCACUACAAUUAAUUACUUAAAUUCAACUUCAAAACAGUAAGAAACCCCCAAAUUCAACAUCAAAAACGACAUCAAAAUCUCACAAACGACACACCUGCCGCGUGACCGUGAGUUCCGAAUGGGCCUCAUACCCGAGGGGACUGCGCGCCCGGUCCGAAUUAUCGAAGACAAUCGACACAGUGGCCUUAGUAAUUCCUGCCUGGCCUUGCUUACACACCAGCUCCUGCAGAUUGGCGGCCCUCACUUGCUGUAAGUUGGUGAUGCCCAGAACGAAGCAAAUGGAAUCGAGAAUGUUGGACUUACCCGACCCGUUUAGCCGGUUAUGGCGUUGAAAAACGGGUCGAAUCCCGGCACCACCUGAUAUUUUACUCACUUAGUCAUGUGCCGCGCACGUGACCAGCCAAAUAGGUCUAUAUAUACUCCUCUCCUUUGAGAGCUUUUGCUCAGUUUCUGGGGCGAGGAUUUGUUUCUCCUUGCAAUGAGCCGUGCACUGGAAAACACUUUAGCGUUGCUUCAAUCCAAGAUGCAAAGUGUAUUGACAACACCACCACCGGGCCGCUACCAGCAGCGACCAUUGGAGCAGUCAUCAACUCCAAUUUCUGAUCCUAAAACUCAAAUUGAGAUUGUUCACUCUCAUCUCUGGAAGGCUCGAAGCAAGCAAGUCGCUCUCAAGUCGACUGCGGUCACCGGAGGAGUGAAGAAUAGACACCGAUCUAGGCUGGGAACCUACGAGUCCCUUACGACUGACACACACCCGAAGCGCAAGGUCUCUUUUCUACGCCUUGUGGCUGAAAUAGCUCAAGAUGUCAAGGUUGAUUGGAGGUCCCAGAGCUUAGUUAUGCCUUCUCUGCUAGGCAGCACUGUGUCGACUCAAGUGAACAACACUCAUGCAUCAUUUUGUUCAGUAAGCAAUACUGGAACUCUCAGUUUCGUGAAUAAUGGUUGUGGGUGCUGUUGAUUCUGUGUUUGUUGGGUCAAUUCCUGUUGGUGUUAGUGUUAGGCAUGAUAAUCAGGGACCAAAUUCGGGUGAGAAGGUGAGAGAAUGUCAUGCACUCCACCUGUUUGAUGAAAUGCUGCAUUCAAAUGAGUUGGGUAAUGUAGGAAGGACUGUUGCAGCUCUUACGAGUAUUCGAGAUAAAAGGUGGGGGACUUGCUCACCAACCUUUAGAAUAUGCACUUGGGGUGAAUCGUGCAAAAGAGAAUGAAGGUGUUGACAUGAAGGCUAAUCAACUUGAGGAUGGCAAUGCUAUAUCGGAGAUAGGUUUUAGCUCUCAACUUAUUCAAAGCAAUGAAUCACUUAAGAUUGUUUCCAGGGCAGAGGUUCCAAUUGAUGGGAUUGUAAUUACUGGUCAAAGCCAUGUGAAUGGGAGUAUGACCACACAUGAGGCAAGGGCCAUUUGUGAAAGAUUUGGUUACAGGAUAAUUGGUGGCACCAUGAGUGAUGGAUGCUUACAGGUUAAGGCAAUCCGUCUUUUUGAGGUUGAUAAAGAAAUUGAUGAAAAUGUGGGAUUAAGUCAGCCUCGAGUGAAGGGAGAGAUCAAAAUGAAAAUGAUGUUAAACAGGAUUUGAAGAUUUUCCAGUCAAGCUAUUUUAGUGGAGGCAUUGUAGUUUUUUCGAAUAUUCAUGAGCUGGAAAAUUAUUUUCAACUGGAUGCCUACAACAGCAAGUCCUUUUUAGGUCUUACGCCCCCUUGAAAGAGUUAUUAAACAGGUGUUGUGGAAGUGUGAAGGGUGAAUGGGAUAACUUACUUGCUGGUGGUUCAUCUGUUACAUUGCUCACCAAGGAUAUAUGUAAUGUUCUGUGGGUGAGUUCUGAUGCGCUAAAGCUAAUCCAAUAUGGGUUGAAAACUGCAGUUGUUUUUGUGAUGGAUAAACCACCUGAUAUUACGAGCGAAUUCUAAAAGGGUACUGGAGUUAAUAUUGGAGAAGUGGAAAUCAAGAGGUACUGUCGAAACAAUUAUUGGCUUGCAGUGUUGCUGUUGUGAGGCAGAGGAGAUUCUACUCUUUUGCAGGGAAGUGUUCAACGUAAUUGGUGAAAUGACUCAAACCACCUCAUUGUCCCAGGUAUCCGCUAUAAAUUUUCAAGAUGAUAGAAGAGAUUUUGUGAGUUUCUUGUGUGACAUGAUUAAGCUCUAUGUCGUGAUCUUUAGUGCUUUUAUUGAUAAUGCUGGAAGUUUGCUUCAUGCUGAUAUAUUCGAGAUAAAUGGAUCUAUUGCUAGCUCUCUUGUUGAUAUGUAUGCCCACUGUGGAGUAGAUAUAGAAGAGACUGUUUUUCACUUGAUGAUAUCCAGGGGUUUAGGGAAUAUGGGUCAGAUUAUUAGUUCAGUGGCUGACUCCUCAAAUAAGAACUCAUUUUCUGUUGAGGUUGUUGGGGUUUUUGCUUGGGAUGGUGAUCCAGGGUCUUCACACAUCAAAAGGGCCAAGGCUGAGAUGUCAACUAUUUGUGUUUUGGACUAUGAGAAUGGGUUUAGUGCAACAGAAGUGCCCCAGUUUGGCGGAAUUGAUUUUGGCCAAGGGUUUUCAAGUGAUGAAAUGCAUAAGUCUGGAUUCAUGUUAUAUGGGUUGGGGUCAAUGAAGAAUUUUGCUACUCCACAUGAAGUUAUUGCUGUCUCUUGGAAUGUUAAUUUGCUGGCAGCAUAUGUCAAGUCUGGAUGUAUAUAGUGGCCAUCAAUUGGGGCUGAUAACACAUAUGUCAUCUCAUUCUCAAAUGUGACUUCAUGGAAUCACAUAUUCUGUUGCUAUUUCCAGAAUGAGAUCAACAUGGAGGUAAAACAUAUAAUUAAUAGCAUACAAGAAGUUGUUGUUUGCUGGAACUAUAUGAUAGCAGGGAAUUCACUCAAUAUCAACAUGAGGUGAUUACCAUGCAAAUUUCCUAUGCUACUAUACUGCUGAGUUGCUGUGCAAAGCUUGCUUAUUCAUCUCCAGGGAAACAUGUUCAUGUCUGGUUACAUUUAACAAAAUUUGGAUAUGUGAAUGAUGCAUGCCUUAGUUGAGUUUCAUGAUCAAAUGUCCCCACGAUACAAGUCAAAGAUAAUGAAGUAUCUCAGAGAGCAUCUGAAAUCAUCAAGUGAGCUCUUACUUUCUCCUCGUGUGAUUCAACUCUCUUUGGUGGAAUCUACUUAUCAAAGUAAAUUGGUGAUGACUUUAUCCACUAGUUUAUUGGAUGAGCUUUACAACACAGGAAUUGGAUUCAGCCAUAGUGCAACAUCCAUGCUAGCAAUUGGAAAUGGUUCUAUGCUUGUGCUAUUGCAACUGGUUUGGUUGAUGUUAGAAAAACUUUUCAAGUGUGAGCACAAGGAAAAUGUAUUUACCAGUUUCGAGCUACUGUUGACUAACCAAUUUAUCAUAAAGGCUCUUGGGUUCCAGCAAAAGCUCUUUAUUCUUAUUGGUCUACUAGUGACAGAGAGUUUACCUUAUGAUCUAAUCGUGAUAUGGGGUGAUGAAUGGUUUUUGUCAGGAAAACACUAUUGUUUUCUUGGAUAUGUGAAUGAGGUGAACAACUGUUCAUUCAGGUUGCUUGACAAGCUCAAGGCUGAGCGUAAGUGUAAUAAAACCAUUGAUAUCACGCUGUGGAAUUUUGAGACCACCAAGUACUACACUGACUUGUUGCUCCCAGACAUCCUGAUUUCAUCAAGGACAUGAUUACUAGUACUUCCAAGGCUGAUAAUGCUAUCCUCAUCAUUGACUCCACCACUGGGGGUUUGGAAGCUGAUAUCUCGAAGGAUGGGUUAGCCUGCGAGUACACUCUGUUCACUUUCACUCUUGGUGACAAGCAGAUGAUCUAUUGCUGCAACAAGACUUCAUGGGAUGCCAUACUCUCUUGCAGGUGGUUAUUUGAGCUCCAAUUAUCCAGCAGGGUACUUCUCUUAUGCUCAUAUGAUUCUUUCCAAAUACACAUCAUGGAACCGUUGCUGCAACAUGCUUCAGUUUUUUCCUGAUAACUUGUGGGGCGGUAUUUGAAGAUCUAUAUUUUUGGGUGCUGUGUAGUCUAGACUAUAGUUGGUUAAAUUGCAAUGUCUCUUUGAUAAUUGAAACUUGAGGUCAAGUUUGUUAAAGGGGUAUGGAUUGUCAUGAUAUUUUACUCAUUUAGUCAUGUUAUGAUGUUUUUGGGUGCUGUUUAGUCUAGACUAUAGUUGGUUAAAUUGCAAUGUCUCCUUGAUAAUUGAAACUUGAGGUCAAGUUUGAGAGCUUUUGUUCACUGUCAAUGAAAAUAUCAGCAUUUUAAUUUCUUUCAUUUCUGCAUUUCUUUGCUUUUCUCUCUAGUUAGGGCUAAUACCCUAACACCACCAUCCGCGUCGCGUAGGACUUGAAUCCUUCCAAGGUCACCUCCUUGAUGUACAUAGCUGCGCUCACCGGAGAGAUGCGGGCGCUAAUCGGUGGCCGAUUUUGGAGAGAUUUAGGGUCGGUGGUUGGAUCGAAACCCUAGAAAUUUGAGCUUCUGGUUUUUGGUUUUGGGAACUUGAAAGUCUAAAAUGAAAUGGUUCGAAUUUCUUUUUGUUGUUUUCCGCUUUUUUGGGUGGGUUCGAAUUUUUAACCCUAGACAAAGGCGGGAAAAGACAGAUAUAUUUGGGCUUUAUCUAACAGUGUAUGAGCUUUAAACUCAUGAACGAUGUUGUUUUGUAACGCAGGAUUUCGAUUUUAAAUUCGCAGUUUUCCCAGUUUGAAAACUCAUUAAAAACGAUCGGGUGAAGAUUUUUCAAGUUCGUCUUAAAGAUCAUGAUUUACCGAUAUAAAGAAUUUGGUGAACAUGUAAGAAUAUGAGAUUUUUGUCAAAAAAAAAACGUGUGCUACAAUCCACAAUACAAUUUCAUAUGGAUAUCAUGAUUUCGAACAAUUUCUUGUUUUCUUAGAAAAAUCUCUGCAGUUGGUUCCUAUUGUAAAACUGGUGUUUAACUGAAGCAAUUUCUACGAUAUAGAAGAGUCAAAACUUCUUUUUCUUAGACAGACUGGUUCAGUACAACAUGGUACACUCGGCAUUGUACAUGUUUCUAUAGUCUGUAUGUAUGAAUAUCUACUCACCUCAGUUUCUCUUUUACAACACUAAAUGACUGCAUAUUUCUCUACAUACACAAGAAUCAAUAAUGCCAUUUUGGUCUUUCUUCCUCUUCCUUUUCGGUCAACUCCCGGUACUGAUACCACACUGCUCCAGACUUACCCACUGGGAUUGGAGACCUAACAAAUAUUUCGACUAGCUUGGGAACAUGCACAGCUAAAUGCAGUUCCCUGCAGUUUUUUCUGCAUUUGAAUCAGAACUUCUUAAUAAUCUGCAAAUAGGUUCAAUACUAGUCCAACCUAAGCCUGAUAUAGCCGCAUCACAUGCUGGCCUGCAUACAAGGAAAAGAGAAGAAUUCUCAUAUUGAUUAACUAACUAACUUUAUGGAAAUAUCAGAAUUGCGAUACUCAUAUGGAUGAUUUACCUUUGCACAUCUUCAACUUUUAUUUGCAAUUGACGCUGAGAGUCGAGACCUCUCCAUUCAUCUGCUCUUUCUUUCCCAGUUGGAGGUGUCAGUAAGACUCCAACGUGUUUCUGCAACAUGGUAAAAGGCACAUUACAAUCACACCAAUCAAUUUAAAGAGAAAAAUAUCACGCACACCUUUAAGGCCGGAAUGGUAUCACAUUUUCGUAGUGUCAGUAACAUAAAAGGGUUCACUUUAAUUGCUUUCAAAAUAUUUUAAAUGCUUCAUAAGUCAGCUGUACUUGGGAAAUAAGAAACUAUGAAUCUCAAGUGGGACCUUGAUUACCUGGUAAAAUUCAUCAGCCUCAUCAGUUGGUACCAUAUGAAUCUGAAGACUCUUUGGCCCAUAAAAUGUUAAACAUGUCUCAGGGAGAACCUGAAAUUACCAAUAUUUGAUUACUCAGGAAACACCGUAUAUGCAUCAGCCAGAUAAAGAUCGUACCUGAAGCUACAAGGCCAAACCAAACCUUUAAGACAUCUACUCUGAGAAGACCUCCCCAGAAUAUUAAAUAGCCAUUCAAAUCAUUGGAAUUGCCUUGCCUUGUUGUUCCACUUCCAGAAACCUGAGAAUUCUGGAGGGAUAAGAAACAGUCAACAACUCAAAGAUACCAAAGGAAAAAACAAGAGAAAGAAAAACAAUUAACUUACAGGCAAAGAUUGACCCCUAAGCCGACUUUGAGGAGCAAGGGAAGGUAGGUCUUCUGAAUGAACCACAGCGGCUUGCCUAUGAUGGAGAUGAACUCCAGGUGUGUCGUAUAAUUUCUGCAGAUAACAGAAUGUUACUGUACUAAACUCUGAAAGGCAAUGGUAAUAUACAGAUGCUAUAGCAUACCCCUCCUCCUAGGAAAGCGUUGAGUUGAAUUGAACCCAGGGUCGUUCCAGGGACAGCAGACUGUAUUGGUUUGUACUUUUGCGCUGAUGCAGCAACUGGAUCCUUUUCCGCCAUCAGUUCUGGUAUAAUGGUAAUACAGUAUUAACAAAAGUCAGUUCAAAAGAAGAAUAACUCGUUUAGAAAAAUAAAUCCCGACAUUUAUCUUUGUGAACAGAAUUGCUAUGAACUUCAUAGCAACCAAAGGCAACAAAACAUAUCAGAUGUCAACUAAUGAACUUACUCAGUUAAGCACCGAUAAAAGCUGAUUUCCCAACAUUUGUGGAGCCCUGUAGCAAAAGGUAAGCUAAACUAUCAGAUGCAAAAGCAUUUUUUAUAGGUCAAUCCAAGUAUGCACCAGCUAGAGGAUAAUCGAUACAGAAGGCAAAGCAAGAUAUGACAACUCUUUUGUUUUACUUCCUUUUACAAGCAUACUCAAAUAGAAAUCAGCAACAUGACUUGACUGGGCAUGAAAGAUUUUCAUGGAUAAAAUACCAGUAAAAAAGCAUGUGCUGAUUCAAAAUCUUAUUGAAGUUCCAUACAGUCAACAGGUUAAAAUCUCAAAUGUGAUUGAGAAUCAAAUCAAAUUCAUAGCAGUUCACAAGAAACCACACACUCCAAGAGCAAGGAUAAGUAAAAAAAAUUCAGGUUCUGAGAAGUGUUAAAUUCACUUGACAAAACCAAAUACUCAGCACUAAGUAAGUAAACUUCCAGAGUUCCCAUCAAGAAGCUCACCAUAACAUACACGUCCCGCCCCUGCACCAAAAAAUAACCAAAGAACUCAGUUUGAAGUUCCUGUAAAUGAUAGAUAUUCAUACUUAUUUCAUUCAACAGGAAGUACAAAUUUACAAUGUAUAAACCUAUUUCCUCUGUUGGCUAUAAUUAAAUAACUUAUAUCAAUGGCUUUAGUCAGAUCAAUGAAUUUCACACAUGAAGAUGCACAUACACUGAGAAGUAAAUACUUUUUUUUCCAUUUGAAUCUCUGAUGCAACUCCAGCUACUCCAACCAAAGACUUUGAACUCAUCAGAUGAAUGCUCAUAACACUGCAAAUAAGCCUCAAGGACACUCUUUUAAAAAGACACCAUAUAAAAUAAGUAAAAGCAAAGGCUAAGGAAACAAAUCUUACUUAAGCUUCUUCUUUACAGUGGCCUCUACAACCCCAUCACCAAUGCAAUUAAAAUCAGUCCCCUUGGGAAGUAAAUCAAUCUGUCAUUCGAAAAGUGCAAUUAGAAAGCUGCGUGCAUCAAUGUCAUGUUACAUAAGUUACAUAAGUACAAAUGAGAAGCUUAAUACCUUAGUAAUGACUAAUAUUAUGGGAUUUGCACCGGCCAGAUCACGCAUACCUUAGUAAUGAUAAUGCUAUACACAUAAACUGAUAUCAAUGGCUUAAACAAUGAACUGGACACAAGCAUACACAUAACUAACAAGUGCAUACCUUCUUUUCCUUUUGAAUCUCUGAUGCAACUCCAGCUAGCUACUCCAACCGAGGACUUUGAACUCAUCAGAUGAACGCUUAUAACACUGCAAACAAGCACCAAGGGAAACUCAUUUGGAUGGAUAAUAUAUAAAUAAGUACAAGCAAAGGCCAACGAAACUAAUCUUACUUAAGCUUCUUCUUUACAGCGGCCUCCAGUCCACCGCAACUCAAUCACCAAUACAAAUUAAAUCAGUCCCCCAACCUGUCAUUAGAAAGUCCAAUUAGAAAACUGCAUGAAUCAAUGCCACAUUACAUAAGUACCAAUGAGCUGCUUAAUACCUUAGUAAUCACUAAUAUUAUCAGAUUCGCACCAGCCAAAAAGCUACCAUUGAAGUCCACAAUAUCAAGUUAUCAACCAACAUAACCAUCUGCCUAGUUCAAAAUUUAGUCAGUAGAUUAAGAAAUGAAUUCGGUGUUGAUAGGUAACUAAAUUUAAAACAGAGGAAAGUUUGACAAGCUUCAAUAUGUUCCUUCACUUUUCAAACAUAUUUGAUAAUAUUAUCAUCAGUGCGGAUGUUGUCUGAAAUUACAACUAUUUACCUGUAAAGGACUCUAUAACCCAUACACGAGCUGCCCAUCAAUAUGUAGAGGACAGUCCCAAAUAAAAAUUUCAAGUCGCUCAAGUGAAAGAGGCAGGCCUUCCUCCACUGGAAGAUUUGCAAGCUUGGGACAGCCGGAGAUGUAAAGAUGUUCAAGAGAGGUGAGGAGUUGAAAGCCUUUGAUUUGAAAGCUUUUGUGGAGGAAAAGGAUGUGAUCAACAGUUUUGAGCAUUAGGAGACCUGUAGAUGGAAGAAAUAAAACGUUAGAUGUGGAAAACAGAGGAAAGUUUGACAAGCUUCAACAUGUUCCCUCGCUUUUCUACAUGUAUUUGAUAACAUUAUCAUCAGUGCGGAUGUUGUCUCAAAUUACAAGUGCGUACCUGGAAACCACUCCAUCGAGGAGUGUUGGUUUUCUCUUAUAUGAGUUCCAGAUUAAUUCGUACUUCAGGGAUGUGUGCUAUCUUGUGCCGGUAUCGUCCUUUGUAUCUCUGUUCAAGUAGAGGACAGUUGUAAAUAUCAAGUCGCACAAGUGAAAGAGGCAGGCCUUCCUCCACUGGAAGGGUUGUAAGCUUCGGACAGUUCCAGAUCCAAAGACGUUCAAGAGAGGUGAGGAAUUGAAAGCCCUUGCUCAGUUUCUUUAGAUUUGGGAAGUCUACAAUACUCAAAUCAACAAGAGAUCUGGGGAGCAGUAUCUCCGUCUCCUUUGAAUUCUCAGCCGCAGGUGGAAAUGACACCAGACCUCCAUCAUCUUCACCCCAUAGAUACAAUUCUCUCAAAGAGGCGAGUCUCUGCAACCCUUGAAACUCCAUCAGCGCCUUACAAUUCUUGAUCUUGUCAAUUGACAGUGAUGUUAGGUUGGUGGGGAAGGAAGUUGUAGUUGUCAAACCUUCAAAGUAAUCAAUUCUCAGAUCUUCAAGAUUACUGGUGUGCAUCAUGUCUCUCGCCAACUGUGCCACCUCCAAUUUAUCGCAAUUUCUGAUCCCUAUCAUUCUCGGCCACACAUUCAUUCUCGGCAACGAAACAAGACUUUGACAAUCAUAAACAAUUAAUGACUGAAGAUUGGUGAGGUGGCACAGUCCCUCGGGUAAGGAUUUCAGGUUUGGGCAGUUCUCGAUGUCAAUUUCUUCGAGUUGGCAGCUGUCAUCGAGGAACCUCUCAGUUAUUAACUCCAGCUGUCCACACCGCAGUAUCACAAGUUGUUUAAGAGACCCGGGUAAUUGACCUUUGCAUAAUAAGCACAUCGAAGAGGGACAAUUCCUUAUCCACAAACUCUCAAGACAAGAAGAAGAAGAACCGUUACCCACCUCCUCCUCUUUCUCUAUUAAUGACUUCAAAUUCCCACAAUUCCAGAUAUCUAUUCUUUUUAGGCUGGGAGGAAUCUGGUAUUUUGCAAAGUGCAACAGAGAUUCGCAGUCCUGAAUCACUAUGUCUUGGAGACAAGGUGGCAGACCAACAUCCGGAAAAGAAACAAGACUUGAACAUUCACUUAUGUGCAGCUCUUGAAGACAAGGUGGCAGACCAACAUCCGGAAAAGAAACAAGACUUGAACAUCCACUUAUGUGCAGCUCUUGAAGUGAUCUAAGGUGAUGCAAUCCUUCUGGUACCUUCACAAGGCUUCCACACUUGCUUAAUUCCAGACGUUCAAUAUUGCAAUCCAGGAUUUGCAAUUGCAACAACUGCUCUGCUUCAAUCCCUAGCUUUUCAACAAGGAUCGAGUUGUCUUCGAUAUACAGACGACUAAGAGAAAUCAAGUGUUGCAGUAAUCUAUCCUCGUUUUGAAAGCAACAUGUAAGCUCCUCACAACGAGUGAUCUUCAACUCUUUAACAUUUUUCAAGCUUUUCAUGAACGACUCUGUUUGGAAUCUCAAUUCUGAUACAUUUGAAUAUGUCAAACUCUCUAGUAACUCAAACUGAACUGUACUUGUGUCGUACACCACCAUCUUGCACUUUUCAAUGUUUGAUCCAUGAAGCUGUUUGUAUUUAGAUACUGAAACCACCAAUUCCUCACAUCCAUAUAUCUCAAGCUGUGCUAAUGAAUCAAGCUUCUCUGGUAAAUCACCCUCCAAUUUGGGGCAGCCCCUGAUGGAAAGCUUUUUCAGGCAAGAGAAAACUUCAACACCCUCACUUUGUUGGCAAGGAUACCACUUCUUCCAAUUUUUCAGAUUAUGUAACUCCAGGGUCUCUAAAGCUCGAAACGACAAUUUACCUUCUCCAUAAAACUCAACACCAACACUCUCCACUGCAUCCAUUUCUUGUAUACAAAGUUCUUUGAGACAAGGCAACUGUCCGAAUGGUGGCAACAAUUGACAAUGAUUACAACCUUCUAACUUUACCCGCACCAUUUUUGUGAAUGAAGGAUUCCCAAUCCAUGUUGAAAAUUUCGAUCCACCAUAAUCUUUGAUGGUGAGCUUUUUGAGCUUGCUAUGAGGCUGUAACAUGUCAAGCACAAUUGCUGCAUCUUCUGUUGAGACACUCGAAGAAGACCAUUCAAGAAAUAGGGCUUCAAGCCUUUCCUUGCUCUUUAAGCAGUUGGCACUCCUGGCAUCCUCGACACAAAUCACAUUUUCUAGUCUUGAGAUGUGCAAUGUCCCUUGCAGAUGCAAUAAUGACUCGAUCUCUCUUACUCCUGAUCCACUACCUUUGCCAAUAACAAACUCAGGCAAUGUUUGGAGGUUAGUCAAUUGACCAAGCUGAGGAGGCAUUUCUUCCAAUGACCGUGUACCUGAAUUGUUGAGAUGACGCAAAUUAACUAGGUUCCUCAUGCUUGUGGGCAGUGCCUUCAACUGGUGACAACUUUCCAAUAACAAUGUCUGCAAGUUGUACAGAGUUGUUGUCGAGUCUGGCAAACUUCUUAUCCCAGUGUGGGAGAGAUCAAGAUACCGUAGAUGCUUCAAUUCACCAAUUGUAUCUGGCAACUCGAUUAUUUGAUAACUUUUCAAAGAGAGGAGUCGUAAGUAUUGGAGUUUGGGAAAUAAAUUAGAAGUAACCUUCUGAGCCAGAUAAUGAGAAUCUGGAAGUGACCCAAGUGAAAGUGGUAAGAAUGUCCGCAAACAUAUAGCUUCAGAAUAGACCUCGAACUUCUUAACCCCGUCACACACUCCAAGAAUGUAAGAUGAAUGACGAAUCUUGGGCAAACAUGAAUGUUGCUGCGAGUCAUAAUUCUGCAUGUCCUCCAAUCUACAACAUGAACUUCCUGCAGCCCAACGAGCCAAAUCAGUAACCAGGUCAUGCAUUAUGUAUCGCGACUCUGUUUUGCUUGAUUUUUGAAAUAAUGACCUGGACACCAACUCUUGAAAAUAGUCACGUCCCAAAUCUUCCAUUUGCUUAUGUUCUUUGGGUUGCUGCGGAAUCAAACCUUCUGCCAUCCACCAAAGGAUCAAUUGCAUCUCCUUAAAUUCAUAAUCAUUUGGAAGUAUUGCACAGUAGGAGAAACACCGUUUCAAAGUCGAAGGGAGAUAAUGAUAGCUCAGUUUUAAUGCUGGAAGGAUAUCCAUCUUGUUCUGGUCUGAUAGAGUCCACAUCUUGUGGUCUAAUAUGUCUUCCCAUUCGUCUACUUCUUUACAACGUAAAAGCCCACCAAGAGUCCUUGCAGCUAACGGUAGCCCGUUGCAUUUUUCUACAAUUUUUCCUUUAAGGAACUCAACAUCUUCAGGUCUGUUAUUUAAGAGAGCAUGGUGCUGAAAGAGUCUCCAACAAUCAUCUUCUGACAUCGGCUUCAAGUUAUAAGGGCUCCUAUCUCCCAUCAUAUUUGCGACAUUGGCGUCACGUGUUGUCACGAUGAUCUUACUUCCAGCUGCUCCAACACGAAAGGAGGCCUGCAGUGUAGUCCAAUGACCAUAGCUACAAGUGUCCCAGACAUCAUCAAGAACAAUUAAAAACUUCUUGCCAGCCAAUUCCUUACUUAACUUCUCCAGAAUUGAGUUAAGCUCCUUGACCUGAACUGGAGCUGACGUGACUGAUUCCAAAACGGCUGCUGCCACCCUUACAAUGUCAAAGUCGUCUGACACAGAUACCCAUCCUUUUGGGGAAAACUGGCCAGUUGCAGCAUCGUUGAAUACAUGUUUAGCAAGUGUUGUCUUUCCUAGUCCUCCAGUACCGACAAUACCAACCACAUGAUACUUCUCUUCUUUUGAAAGCAAAUCAUAGAGAAUCUUAUCGUUUGCUUCAUCCCUUCCGAUCACAGGUCCAUCAGGUUGAGAAGUAGUGAGUGGCAUUUUCCAUGGCUUUUUAGUGGGUCUAUCAAGUUCCUUCAAACCAAACUGCUUCUUUCGAGUAGUUAUCUCCUCAAGUCGAUCACUUAUCUUCUUGAUUGCUGAGUUCAGAUCAAAAUUGGACUUAACUUUAGAGAGUGAGCUCCAUAACUUGCUUUUGCUUCCUUGUUGUCUUUCUAUCCUCCGCUUCAGCAUUUUAGUAUCAAAUAUGUCCAAUACAUCUUGAACAUCGUAAGCCAAAUCUCUGAGAUCAUCUAGCCACAGUUUCACUCGACUUUGUGUUAGUUGCUUCUCCUCAGCAUCACUCAGCACCGCUUCAACGGCCGUCAACGUUCUAGUCCAUUUCUCCAGCACCUUUUUGUCGACCCCCUUAAGGCGUCCGAAGUACUCAGUGAUCUCUUGAUCCGCCAACUUCUUAAGCAGCACCGGGAGGAAUGCACCAAGAACAGCCUCCCCCAUCGUUUCUUUUUUGUACAAUCGAUGGUAUUCAAAACUGCAGAAAGUGAAGCUAGUAGUUAAUCAAGGUACAAUUCUAGUUGAUGCAUGCAUGCUAGAAAAUAAUUUAAACAAUGAAAUGGGUGUUUAAAUUUGAUUUGUUUCCCUUAAUUUGCAAGAUCGGAAACAUGCACUUACAUGAAAAGUUGAUUAUUUCUUCUGUGAGCUCACAACUAAAACACUUGCAACGUUAAUUCUUCCACAAGGUGAUCGGCCAAGUCUCUUAGAUCAUGAUCAUGACAGACUUUCUUGUUGCAGAUCGAUCUGAUUCCAGCUAUACUGCACAAAUGAGUAAGUGGAUCCAGUUCAUAAUGAUAAUCCAACAUGAAUAUAACUGCAGAAUGAAAUUAGUAACGGAUUCAAGAAGAGCUUACAUGGAUCAAAGGAUAUCUGAAUCCAAAAUCAAGAAGCCCUUUCUUCUUUAGAGAUGAAUAAUGCAUACAGUGCAGUGUGUAUAGAUCAAGUAUGAAUGGAUAGAAGCUCCUUUGGCAAAAAGUCAACGAUAUGAAAGCCACUCGCACUUUCCUAAAAGUCGAUGAAACAAAGGAGAGCCACUACCCAACAGGAACGACGAGAAAAGGCAAUGGAACACAAAGGUUUCACCCUGCCGACACCGAAAUUACCAUUUAACACCUGCUGUAUGUGCAUCUAAUGUUUUCAUCUGUUUUUUUGUUCUACUGGAUAGUUUUAGAACAGUGGGCAAAACUGACGACGACUAUGUUUUGUGAGAAUAAUUACGCUUUUGGUCCAUUACAAGCGAGGCUAGGCAUAUGGCUACUGUCGUUUUAGUGAAAAGAUUACGCUCUGGCUUUCAAAUAAUCCACGAUUGUUUCAGUGAAAAGUCAUGAUUUUGGAUGGACCAAAAGAUUACAUAACUCACAGUCAGUGAGACUAAUAUUGCUAUGUUUAGUGAGACUAAUAUUGCUUACGGUACCAAAUGUUUAGUAAAUGAUUUUUGCAAGGUGUUCCAAUUGAUCAACGAAGAUGCGUUUUUGGCAAUAAAACGUAUUUGGACCAUCGUUUUUUGGUGAAUUUGAAUAUUUAUUGGAUAGUCUUCACAGAGAUGGGCUCAUGGGCAAUAUCAUUCAAAUUCGACAAUUAUUCGAAAAUUUGGCGUACAAAUUCGACAAUUAUCAUUCAAAUUCGACGCUCUACAAUAUAUGCAGGUUGAGCACAGAGCUCAAAACAGGCACAACAUUGGAAUGCCACCACCAUGGAACUACUCAAGAGUUGAGAGAGUUUUACAUAUACAUUUGUACCUAAAUGAGAGCUGGAGAUUGGUUGCAUAACCAACUAGCACAUGUAGCGGACAAACAAGAAGUUUCUCAUACAUACGUUGAAGAUAGAUAAGCCCUCACAUGAAAGGAUCAUUCACCAUGGUAAAGUAAAACAUCUGAACCAAAAGAGAAAAGUUUGACAAAUCAGAACAAGUUAUACUUGAUAUGAUAGCAAAGAAGCAACUUGUGUUCAACGCAAAGCUACAAUUGAAAUGAGCAUGGAAACAUGGAAAGAAAACAGUAGAAAGGGCCAUUUAGUAAAGGGAUUCGAGAUGUACCAGCAUCACUUGUUUUGUUUAGCAACGGUCCUUUGAACAGUUGAAACUCCAUCCACAAACUUUGUCCGGAAAAGGACAUUAGCAUUAUUGAACAUGCCUUCUUUCAGUGAAACCACAAUGAACUGAAAAAAAUGUGACAAACAAGAAAAAUGGGUAAGUAGACGUCGCAUAUUAUCUUUAUAAGUUAUGCCGCAAUCUCCUUUGUAGAAUGAGGUUUGAAUUACAAACUCCAGAAUACCAGACUCUACAAACAGCCAAGGGACGAUGAUCAGUCAAAGAGCAGUGGAUAUGCCAGAUAACAACUAUGCCUAAAACAUUUUCUGAACUUUUUGAGAUUUGUAAAAGUCAGAUAGUAUUACUUAUUUACUUGCACAAUGACAGAAAAGAAGUUGUAUCUUAGCUAAACCUAACUUUAUGGAUUACUGGAGGAGAAGAUGGCACAUGUCAGAAGAAGAUUCCAGCUAGGUAAAAUGUAAAUAACCAGAUGGCAGAAUCCACCAACCUGGGAGUGUGGGAAAUGACUUUUGAUCAUUCUUCCAAUAUUCUGGGUGUGACUUAGAUCAAGAGCUGCAUCAACCUGCAAGUGAAUAAUAAGAUGCUGAUAACUGUUUCAUCUUAACAACCAGAGACCAAUACAAUAUAUAAUGAACCCACAUUAAAGCUUUGCAGAUACCAAUACAGUCUACAGAUGCUACAAGUAUCCCACUAGAUUACUCCAAAAAAGAAAAAAAGUAAAACUUUGAAUGACAACUUCCACAUGUGGAGUAGCUAUUUCAAACAAAGAAAAGACAUGAAAAAAAGCUAUAAUUAUGGAGAACACUUGGAGGACCAUUAGCAAAGUACCUCGUUUUCCAUCCUCUUCCGUUCAAGAUUUGUCUCGUGAAGUUUGUCUUGAAGUCUUUGCUGCUCAGAUUCAAUGCCAUUAAUUCGGGAAUUACACUCCUUCAUCUUCAUACGAAUUGAAUCAAAAUGGGAUUUUGCAUGAUCAUGCUUAUUUCUUGUAGAAUUUACCUGUGAAAGAGAAGUUUGCAGCAUGAUUAAUCGUACACAAAAUAUGAAUCAAAAACAGUAUCAGAGUUUUUACCUUCUCUUUCUGUUCUUCUACUUCUGAAAUGAGUCCAUCAAUUUGUUCUCUCAAAGAAGACAACUGAGUCUCCAAAGAAGCAAGCUCUUUUAAAACAACAUCCUUUUCCAUAAUAAGCUUCUCCUUUUCAUUUUCAUGUCCCUAUCAGUCAAUAAAAUCAUAUCACAGAAAAAUUAAAGUGCUGAUGUGGAAUCAGACAAUUUAAUCAACCCAGAUCCUGGAGCAGUUUCCAGACAGAAUUAGCCACAUGAAGACUUCUAAAUAACACUGGCAGACAUCUUCCAAAAUGCUAAUCUUUUACUUUUUUCCUGGAUGUUUCAAUUACGGAGGGAGCAUCUUAGUUAAACAACUCCCGUGCAGUUUAUUUUCCAUAACAACGUUAUGUAAAUUGGAUUUGAAACCAUAAGACUACCUGAAAUUCAUAACUAAGUUUAUUUUAUAUAGAAGGAUGGGGAACAUAGAAAUUCUUUUACGAAUUACAUUUAUAAUAGUAUGAGAUCCAAAAUCUGAUAGGUGGUUUCAGUAGGCCAGCCAAAUGAUUCACAAGAACCACUAUCUAACAAGAAACAUCAUCAAACAAGUUGUUUCAAAUAAAGUAAGCUCAAUCAGACCAAAAAAAUAAAAGCUCAAUUAGAUGCCACGGAUAAUAGUUCAAUUAAAUCUCAGCAAUAUUAAAACUUACCUUGAGAUCCUUUGAAGCUGACUGGAGUAGAGCUUUUGUUUCUUUGAUCUUCUUUUCCAAAUCUUUCAGCCUCUCCUCCCGACUGUUGUCAUGCUCUUUGAUUGAUUUCUCAAGAAAUGACACUUUAUUCACACAAUCUUCAUGCAAAAGUUUCUUUUCUUUGGCCGCAGUAUUAGCUUCUUGUAGCUCUUGCUCAAUCCUCUUUACUAAUUCACCAAGCUAGAUAGCAGAAUAAAAAAAUUAAGAUUCACGUCAUAAAUCCAGUAAACACAGUCCGCAGCAUAGUUCUGCAACUGAAUAUGCUAAAAGAGAAAAGAAACGUGACAAAACCUUAUGAUGCUCAUUUUGUUCAGCCCUGCCCUGAAAUAAUUUAAGGUCAUAUGAUUUGAGUUCUAACUGUUGUUUAAGCUCCAUGAACUUCUUGUGAAGAGGCUGAAUCUCUCUUAUCUGCAAAUGGUAAUACAUUAAUGAAAUUGCUAUGGAAAUGAAGUUCCCAAUGACAUAUAAAACAGCUACACUAUAACUUUUCAAUUGCAUAUAGUGUAAUAUGGAAUUUCAGUAUCUUAUUGAGAGAAAAUAACAUUUCAUAGGCAACCUUAGCUUCAAUCUCAGUCAACUUUUUCUGAUGCUCAGAGAGUUUUAGCUCAGCUUCAGCCAGCUCAUGAAGCUGCCUUAACAGAUCACCCCCACCCCUGUGACAGGAAAUGAUUGCUUAAGAAGGAAAACUAGCUAGAAGUAUAUGUACUUUGAAUUGAUAAAUGAUAAGGACAACACAAGCACAUGAAAUNNNNNNNNNNNNNNNNNNNNUCAUCAUAGCCAACCAAAGAAAGUGCAAGUUCAGCAUUUUCCUUGCCAACCUGAUCAUAGAAUCAAGGUUUUUAGUAUACAAACCACCCCAUUGGGAGGAAAGAAAAGGGGCAGGACGAACUAUUGGCAAAGCAAAAUAACCAAUUUAGCAGCAGCAUUUUGAACCCUAGGAGGAACCGUGUGAGCUUGAAUUUUGUUCAAGGGUAUGAUUGUUACUCUUCUUCGAAGAUUGCCAUUCUGAAGAAGUUGCUUUCGAGUACUUUCCGUGUCUACAACAACAUUAAAUAACUUUCCACCGGCAGUGACCUAGAAAUCAAAGAUAUGCUGGUUAAUACACAUUCUAUAAGUCAUGAGAUGAAAUCAUCUGUAAUAAAUGCAUUUUCACCUCUAAGGCAGUCAUUGUGGAGCUAUCCUUCACUUUGAUAAGUCUUGCAACAACACCCUUGACCUUAGACCUAUCAAAAUUGUUCACAGGAUCUCUAUAAGAAAAGUCAACGUUUCCCAAGUGUCCUGAAAGAUUACGCAUUUCCUCCUUCAACUUCUGCACACACUCCAACUCAGAUGAUCGGUCCUGAAUAAAAUAUUCAUUUAGAGAAGGAUCCAAAUUNNNNNNNNNNNNNNNNNNNNNNNNNNNNNNNNNNNNNNNNNNNNNNNNNNNNNNNNNNNNNNNNNNNNNNNNNNNNNNNNNNNNNNNNNNNNNNNNNNNNNNNNNNNNNNNNNNNNNNNNNNNNNNNNNNNNNNNNNNNNNNNNNNNNNNNNNNNNNNNNNNNNNNNNNNNNNNNNNNNNNNNNNNNNNNNNNNNNNNNNNNNNNNNNNNNNNNNNNNNNNNNNNNNNNNNNNNNNNNNNNNNNNNNNNNNNNNNNNNNNNNNNNNNNNNNNNNNNNNNNNNNNNNNNNNNNNNNNNNNNNNNNNNNNNNNNNNNNNNNNNNNNNNCUUUUCUCUUUCAACUCCUUUUCACAGUGACGAAUUUUUGUUUUCAACUGUUCCAGUUCUGUUUCAGCACUCCCUACAGCUCUUUUGGCAUCACCCAAUUGAUCUUCGAGGCAUUUAUCCUCAUUUCCACUACUCUUGCCAGCGAUUACACCCUGGAAACAUUAAUGAAUCAAAAAUCAUAGUGAUUCCAAGAGUAACUCGCACACCAUGCAAGCCUAACAUGUGACUUAGAUGAACAAGGUAUAGGCAACACAUAGAUACACUUUUUACCUGGUACUGAGUCUCAUACUCAUUCAGACUAUGAGAAAGUUCCUCCGCUCUCUUUUUCAAAUCAGCAGCUCCUUCUUCAGCAUUUCUUAUAGCACAGUCCCUAUCUUUUAGAGACUGUUUCAUGUCUUCAAUGUUGCUAGCAAUCUGACAACAGAGAGAGGCAAAUUCUAUGUUAACAUAACCAUUUCAGACAAAGCAUGUAGCAAAUGAUUGCAUAACAGACUUAAAAGAGCUUGGUGUCAUACAAAAGAACGCAGUAAGUAAUACGAUAUAUCAAUUACCUUUCUAGCAUUUUCAUUUUCAGUGUCAAGAUUGUCCGUCAUAUUAUCCAGUAUAGACACUUCCCUCACUACAUCUUGAGAAAGCGCAUCUACUUGGUUAGACAGAUUUUUUACUUCUCCACCCAUACUAGCCUCCUUUUCAGCAGUCAACUUGGACACUUGUGUUUCCAUUUCCUUUAUUGUUGCCUGCAUCUUUCUGGUAUCAUCAUCAACCUCAGAAAUUUUGGCCUUCACAUGUUCCACCUCACAAACUGCACUGUCCCUAAUCCUCUCCGCUUGAACAUAUUCAUAAGCAAUGCAAAACCUCUUGAGCCGAUCCAAGUCAGCAUUGCCAUUAGCCCAUUGCAUAUACUGUGUCCUUUCUCUCCUCAACUUGUCCAACGCAGGCAGUAUCUCAUGGUCAAGAAGCUUAUUAAUCUCCUCAACUUUACUCUGCUUCUUCUCAAGUGUUUUAAGAGCCGCUUCCUUUUUGGUCUCAUACAUUCUCGUCCCGGCAGCCUCUUCAAGCAUAGACAAAAUCUCCGGCGGUUUCAUAUUCAAAACCUUGGUAAUCCGGCCUUGCAUAAUCAGAAAAUGCGGAUUAUUCACAUUGAGCUGCACCGAAUGAAAAAGAUUCUGGACCUGACUCGGCUGCGCAAGUUUCCCGUUGAUCAAGUACUUGUUCCUCCCACCAACCACAAUCUGAUAUAGCAACACCAACGAAUUCGUAUCACACACUCAAUAAUCAGAUUCAUUGAUAAUUCCGGUUGCAAUCAGAAGCAUUACAACCACUCCACUACUACAUCAACUUAUAACUAAAUUCAACCUAAGAAAUAGUGAUAAAUUAAGCAAGAAACCCUAAAUCUCAACUACUUAUCGGCUUAACUAAACUCCGGUUGUGAUUAUCUAACUUCUCGUAACAUUACUACAAACUUAAUUACUUAAAUUCAACUUCAAAACAGUAAGAAAGCCCCAAAACUCAACAUCAAAAACGACAUUAAAAUUCCACAAACGACAUACCUGCCGUGUGACGGUGAGCUCCGAAUGGGCCUCCUACCCGAGAGGACUGCGCGCCCGGUCCGAAUUGUCGAAGACAAUCGACACGGUGGCCUUAGUAAUUCCGGCCUGGCCUUGCUUAUACACCAGCUCCUGCAGAUUGGCGGCCCUCACUUGCUGUAAAUUGGUGAUGCCCAGAACGAAGCAAAUCGAGUCGAGAAUGUUGGACUUACCCGACCCGUUUAGCCCGGUUAUGGCCUUGAAAAACGGGUCGAAUCCCGGCACCACCGUCCGCGUCGCGUAGGACUUGAAUCCUUCCAAGGUCACCUCCUUGAUGUACAUAGCUGCGCUCGCCGGAGAGCUACGGGCGCUAUUCGGUGACCAAUUUUGGAGAGAUUUGGGGUCGGUGAUAGAUCGGAACCCUAGAAAUUUGUGCUUCUGGUUUUUGGUUUUGGGAAGUUGAAAGUCUGAAAUGAAAUGGUUCGAUUUUUUUUUUUUUUCCGCUUUUCGGGUGGGUUCGAAUUUUUAACCCUAGACAAAGGCGGGAAAAGAAUUAGAUAUUUAGGCCAGUGAUUUAUAUCUUGGGCUUUAUCUAACUGUGUAUCUCUAGUGCUAUAAAGCAAACCCUUUAAAAACUUCAUCAAAUUAUGUUUUUCUUAAAUUAUCCUUAACGUGUUUAAUUAUAAUGUUCUUCCUAAAUUAUCCUUGGUAAAUCAGUUUUUCAAGUUUGAAAACUCAUUAAAAACGAUCAGGUGAAGAUUUUUGAAGUUCGUAUGUUUUGAAAUUGUUUAAAAAUCAUGAUUUACCAAUGUGAAGACUUUGGUGAACAUAUAAGAAUAUGAGAUUUUUGUCAAAAAAAAUGUGCUAUAACCCACGAUUUCGGAUAAAUAUCACGAUUUCGAACUUCUUAUUUUCUUAAAAAAAAUCUCUGCAGUUGGUUCCUAUUGUAAAACUGGUGUUUAAAAGUGUUUUCAGGAGCAAUUUCUACGAUAUAAAAGAGUCAAAACUUUCUUCUCUCAAACAGACUGGUUCAGUACAACAGGCUACACUCGCAUUGUCCAUGUUUCUAUAGUCUAUAUGUAUGAAUAUCUACUCACCUCUUUACAACACUAAUUGACUGCAUAUUUCUCUACAUAUACAAGAAUCAAUAAUGCCAUUUGGGUCUUUCUUCCUCUUCUUUUUCGGUCAACUCCCGGUACUGAUACCACUCUGCUCCAGACUUGCCCGCUGGGAUUGGAGACCUAACAAAUAUUUCGACUGGCUUGGGGACAUGCACAGCUAAAUGCAGUUCCCCUGCAGUUUUUUCUGAAUUUGAAUCAGAACUUCUUAAUAAUCUGCAAAUAGGUUCAAUACUAAUCCACCCUAAGCCUGAUAUAGCCACAUCACAUGCUGGCCUGCAUACAAGGAAACGAGAAGAAUUCUCAUAUUAAUUAACCAACUAAUUUGAUGGAAAUAUCAGAACUGCAAUACUCAUAUGAAUGAUUUACCUUUGCACAUCUUCAACUUUUAUUUGCACUUGACGCUGAGAGUCGAGACCUCUCCAUUCAUCUGCUCUUUCUUUCCCAGUUGGAGGUGUCAGUAAGACUCCAACGUGUUUCUGCAACAUGUUAAAAGGCACAAUACAAUCACACCAAUCAAUUUAAAGAGAAAAAUAUCAUGCACACCUUUAAGGCCGGAAUAGUAUCACAUUUUCGUAGUGUCAGUAACAUAAAAGGGUUCACUUUAAUUGUUUUCAAAAUAUUUUAAUGCUUCAUAAGUCAGCUGUACUUGGGAAAUCAGAAACUAUGAAUUUCAAGUAGGACCUUGAUUACCUGGUAAAAUUCAUCUGCCUCAUCAGUUGGUACCAUAUGAAUCUGAAGACUCUUUGGCCCAUAAAACGUUAAACGUGUUUCAGGGAGAACCUGAAAUCAGCAACAUUUGAUUAGUCAAGAACACAAUAUAUGCGUCAGGCGGAUAAAGCAAUGUAUCUGAAUCUACAAGACCAAACCAAACCUUUAAGACAUCUACUCUGACAAGACCUCCCCAGAAUAUUGAAUAGCCAAUCAAGUCAUUGGAAUUGCCUUUCCUUGUUGUUCCAUUUCCAGAAACCUGAGAAUUCUGGAGAAGGAUAACAAACGGUCAACAACUCAGAGAUACGAAAGGAAAAACCAAGAGAAGAAGGAAAAAACGGAUAAUAACUUACAGGCAAAGAUUGACCCCUAAGACGACUUUGAGGAGCAAGGGAAGGUAGGUCUUCUGAAUGAACCACUGCUGCUUGCCUAUGGUGGAGAUGAACUCCAGGUGUGUCAUAUAAUUUCUGCAGAUAAUAAAAGGUUACUGUACUAAACUCCAAAAGGUCAUUGGUAAAAUACAGAUACUGUGGCAUACCCCUCCUCCUAGGAAAGCGUUGAUUUGAAUUGGACCCAAGGUAGUUCCAGGAACAGCAGAUUGUAUUGGUUUGUACUUUUGCGCUGAUGCGGCAACUGGAUCCUUUUCCGCCAUCAGUUCUGGUAACAGUAUUAACAAGUCAGUUCAAAAGAAGAAUGACCCAUUCAGAAAAUUAAAACCUGGCAUUCAUCUAACUGAAAAAGAAUUGCUAUAAACUUCAUGUCAACCAAAGGCAACAAAACAUGAAUAGAUGUCAACUUAUGAACUUACUCAGUAAAGCACUGAUGAAAGCUGAUUUCCCAACAUUUGCGGAGCCCUACAGAAUAAGGUAAUAUAAACUAUCAGAGAUGCAAAAGCGUUUAAAUAGGUCAAACAAAAGUAAGCACCAACUAGAGGAUAAUUGAUUUAGAAGGCAAAGUUAGACAAUGACAGCUCUUUUGUUUUUCCUCCUUUGACAAGCAUACUGAUGGCUGACCAAGACACCAGGGGUAGCUCACCAGGACUUGAGACAACUCCAUACAUCUUGCCAAUUCGCACACACAGAUCUCUUAGACAAGAUCGAACAUAGAGAAUAACUCAAUUUGAAAAUGGCAAGGAACAAAAAGAACUCUACUACUGAUAUGACGAAAAUGAUAUAUGACUUUUUGGAUUUCAAAUGAAAAUCAGUAACAUGACUUGAAGGCAUGAAGCUUUUCAUGGAUAAAUACCCGUAAAGAAGCAUGUACUGAUUCAAAAGUUGAAAUUUCAUACAGUCGACAGUUAAAAUCCUAACAUGUGAUUGAAAAUCAAUAAAAUUGUUCACAAAAACCAAACACUCCAAGAGCAAGAAUAAGCAAGAAAGUUCUUCAGGUUCUGAAAAGUGUUAAAUUCACUUGACAAAACCACAUACUCAGUACUAAGUAAACUUCCCAUCAAGAAGCUCACCAUAACAUACACGUCGCGCCCCUGCACCAAUAAACAGCCAAAGAACUCAAUUUGAAGUUCAUGUAAAUGAUAGAUGUUCAUACUUAAUUUCAUUCAACAGAUAGUACAAAUUUACAAUGUAUCAUAUUCUUCUGUUGGCUAUAAUCAACUAACUGAUAUCAAUGGCUUUAGUCAGGUUAAUGAAUUUCACACAUGAAAUGCACAUAAACUGAGAUGUAAAUACCUUCUUUUCCUUUUGAAUCUCUGAUGCAACUCCAGCUACUCCAACCAAAGACUUUGAACUCGUCAGAUGAACGCUCAUAACACUGGAAAUAAGCACCAAGGAACUCUUUUAGAUAGACACUAUAUAUAUAAGUAAAAGCAAAGGCUAAGGACACAAAACUUACUUAAGCUUCUUCUUUACAGUGGCCUCUACAACCCAAUCACCAAUGCAAUUAAAAUCAGUCCCCUUGGGAAGUAAAUCGAUCUGUCAAUAGAAAAGUGCAAUUAGAAAGCCGCAUGCAUCAAUGUCACCGUCAUGUAAGUACCAACGAGCUGCAUAAUACCUUAGUAAUGACUAAUAUAAUGGGAUUCGCACCGGCCAAAUCACGCACACGAGCCAAAAAGCUACCAUUGAAGUCCACAAUAUCAACCUACAUUCCAAUAACCAUUUAAAAACAACCUACAUUUCGCAACGCAACUCACUCAAAACCAAAUGCCAGCAAGUAGUAUACCAAUUUAACUAUCAGCGCUCUCUCGUAGCGCAAAUGCGAAAGCUUCUCCCGAAGCUGCUCCGCCAUGAUGAACUGUUUCCCGCCAGAAUAACCCCCAUUCCCGCCCACAGCAGUUAUCAUAUGACCAUGAGACAGAAGCUUGCAUCUUCCACAUAUAACAGUUUUAAGCUGGUGGUGCUUCUUCUUCUGCACAUCAAACAACACCAAAAUAUAUCAACACAACAUUUCUAGCAAUCAAAUUUUCCUUCAUUCAAAUCGGAGCAAAAUAACGAAACAUUAGGUCAAAUUUGAGCAUAAAUCAUACCAAUGCAUAUGUCUCCGGGUCGGAAUAACCCGGAGCAUCCGGCUCCGAAGUCUGUAACGGAGCUCCGCAGCCGUAGCAGCAAGCGACGGCGGUGGAGAGCUUCAGAGGCUUCUCCUUGAGGCGCUUCUUCUUCUUCUCCUUGAGAAUGAUCUUCGCGGCGUCGAAGGAGCGGCGGCUUUCGAGGAAGCGGUCGCCGGGGGUGGGGGCGGCGGCGCCGGUGCCUUCGGGUUCGGGUAAGCGGGGCUCCGGGAGCGGUGGUUUGGGGUGGGAAGGAGAGAAACGGCAGAGGAUGAGAGAGGGGUUGGUGUGGUGGUUGGGGACCUUGGUGGUGGGGAUAGUGUUUAGGGUGAAGGGAGAGAGGAAGGAGGAGAGGGUUUUGGGCGCCAUGGCCGUUAAUGGGUUUGGAGGAUUUGGUGGUGAGGUGGAUUUCAACGAGGACCAGGAUAGAAGGGAAGAGAAAUAAAAAAGCAAAAAAACAAUUUCCGCUGCCGGGAGUCGAACCCGGGAAAGAAUCUUUAGCUUGACCAAGUGAGUUGUGCUACAGCGGAAUUGUUGAUCAUGUAUGAUGUGAGCUUAUUAUAAAGUUUAGAUACGUUACCAAUAACCAAAAAAAGUUGUUCUGCUGCCGGGAGUAAUUUAUCAGUUUGACCGUUACAACGGAUCAUAUAUGAUGUGAGCUUAUUAUAAAGUUUUAGAUACGUUAAUAAUAACAAAAAUAGUUGUUUUAUUGUCGGGAGUCGAAUCCAAGAUAAUUUUCUGAGCUUGACCAAUUUGUAUUGUGCUACAUCAAAAUUGUUGAUAAUGUUGAUAUAAAUUUAUUAUAAAGUUGUAGAUAGGUUAACAAUAAAAGUGGUUUCUUUGUUCCACUGCCGGGAGUCAAAUCCGAGUGAACUAACAUGACCAUUUGUGUUCUGCUACAACAUAAUUGUUGUUAGUGUAAGUUGUUUAGGUGAACAAAGAUAUUUACUCUAAGACCUUGAGUCCAACCCAGUUUGAUAAAGGAUUGCUUUCAUGAAUUGAACACACAGGUAAAAAAGUUCAUUAGUACUGGCUAAUUACACACAUUAAGUCAAAAGGGUGAGUCUGGAUGAACUACAAAUGUUACAAAACAAGCAAGAACUAAUGCCUAAGCCAUAAUCUAAGCUCGGCUCUACACUGCAAUGCCAUCUGCAUUGUUCCUAGUAAGAGAAUCUUGAACAGGGUACACAACAUUAUCAUAUAGAAGGCCAGCAACUGCAGCACCGAUCAAGGGUCCGACCCAAUACACCGCUUGGUUCUUGAAGGUACCAGUAAUGACUGCAGAUCCAAAUGCACAAGCCGGGUUCAUGGAUCCGCCGGAGAAUGGCCCGGUGGCCAGAACGUUUGCCCCUGCCAUGAGUCCAAUUGCUAAUGGCCCCAUAGCCCUCAAUGCACCAUGUCUAGGAUCACCAGCAGCAUAAACAGUGUAGACCAGGGCAAAUGUUAGGACACCCUCCAAAACUGAGGCUCCAAAUCCUGUCAUUUCUUCUGUAAUUGCAUAUGUUGGAACAUGCUGCAUGGUCAAGAAAACAAAACCUAACUAUAAGAACACAAUGCAUUUGGAUUAUGACCCAAAACUAUCCUUAAGUUUUAGGGUUAAGGGUUAGGGUUAGGGUUUCUAAUUCGAAUAUUAGAAGAAAAAUAAUAAAGUAUACCUGUCCUACAACAGUGACUCUCAAGAGAAGGCAAGCCAUGACAGCAGCCACCAUUUGGCAAAUCCAGUAUAUGAGGGCAAUGGGGACACUAAUGUGACCUCCGACAGCCAUGGCAAAGGUGACGGCCGGAUUUACAUGGCCGCCGGAGGUGGAUGCCGAGAUGUACACGGCGGAGGCCAGUGCAAAGGCAUUGGUCAUGGCAACCAACACCAGACUUGCUGGGUCUGAUGCAGCAUCUGGCAUCAACUUUCCUGCCACAUCAACAAGAUCGAAGUGUAAGAAGUAAAUGAAACAACAAUUUAACUAUUUUCAUACUUUCAUUAAUGCUUGUAGUGUAACAGAGUAACAGGCUCUACAAUCUUUAAAGAAGUUAAUGAGUGAGUAAUGUGGUCAAAGAACGCGUGCAGGAAAUUAAGGGCUCCAUUCCACACAUGAACCCUAAAACAAAACGAAAGACAACCUUUGAUUACUUACUGGAGGACAUCAGAGAACCGAUGACGGCGAAGACGAAGAAGAAGGUAGAGAUGAACUCUGCAAGAUAAGAUCGGAGAGCAUUGGGAGUAAUUACUUGUUGGAAUCGAGCGGUCAGCGCAAUCCUAGCCAUUUUUGGCCAAACAAGAUGAAAGAUGAGAUAUGAUAUCGAUGGUAACAAUGAAAUUUGAUCGAGGUUUAACAAGAGAAGAGGGAAAGAAUAAGAUCGACGAGCAGUGAAGGCAGGAAGUUACUGAACUAUGUGUACAGUUUGAUCUCUGGUGGAGGAAGUUAUAUAUUGAACCAAGUGGUGCAACGCUUUUGGCGAAGGGAUGUGAAGGUUAUGCAAUUCGAAAUGAAACAUGUUAUUGUUAACCGCCAAAGCAAACGUGGUCAUGUUCAUGUAAGUUUGAGACACGGUAUGGAAGACUUGUGUAAGUUUGAGAGAGGGAACAGGGGUGCUUGCGGUUAAUUAAUGGUUCAAUAUGGUUGAUAUAUUUUGGUGAGCCAACUUCUAAGUUCAAUACCCUUUUUUAAAAACAAAAAACAAAAAAUAACUCCCAACUUCUCCAAAGUAGAAAAAUAAUCUUCUGAACCAAAACAAAAUUAAUUGCAUACCCUUACUUAAAUCUACAAAAGCUAUAACUUGAGGCAUCAUAUGAUUUAGUUAAGUCACCUGAAUCUCAUCCAUAUCUUUUGUAGCUAGAAGGCUUUGAUUUCGAAAUAUGUACAAUUUAGCUUUCAAUUACUAAGGAUUAAGGGUGUUUCAAUUAUAAGAUGUUUCAACUAAAGGAUUAAGGAUCGAUUAGUUGAAACAUCUUCAAUUAUAAGAUGCCAUUAUAUAUUUGUAGUUUUACAAGCUAAUUAACCAUUUCGAGAGAGUGUUGAUCGAGUGGCGUCAAACGUCCAACUGGAUUGGCUCAAGGCCUCAAGCUCGAUCGACUUGAGAAGAAAGCCAAGUUGAGGACACUCAUCAAAUUUGUUUGGACACUGAAGAAGGCUCUGGAUUGCCCAAUCAUAAUGGGGUGGUGAUGAAGACUUCUCCAAGAUUGGUUUAGGGUUUAGGGUGACAGUGGUCCGUACAUUAAUGGAGGGUGAAAGUGCUGUGGCAGUGGCUGAUGUGCCACCAGUUAGGCCUCUAUCUACCUUAUGGUUUCCAAUAAUGGGAUAACAUUAUUGGACUAUAUAUAAAACAAAAUGAAAUCAAUCUGAAACUUACUAGCUAGCUAGUGUGAGAUGUAACCUAGCUUGCUAGUAAUUAACAGAGCAGUACCCUUGCUCGAUCUGUUCGAUCAAAUCCAUUGUUUUCAUCUCAACUUUUCAAGUGCCUCGCGCAAGCCCCCUAGUUCCUUUCAUAGCAAUACCAAAAGAUCAUGAAAACUUACCCAAAAAAGGAAGAUAGAGACAAAUCUUUCACUAUUGACUACCAAAAAGAGAAAAAUCAUUGCUGCAAUCAUGGAGAAAAUGCAGAUAUUUUCUUGAACGUCCAAUCACUAUAUCUAUAAGGACAGCAGCUCACUGCCUAGCUCUCAUACACUGAUAAUAAUCAAAGCCUCUCUCUCUCUCNNNNNNNNNNNNNNNNNNNNACACUCUCUCUCUCUCUCUCUCUCUCUCUCUCUCUCUCUCUCGUAAUGGUGCAGAACCAUGAGUCUUCUUCUCCUUUAAAGCCGGUUAUUAUGAUGGUGGUUACCCAGAUUUUGAACACUGUGAUGAACAUAAUGUAUAAAUUUGUUACAGUAACAGGGACGAACUUGAAUGUUUUCGUUGCCUACCGACUGAUGUUUUCAGCAGCCUUUAUGGUUCCGCUGGCUCUAAUACUCGAAAGGUACAUAACAUGUUUCUCCUUUCUUCAUUUUUACUUGUCUUAAUAUUAAACUUCCUAAUCAUUUCACACAUCAGGAAUAGAAGGCCAAGUCUUAAUUGGGUUGUUUGUUUCAAGCUUUUAUUUCCGGCCUAAUUGGGUAAGUUUUCGUUGCAUUCCAUCAAGGUAUAGCAGCAGAAGGAAAUAGCUAGUAAGAAAUCAUUGAAAUCUUCCAAAUUUGAAUUCUAAUUCAAUAAUCCAUUGUCAUUGUGGAUUUAUGGCAGGGCUGCUCUGCCACAAAACUUAUAUAUUCUGAGUCUAGCGCUAACAUCACCCACAUUCCUUGCGGCCAUCAACAAUCUCAUGCCAGCCACUACCUUCGUCGUCGCUCUAUGUUUCCGGUACAUGCUUAUAAAUUUUAUGUUACACUCGACUGUGUUUACUUAAGUCUCGUCAUGUUAGUUUUACAUCAGAGUAACUAUUUUGAAUGUGAUGUUCAGGCAGGAGAAGUUGACGAUGCGAAAUUCUGGCAUAGCCAAAAUGGUUGGGACUGUGGUUGGAAUAGGAGGAGCAAUGCUUUUCAUUUUCUACCGAGGACCUGUAUUCACAUUUUGGGCCACUCAUAUUGACCUUCUACAGCAAUAUUACGGCACUAGAAGCGUCUCAUCCUCAAGCCACAUGAGCAAUCCUGCGUUGGGCCUCCUCGCAGGAUUCGGCAGCAGCUUGUGCUUCUCAUUGUGGCUCGUAAUGCAGGUUAUUCUUCAUAGUUCAUCAGCAGCCACUAAUGAAGCACAUGAUCUUCUAAACACACUUUUGUAUAGUGUAUUACCUGUGUGUUCUGGAAAUGAUCGAUCUCAUAGAUUUCAGUUUGAUACAGGUGAAGAUGAGUAAGAGUUACCCCUGUCCAUACUCAAGCACGGCUUUGAUGGCCAUCAUGGGAUCCAUUCAGAGCGUUAUCUUUGCACUUUGCGUAGAGAGAGAUUGGAAUCACUGGAGGAUGGGUUGGGAUAUUAGGUUGUGGACAGCUGCAUAUUCGGUGCCAUACUUACUUGGAAGCUAGCUCAUUAUUUCGUGUAGCCAAUACACUGAUGCAGACAUGGUUUAUAGUUUAUGUUAACAUUUGAAGUUGUAUGUGUUGUGUAUCAUGCAGGGAAUUGUGAUUUCUGGAGUGGCAGUGGUUGUGAUGUCUUGGUGUGUACAAAAGCGAGGGCCACUUUUUGUGUCAAUUUUUUCUCCACUUACCCUGUUGAUGGUAGCCUUUGCUAGUUCCUUGUUGUUAGGGGAAAACUUUAGCCUCGGAAGGUAUAGAUUCGUAUGAUAUACAGUAAACUUUAAUUUCCGAAAUUAUCUUGUUGAAGUUGUUGAUAAUGUGUGUAUUUCGACAGUGUAUUAGGAGGAGUUCUAAUUGUGUGCGGGCUAUACAUGGUGCUUUGGGGAAAAAGCAAAGAAGGACCAUCGCCGCUUGUGCUACCCUCGUUGACAACAGCUCCCCUAAUUUCCAAGUCCGUAGAUAGCGCUCCGGUUCAAACGAGUGUUGGAUGAUGAGGCAAACCAAUACACACACAGCAAGCCAAUAAACAUUUGGCACUUUUCAUAUACAUGUAAAGUUGGGGAGGAGAAAUGGAAGGUGUGUUGAAUAAUUACGGCCGCUAUUGGUAAGUGGGGAUUCACAACCACUGACACUGCGAUUCAUGACAGGUGUGACGAAUUUUCAAGCCAAACACGUGGACAAUAUCUGGGGUGAUGUGGAGUUCGUAUGACCAUUGAGCUUCACACGUGGACGUAGGUGGUUCUGAUACCAUAAUAAAACAGUUCGGGGUUCUCACAUCCAAAAUCAAUUGGCAAUGGGUGGAGUGGCCCAAACCUUUUUAAACUCACAUGCAAUGUCUCAUAUUCCCGAUGUGGGAUUGAUAUCUCAACAAGAUCACUCCCAAUACUUCUCACUUCAACAGAUAGAAGUGUAAGGCAUUAAGCUAUAUAGGUAUCUGUAGCCCUCUAGUUAAAGGUCACAACAGGUAGCAUACUGUACUGAAAAAGCAUACAUACAUGCAUGAGCAAGUGCCAAAUCAACAGACAAAGCCUAGUGAUCAAGAAGCGUAAGACUGCUGCUAUACGUUGCUAUAAUUCGAAAUGUGUGUUAAGAGUGUGUGUUAGAAUCAUGUCAAGACACAUUAGAAACUUAGAAUCAUGUGUAGAGUGAAAUGUGUUGCCAUUCUGAAAUCACAAGUCACAAGUCACAAGUCACAAAUGCAUCAUCACAUUACAUCACUCAAUUCCCUGGUACUAACAUAUCUGAGUAACUAGCUAUAGACAAUAUAUAGGGAAACAUCUGAGGAUAACAGGGCUCAAAAUGACAAUAAUAGAAGUUGAAAUUAUGACUCGUAUAAUCCAAUAUCUGCUUGCAUAUUCUCAACUACAAUCCUCACAAUCGUAUCUAAACACGUAAUUAGUAAAGCCACUAGGAAAAUUUUCAUAUCAUCAAAGGCUUAGAGAAAAAUUACUCCCAACUGCUACAAAGACCACAGUAGAAAAAAUCCAAAUGUUCUGAAUUAAAGGCUCACACCCUUACCUAAAUUCAUAAAAGAAGCAACUUAAAGCAUCACAAAAAAUUUAAACAUCAGAAUUCCUAAGGUCACUUUAUGACAUAAUUGAAUCACCUGAAUCCCAUCCAUAUCUUUUGUAGCCAGAAGGCUUUCACAGUUUCACCCUGAGGUUGUGUUAUAGAGAUAUGGUGAGGUGAGGAACAGAUGCAGGCAUGUCAAAACACGAAAUGACGGCUAAGCAAGGGGUCAGUAGGUGUUCAACAACGAGGGUUAGAAGGCAGUAUGUUAGUACAAUCUAAAAACCCUAAACUUGCAAGAUGACAAGAUGUCAGCCAGCUCUGUUUCCUGGUGAUGAUAAUGCUACAUAAAGGAAAGCCCCCUUAGACUACAUGUAUGCAAAAUGAAGCUGAGAACCUAAUGUGACAGAGAGAAGGCACAAAAGAUAUCAAAGAAAAUCAUUACUACUUGCUAGAAACCAACUUCAACACUUGCAUGAGCUUACGAAAAACACAUGGUCAUUUGGUAUUGAACAAGUGCCAGGACACACAUCUAUACAUGCAUUGUGAGCUCAUUUCUCACCCAAAUAAUACAAUCAUACCAAUACCUAUACAGACAUAUUGAUGUUAAGGUGAGCACGAAAGCAAGCCAUUAAAGCAAAUACAAUUCCUACAAAGGCUCAUGCAUUGUUUUCAGAAGUCUAGCUUCACAAAUACACAAUAUCCAGCAUCAUAACCACAUAAAGUGAAUCACCCUGCAAACAAUUAGUAUGAACAAUGAUCUAUAAAGGUUAAUUUCAAGGGCCAUUUUGUAUCUAAAAUGUAACCGAUAACUUGCUCAGAGAUUAUCAAUGUCUUCUUUAUAUCAACAACCAUAACAUCCAAACAUAAAUGUGCACAAUCUUAAAACCCAGGGCAGGAAACUUGCCUAAGAAACACUGAAAUUCAAUGUCUUCUUUGUUGGGCCUAUGGAUCGGGCCAGAAACUCAUGCUGGGCUGGAUCUAGUGAACUCCGAGAUCCACUCCCAGAUCCUUCUCCAACCCUUGCUGCUUUCUCCGGAAGCCACCGAAACGGCAUCGUUGGACGACGCUGGAGCCGCUUCAAGAAAGCUGAGCAGCACCUUGGUGAACCGGACCAGAAAAUCAACCUCACGAGCAGUGUUAGGGUUCGUGAUCGAAAAGCAUCGGAUCUUUUCCUUCUCCAGAAUCUUUCUCAGGACCUCCACGAGUUCUCCGGCGACUUUGAGUUUGUACAGCGCAAGGAGUGAGGCGGCGGCGUUAUGCAAAUGCAAUCGGAGCGCCGUUUCGUCGGAACCGCCGGCCAUUGAGAUGUAGGGCUCCGAGGUCUUCAUGAGUGAGGAUUCCGAUGAGCGGAGGUGAGUUAGCACCUGGAGUAGCUUCUUUGCCUUAAGCCUGUCUGAAUCCAUGGAUUCUCCGGCGACGAUCUGACCGGAAAUUGGCUCUGUUGCUCUCGCCAUUUGAGUGGGUGGGACUGUUGGACUCAUGCGUGGAUUUAACCCUUUAUAGAGGGCUUUGUGGUCAUUUCAUGCGUGGGACGGUCAGUCACGGACUCACGCCCCAAUCUGUUAUGCCACGUAGGAUUCUUUUGGCGGGAAUUAGGAUCGUCCCCGUUUUUUUUUUUUUCUACAGAGAAGUUUCUAGGUGGCAGUGAGGAUUUUUAGUAUCACAGUGUAUCUUCACGUAUAAUAAUAAAUGGUCAGGAUUAUAGUAAAUAAUAUAAAAAUAUGAUGAUCAAAUAUAUGAAUUGUUAUAAACGGUUAAGGUUGCGUCGUGUAAAUACACGUCAUGCGUACAAUAAUUUCUAGAAAAAGUUGCCCUAUAUGCAUAUUUUUUUUCUUUUUAAAAGGUUAAAGACUAUAAAUUUAUGUUCGUGAUUGUUGUUGUUUGCGAAAAUUAAAAAAAAAAGAGACUUUUGUACUAAAAGACUAAGGUUGUGUUGUUAAAUUUAUGUUCGUGAUGUCCGAAUUAACACACAUUCAUUAGUUUUAUACUUUCAUAAUUGUCAUAUCUAUAUAUCUUACAAUGUGAAGCGUGGAGUUAUCCCAAUAUUUAAUCUUAACAUUUUAUACAUGAAGAUCAUAGUCAAUCCCGCGCCGAUAUUGGAUCCAUAUAAAGCUCUAUAUCCAUAUUUGAUCAGGAAGUCAAUUCCACAGGAAUUGGGUGAGAUAUAAUUGAUAGUACGUCCAAGUUGAAUAUGGAGUAUGGACUGCCCUCGACUACUAUAAAAAAACUAAAAAGGGGUCAUGACCAGAAACAUACACCCACUCAAAUUAAGUCUCAAACCGCAAAUUACAUUGCUCUCUCUAUCUCUUUGAUCCGUGGCCAAAGCUAGUAAUUAACUACCAACAAUGGACGUUGAAGCUCGGAUGAAGAUCGUUGAUCAGGAUUUGAACCUCCUUAGAACUUUACAAUCACAAGGCCGCCGUUGCCGUAGCGGAGAUGUGUCAUUACAUAUCAAAACUCUUGAAAAGGAGCUAAUUGCUCUUGACAUCAUCAACAAGAUUGACCAUGAAUUGGAAAGAUUCAAGGAACUGGAUCUAAUCCCUGUUGCUGGCAGCAUUGAUACGGCAGCAAACGACCUCAAGAGGGCUCGAAAACUGCUCGUCGAAGAGUAAGUACUAUACCAAGAUUUCCACUCGAUCGAUUAGCUUAAAAAUUGAAGCACGAAUUAUAUGUUUAACAUAUUAAUGAUUGAGUUUCUUUGUUUGCAGACAGACUUCACUGGCAAGUAAAACUAGCUGUUCCAGCCUCCUCUGCAGCAGCAUGAACAUUAAGGAUGCAUUCCGGAAGCUAAAAGCCCUAGAAUCCAAUUAUUCUGACAAUCUUUUAAGUGAUAUAAAUAUUAGUUCUGCAAUAGAUCAUCUUGAGAGCGCUGAUGAAGAUGUCAAGUUACUGCUGACCCAGACUAAGGCCUUUGACGGAAUGACCGAAUGGUGCGUCGCCAAAGUGGAGAGCUUUUUCAAUAGAUUACUUAGUUAACCAAGAGAAAUUCUACGGUACCCACCUGAUACCCAUAUUUACAUAUAUGACAACAAAUUUAUUCUCAUUGUAAUAAAAUGAGUUAUUUGUGUGAUAAUUUUAGUUAUAUAAGAGGUAAUUAAGUACCUUAUCAAUGACGAUAUUUUUACAAGUUUAUGAAUAAAUUGUUGUUAAUGUGAUAAAUUGGUUCAAUUAUAUGUAAAUGCGUAAAAUAAAUUAGGUAACUUUGUUGUCAGUGUUGUGAAUUUGAGUAUACAAAAUUGUAAUUUUUGUUCAAUUAGUUGUAAAUGAGUGUAUAUAUAGACAUUUGAAUACUUUUGGAUAACCAAAACACCAAAAAUCAGGAAAAGAUUCCCAAAGCGAGAUGAGAUGCAAACGUGUGUGUGUCUAUAUAUAAAUUUGAUGACUGUAAUUCUACUGCUGUAAUGCUACUGUGUAUAAGAUGAGAGUAACGUGCCAACGUUUAUAUAAGAACACUUCCUCUCAAAUUUGAUUCUGUGUGUCUAUAUACAAUUCGAUUAUACAACGGUAGCGGUUACAACUUCCAACAGAAAUGGCCAAGAAAACAUUAAGAUGCAUGCGUAUGCGUUUAAUUUGACUGAAGUAGUAGAGUGUAGUAUACUACCUUCUAACUCGAACUUCAUUUCGUGGAUCUAGCAUACCCUGAUAGUCGAUCAAGGCCUUAAGUUUUUCCUGUUUCUUGAACUCGAAAAGUUCCUAAUGGUGGUGCAGAAUCAUGAGGCUGCUUCUAAUUAUAUGAAGGCGGUGAUUAUGAUGGUGAUUACCCAGAUUUUGUGUUCUGUAAUGAUCAUAAUGUACAAGCUGGUUGCAGUGACUGGGGCGAACUUGAAUGUUCUCGUUGCCUAUCGACUCGUGUUUUCAGCUGCCUUUAUGGUUCCACUGGCUCUGAUAUACGAACGGUACAUUACAUAUCAUAUUUCUCCUUCGAUUCGAUCAUUUCUUUUCACUAAUUGUAGAAUAAACUUCAUAAUCAUGCUAUAUAUCACUGCUAUUUGUUUUGUAAUAAUCAGGAAAAGCAGACCAAAACUUACUUGGGUUGUGUUGUUUCAAGCAUUUCUCUGCGGCCUAUUUGGGUAAGUUUUUCGUUUAAAUUAAAUUCUAAAUAAAAAAAAUCUAAAUUAAAUAUCAAUCUAAUAUCUCAAUUCGAUUCUUGCAGGGCUGCUUUGUCACAAAACUUGUACAUUGUGGGUCUCGCCCUCGCAUCACCCACAUUUCUUGCAGCCAUCUCCAAUCUCUCCCCAGCCAUUACCUUCUUGGUUGCUCUAUGUUUUCGGUAGAUAUAUACAUAUACAUUUUACAAUAUAUAUGCUACCUGACCACUUCUUUAGUCUCGUUUGCACAUUUUGGAAAAAUCUGAUUAUCUUUACUGUUGGAUUAUUUUGUUUGUAAUAUUAUUGUGAAUGAUGGAUGAUAUGAUGAUUAUGAUCUGCAGGCAGGAGAAGUUGAUCAUGGGAUUUUCUGGCAUAGUCAAAAUUGCUGGAACCGUGGUUGGAAUAGGAGGAGCAUUGCUUUUUACUUUCUACCGAGGACCUAUAUUUACCAUUUGGUCCACUCAUAUUGACCUUCUACGGCAAUUUCACAACAGUAGUAGCUUCUCAUCAUCAUCCUCAAGCCACAUGAACAAUCCUGCAUUGGGAUUUCUGGCAGGCUUCGGCAGCAUCUUGUGCUUCUCAUUAUGGCUCAUAGUUCAGGUUAUUUUUCGUAGUUCAACAUGUCACAAAUAAAGCACAGGAUCUACCAAACAAUAUCUCUGCACUAUUAUUCUUGCUUUUAGAAAAUGAUCUCAUGGAUUUAAAUUUGCCGCAGGGGAAGAUGAGCAAAAGAUAUCCUUUCCCUUACUCGAGCACGGCUCUGAUGUGCAUCAUGGGAUCCAUCCAGAACGUUAUUUUCGCGCUUUGCGUGGAGAGAGAUCGGAAUCAAUGGAAGAUGGGUUGGGAUAUUAGGUUGUGGACAGCUGCAUAUUCGGUACAAUACUUGCUGGAAUUUUGCUAUCUAAGUAUUUUGUGUAUCUGACAUAUUCAUGCUCACAUGGUUCAUACUUUAUAGUAACAUCAUGCAGGGAAUCGUGGUUUCCGGAGUGAGCAUGGUUUUGAUGUCUUGGUGUGUACAAAAGCGAGGGCCACUUUUUGUGUCAAGCUUUAAUCCACUUACCCUGUUGAUGGUAGCCCUUGCUAGUUCCUUGUUGUUGGGAGAAAAAUUUAGCCUCGGAAGGUAUAUAAAUCCGUAUCAUAUAUACUGUUGUCGAGACACUAAAAGUACAAGAACUAAACAGUGUUUAAUCCUAUAUAGUAAACUUUCAUUUCCGAAACUGUGUCUUGUUGAAGUUGUCGAUAAUGUGUGUAUUUUGGUCGAUUGUUUUCGACAGUAUGUUAGGAGGAGUUCUAAUUGUGUGCGGGUUAUACAUGGUGCUCUGGGGAAAAAGCAAAGAAGGAUCAUCAUUGCUUGUACUACCCUCAUCGACAAUAGCUCCCAAGGAUUCCGAGUUCAUAGAUAGCGUUCCGGUCCCGGCGAGUGUUGGAUGAGGCAGCAAAUAGAUCUGGUUACUGAAACUUUGAUUCUGGGGGAUGUAUUCUAGUUUAGAGACUUGAAUGUUGACAGGUUUUACUGUAGACUUGAACGUAUGUAGUGUUUGUAACGUACAGGAUCCGACUAGGUUGAUGAUCUGUGAUAUGCAAUUAUGCAUGGUUUGACUUGAACAUAAUCAACCUUCCAAUUCUAAGUAAAUGUCCAGAAGGGAUUACCAAGCCAUGAUAUUUGAAAUACCAUCUUCUAAUUAACUUCAACGUAUGUUCAUGGAAUGAAGACCAAAAUUGAAAACCUAAAUUUUGAUCGAUUUCAGCAAAGGAUGUUGAGUGAAUGUUCAAUCACAUUAUAGACAUUGAUCUUACAAUGCUCAAGAAGUUAGAUUGAAACCUAAAUUCCAAUCUAGAAUUACUCAGAUAUUUUUCCAAUUGAAGUCUGUUGUAUUUGAAAGUAGUUAAGAAAGUUAGGGGUAACGUAUUUAGCAGUAAAAAUGUAAAAAGCUACAAUAAUAUAUCGAAUAAUCGAGUGGGAUAUUAAUAAUAAGUGAUUUGACCAAGGCAAGAAAGUGCCAAUUAACGAUAAGUAAAAUUAUUACAAGACAGAGAAAAUCGAGCUAGCAGUUAACCUCUCCCCUCCCUCUGUCUCAAUUCUCAAAGCUGUUUUUACCUUAAUUACUUCCUUAAUUCAUUUCCAAUAAGGAGGAAACAGAGGCAGUAUGACAUCAGCGCUGACAUCGCUUUUUGAACUUCUUUUCACUAUUUACCACGAUGAACACCAAGCUACAGCACUCUAUAUGUAUACAACAGCUGGCUGUAACAAAUCAUCCACCUCACCUCUUUCUCUCCCUCACUCUCUCUUUCUCAAAGCUCCUAACUCCUAAGGAUGGAGAAUGAAGAAGCCUCUUUUUGUUUGAAGCCAGUGAUUAUGAUGGUUGUGACCCAAAUUUCAUAUUCUGUGAUGAACAUAUUGUACAAACUGGUUGCAGUUUCCGGCAUGAACUUGAUUGUUUUCGUUGCCUACCGCCUGAUGUUUUCAGCUGCCUUUUUGGUUCCGUUGGCUCUAAUACAGUAAUACUCGAAAGGUACAAUCUACAUUAUUUGUUCCUACAAUUCUACAUUUCUUCCUCCUGAUUUCCUCUUAUACACAUAUCUUUAAUACUCUAAUACAUAUAUUCUGUAAUUCUGAAACCAGGAAGAGCAGGCUAAAACUCACUUGGACUGUGUUGUUUGAAGCUUUUAUCAUCGGCUUAUUUGGGUAAGUCGUAUGUAAUUAUAUAUUCCUUAACCAAAAAGGAAAACAGAAAUGUUCUCUUGAUAUCCGAAUUAAGUUGGAUAAUUAAAUUGAUGAUUCAUUUCAAUUGUUGCAGGGGAACCAUGACACAGAUUUUAUACAUGCAAUGUCUUGCACUGACAUCACCCACAUUUGUUUCAGCCAUGCUCAAUCUUCUGCCGGGCAUCACCUUCGUGAUAGCUCUAUGUUUUAGGUACAUAUACAUUUUUGCAUUCACCUCUACAAUCCCUCAAGACUCGUAAUACGUACUUAAAAAAAAUAUGUACAUGUGAUGGAUCAUCUGAUCAGGUUGGAGAAGUUGAAUUUUGGAUCCAAAUCCUAUUCUAGCAUAGCCAAAAUCGUCGGGACUGUUAUGGGGAUAGGAGGGGCAAUGCUUUCUACUUUCUACCGAGGGCCUGUAUUUACCGUCUGGUCGACUCAUAUUGACCUUCAGAACAGUAGUAGCGUGCCAUUGUCACCCCACAGGAGCAGUCCUGUGUUGGGAUUCUUGGCUGGCCUCGGAUCCUCGGUUUGCUUCGCAACAUGGCUCAUAGUUCAGGUCAUUCAAAACAAAUUGAGCAUGGGGCCGGAUCAGCUGAUUAACAUGUGCAUGUAUUGUGACUGUUAAAGUCUGUGUAUAUGGAAAAAAUUAAGGGAUUUCCAUUGGUAUGCAGGCAAAGAUGAGCAAGAUAUAUCCGUGUCCUUACUCAAGCACAGCGCUGAUGUCUUGCAUGGGAUCUAUUCAGUCUGUGAUUUUGGCGAUUUGCCUGGAGAGGGAUUGGAAUCAAUGGAAGCUUGGUUUACAGCUGCCUAUUCGGUAACAAUUACUCAACUAACUAAUUAUGCAUCGUUUACUCGCGUGUGCUUUAUAUUGACAUUGUGAAGUUGUGUUUGUGCACCAUGUAGGGAAUUGUGGUUUCGGGACUGGCAGCGGUUAUGAUGUCUUGGUGUGUACAAAAGCGAGGACCGUUGUUUGUGGCAGUUUUCUAUCCGCUUACGCUUUUGAUGGUGGCAAUUGCUGGUUCCUUGUUCUUGGAGGAAAAGUUCACCCUCGGACGGCAAGUACUUGUAUAUUUGUGUCGCCUUCAUUUUGGUUCUAAAAUUGUGAACUAAUGUUGAUCUCUGUAUGUGUUUCUUUGUCAUGGUCACAGUGUAUCAGGAGGAGUUCUAAUUGUGUGCGGACUGUACUUUGUGCUAUGGGGAAAAAGCAAAGGAAGGCCAACAAUAGCGCCCCAUGCUUCUCAGACAUCUUUAGAAAUCGUUCCAUGUAUACAUUCUAUUGUAUGAGGUGCAACGAUUAUGAAAAUGUCCGAGACAAACUGAACUGGAUUGUUCGAAACAGGAAGAUGUUUUGUUAUUGCUCUUAGAAGUGGGCAAUAUUAUUAACAAAAAAAGAUGGAAGAUUAUAAAGAAAAGAUCAUUCUGAAUACCAGUUUCGCACAACCAAGAAAAUUAAUACAAUUCAACAAUGAUUUCACAAAAGGGUAAACAUGAUUUCACAGAAGGUAUAAGCACCAUAAAUAUGAAAGAAUUACCCUAUUGAUCAGGAUUUAAAACACCUUAGAACUUUACAAUUGGUUCCAUUGCGGCGAUGAACUGUCUAAAAUAACUUCCAGAAGCUAAUAAGCUCCCAAAAAGGGAAGCAGUGCGCAAGCGAGGCUUACCUUUCCCUUCUCAUCUUCAUGUAGUCAUCUACUGCUACCAAGUCUUGUUUGCAUAUAAAAUCACUAAUGCCUUCCACAUCAUCUUUCCCAUACAGCAGAUCAUCGAUUUCAUUCUCACCGGAAUAUUCCCCUGGAUCAUCAGUAAUAGUACUGCUACCAGCCGGAGAAGUUGGCCGUGGCAGCAAAGUGGUUUCUUUCUUCUGUACCCUGACACUUCUGCUACCGGCACCACUAAUAACACUUAACGAAACUUCUCCGGCCAUGAAAGCAACAGUAAAUAGGUUGUAUGUCUGUUGUAGCAGUGAAAUCAAAGUUUCGGACUGUAUAUUGAGAAUAGGGUUUUAACUCGGAAGAGAGUUCUUGUAGGCUUGGGAUUACAAAGUAACAAAACUGCUAGAUUUCAACCCUUCUUUUCCGGACCAAAUGACCGUAUCCACCAACAUUGCUAAAGAAGGUGAUCUUUCUUUUUCCCAUAACUCAAAGGGAUUGUUCCAAUACACACCGAAAAGGGAUAAACUCUUCCUAUUUAGGUCUAAUAUAUAUUGUUUGAUGUCUUCAGCAAAAUGUAUAGAUGAUAACUUCUGAUGUAUGUAAUCCAAUCAUUUGACAACAAUGAGGAACUCGCACAUUAAAUCCCUACUGAAAUAUUAUGAUACUUGUAAAGCAGUACUACAAUGCCUGCAUUUCCAUAUUAGUAUGCCCAUUGUUGCUAGUAGAGGAUGGUGCAGCAGAGUCCUCGUUGUUGUUGUCAUCAGCAGGCUUGUUCAUCUGUUGAACAGGAGGAGGGUUGACGACAGUCAUUGGCAUCACAGAACUUUCGGAAAGACGGCCCUUCAUCUCCCUGUGCUCCUGACACAAGGCACACCAGUGCAGGCAGCAGUGGACCAAGCAAGGGUCACAUGGCGAGUUCUGCAAUCAACAACAGAAUUAAGCAAGCUUUUGGCUCAAAGGAAUGUAUUCUCAUGGAACGAAUUGAGCACUGGGUAAACAAAAUAACUACCUUGAGAUGAUACUUUUUCUGCAAGGAUUGCCGAACAAGACCUGUAUACACUCCACACAUCCACCAUGCAAACACCAGACCCUCGCAGAUAAGAAAUGAAGUUCUUGGCUCAACACCAUAGAAGAUUGCAGUGGCUGCUGCAACAGCCAUGCCACCUUCAACAAAAAUGGCAUGACAAAUGCACGGUGUGGUCCAUGGCACAUCAUCUCUUAAGUUUUCAACAUUACGCCCAAACUGAACACAGGGGCAAAAUAGCCCUGUCAAGCCUGUGAAGGUAAAGAAUGACAGUGUUUAUUCUUAUAAUCAUCACUAUAUGUUGCUAAUAAUAACAUAUAUGGAUAACUACUGUAGAUUGCAGCAAAACAGAAGUGGAACUAGAGCUCAGUUACACAAUGCAAGAGAAAGGAAGUUUGUACUUGGUAAUCAGACGGCUACUGUAAACCACUGAAUUGGCAUAAAUAUCCUACUUCAUCAAGUUAAAGGUUGAAAUUAGAGCCUAACGCUGAUAUAUACAAUAACAUAUUUGUAACGCUGCAUUGCUAAACUUAUCCUACUUUGUAAGGCAAGCACAACAUGCAGUCCUGAGCACUUAAUAUUCCCGAGGAAAACCAAAACAGAUGUAAAUAACAUGAAACUGAAAAUUGAACAACCCUGUCUAACCAUCAGAUUUAAAGCUACCCUAUCUUGAAGCACAAGAAAUGAAAUCUCAUAUCAACUUACAACUGUCUCUAUCUUCGGCGCAGCCAAAAAUCCCAGUCGUCCAAGGCUCAUCGGCAGGCGGCUGAAAGCUCUCCGGCAAAGGCUGUCCACAUUCAUUACACUUCUGAACAUUCAACUGCGCCCCGUAAUACACACAUUAUUAGUCACACAUCCAUAUAUACAAUAACUUAAAUCCAAAAUCCUCCAUCCUAUCGAAAACCACGCGCAAUCCACACCGUAAAAUCACAAUCCAACUCAUAUCCUACAUAAUCCACAUCCAAAUCCUCACACGCAUCCCUGAUCUAUAAUCAUGAGCAAUUUCUAGAUCCAAGAAAAUUAAAAAAAUAAUAGAAAAUUCGACUUUUCAUCUAGUAAAUCAGCUCAAUUAUAUCCGAUUAUCGCAACAUUACACUAACACAAUCGAUAACCUUCGAUUUCACCUCUAAUUCAUUUCAUGAAAAAAGAAAGGUGAAAUUCUAGAAAGAUCGAACAGGAGAGAGAGAGAGAGAGAGAGACGAUACCUGAGGAACUUCGAUGGGCUGAUUGAGCUCGCCGGGCGUAAUGUCCUCCUGAAGCGGCGCCUGAUCUUUCGUCAGCUUCACAUAGCGCGAGUGACCGCCGCCGUCCGCCAUCAAAAUGCAGCGGAAAUGAGAUCGGGGAAUUCGGGGAGUCAACUCUAGGUUUCGGGUCGGGUUUGGGUCUCCGACUUUGGGUUUCUUCAGAGGUAAGAUCAACUCGUCUCUCUCAGUCUUUCUCUAGUCUAAUCUAUCUCUCUUCGGAUUCAGAUUUAUAGUUUGGAUUGACGGUUUAAUUUACAGGUGGACCACUCGUUUUGCGUUACCUCUUGGUAAUUUCCGUGGUGAUAUACGACAUGCCGUCUUGAUUCGGUUCAGGAAUUUGGGCUACGUCUGUACUAGUAUCGAGGUCCAAUUAAUUGUUUACUGCAACCAGGCCCAGUAUCAGGCCCAAAUUUCUUAUAUAUUUCUUGAAAUUCCAUUCGUUGAACCUGUCUUCGAUGUGGGAUUAGAAGAAAGUGUGCGUAUGUAUUUUGAUUUCAAUCCUUUAGUAAAGAAACUUUUCUUUCUUUGUUUCUUUAUAAAACGAACAGGAAAGUAUUGGAGAAAAUCAUAAGCAUGCCAAAUGUAAUAGAGGAUUACAAAUGUUGAAGGCUUGAAGUUGCCUAUUUUUGUGAUCAUACAUUAGAGGUAAAACAAAAACUUUGACAGCAGAUAAGUCCAAAUGGCAUAUGGUCCUUAUAGACAUUAGUUUACAGUAGCAAGACUCAUCCGGAUAAGAUGCAUCCAUACCUCAACUUUGAACACAAAAAACACCAAGAAAUUUCACAGUUACAGUUUGCAUUUUCAAAGCUCAGCUAGCUCGGUUUUACUCGGCUAUGGUGGGAGUCUUAUGAGGGCCAAUUUCUAUACCAGCCGGACCAAGCAGAGACCAAUCCACUGAUACCAAGAGUGACAGUGUGGUUGCAGAAUGGAUUAGGCUCGAUAUCAGCAAGUGCAAUAAACAAGUCUGCAACAUUAGCUGCCACAGCCAUUAGCCUCAUCACCCUGUCACUUCUAAUCUUUCUUAAGCUCUCAUUCUUCUUCUCAAUGGACUUGUCCUCCAAACUCAUAACCUUCCUCUCUUGCUCGAGCCCUUCUUUUAGCGCGAUAAAAUCAGACACAAUGAAGAAAAUGUACCCAAAGGACUCACCAAAUGCGGAUAUGAAGCUCAUCUUUCUAGCCAAACUUGGGUCUAAAGUCCCAAUUUUUGACAACCAAAGAAAAUGGUCAAAAAAGAAGUAUAUCAUCUCACCAGCAUUAGCAAGAACAGCCAAGAACCUAAGAGUCGGCGUUGAGCCAGGGCUACGUCUCAUUGCGUUGAAUCCAGUGAGAAACCUUCCAGUCCGAAAAGCCUUUCGGCUAAGGCCAGACGAAACCUCCCACUGCUUGAACCUCUCGGCCAUCUUCGGGUUAGUGGACUCGACAUGCCAGUGCACAAGCUUGGAGACAUAUUGGAACGUCUUGACAAGCUUGUCUAUGCCAUCUCUCUUUGCUAGGAAGAUGACUAGCUUGUCUACUGUGUCAUUCAUGGUUGGAGAGAGCAGAGGGUUUGUGUUGGAUUACUUGAAGAAACAAAACUAAGGAGCACCACAAAAGCUUUGAGGAUUUUGGAUAUGAUGACACCCAUAUAUACUUGUGGUUGGACCUUGUUAUGCUUCUUGCUACCAGUAGUUUCUAUGCCAUAUGUUUUCAUUCGUGAAAUUUCAACAUUAGGCAUUCUUAUCUUUAGCAGAUUUGUAGCUUAAGGUCAUGAAAACUUGUUUAGUUUUCUUCACUAAUUUUUGUCAUAGAUUGUAGAGAACAAAACAAUAAUCAUAUUUAGGUCAUGAAAACUAAACAAUAAUCAUUCACUUGAAUGUACCAAAAGAAAUGAAUUAAUAUAAGCUAUUUGAACUACCAUUUACUUUCGAAGAGAAUAAAUGUUAUUGUUCUCAUAAAUGUGUGCCAUAAGCACCCUGAUAAUUGUGUAUUACAGACUGUAUUGACAAAGGUGAAUACCAUAAGAACGUAGAGUAUAUCACUCAGAAAAUGGCUUCUGUUUCUACCAGUGAAAUUUCAAUUGCAUUAGGCGACUCAUUUUACCCUGCACAAACAUUUCCUUGCUAUGAGAACUAUAGAAAAGCAAUACAGUAUUCAUUCUGCACACUAUAACUGGCAGUUACCUCCAUUCACCGAUACCAUUUUACAUCCACUAUCAAAAGGCCUUGAGAAAGUCCCACCAGAUAGACAGAAUUGUGAUCCAGAACUUGAACUCCAAAGCUACCUAAUUCACAUGAUAAUGUAAUUCACAUAUUUACCAUUCAUUUUGUCGUUGGUCUAUUCAUCCAACUGUCUAGGACUGAAAACGAAUGCUUGAACCAGCACCCGCUUCAUGAUUAGAUUUCCAUGUCCUAAGAGGUGGUGAUGAGAGGACAAAGUGAGUUUUGAAAAUUGGAAAGCUAGGAGGACUAAACCAGACAAAACCAAACCAAUUUUUUCUAUAGCAUGUAUAAAGAAUCCCUAAAUACCUUAAAAAGAGGUAGCAAAGCAUCACAUUGUAUGAUUGGCAUCUUCCGUAUCCGUCCCAGUUAAACCAUAUACCACAUGAGCAGCAUUUGCAAUUUGCAAUUUGCAAUAAAGUGGUUAAAACUCAAUACCAGAAAGAAGAGGGAGGAAAUCAGCUAAGUUUUCUUGAGGAAGAAAAUAUAGGAUAUAUGUAUAUAUGUUACCUCAUCAAUGAUUAAAUAGCAUUUCCUCUCCCAGCUGCCGUGUCAAUCAUGCAUACAAUUUGGGUCUGAAGUCUUAAGUAUGUGAUAACAAAGAAGUAGCCAACAACAACUUACCCAUCAAAAAUGGAUACGAGACUCUGAAAACAAUUCCUUGAUAAAUUUCAUACAGAAACAAGAAAAAUUAUCUCAUCCCAAUUCAAAUAAAUUAUAAAUGAGUUACAAUAGUAAAUAUUACCUACCUCAACCCUUUUCUGCGCUAAUAAUAUUGAUGAAAUGGAGUUGAUAUAGUCUCAACAAAAGCUGUGAGAUGGCAAAGAAACGUUUCACCCAUGAUGACAAAAUAGUUCAAAACUCCAAAUGCACAUGUUCAUCAUAAACCUUAGAGAUAUGAAAUCUACCUCAAUAAAUUUCAAAGCUCAGACAUCUAUCUACACAACUCAUUAAUACGGGCGAACUGGACUCCUUGGUGACCUCCUGUGGGAACGUCUAAUAGGGGAACGUGACCUGCUUCGAUUACGGUACCUAUCCCUGCCUCCAUCUCUCCCAUUCCUGGACCUCCAAUCCACCCCUCUUCCACCAUCCUGACCACCUCUACCAUUCCACUCUCUGGACCUUUCACGAUCCAAGUCACGUUCUCGAUAUCUGUCAUGAUCACGAUACCUGUCCCUAUCACUUGAACCACUUCUCCUUCUACUCUCACUUUCCUUCUCCUGCUGUUUCCUGCGUUCUUCUGCUUCUUUCUCCCUAGCUAACUUUUCUUCUUCCCUUGCUUUCUCCUUCGCUGCCUGAAAAAUGAAAUCCAUGUCCUUCAGACACCAAGAAAGAAAUAAACUCUAUUUCUUCUCAAGUUCACUACUCAAUAAUUCAAGAGACUCACCUUGUACUCUGAAAUAAAAUCCCGGACCAUGCCAUAACCAAUAUGCUGCUUCCCAGUGACAUGAGACUGAGUCCUCUCUAAAGCAUCAUUGGCCACAAGAAAUGAACCACAGAUCUCACAGAGUGCCAUUUUUUUCUCCUGUGGAACCAUUAAUGCUUGAGCAUUUGGAGGCUGUAGAGCCAAGACUGUCUUCUCAACAUUAAGCACAUCCACCUGCCAAAAGGGGGAGAAACAAUCAGAAUCAAAUAUACCUGAGUACUACAUUGUAAUAACUGAACAACAGAUAACCAAGAAGAGAGUACUUAUAUGGCAUGGAUUCUACCAAACAUGCGAGCAAAAAUACACAUUUUUUAAGAAUUAUUUGCAAUACAAAACUACUACAUGCAAUACCUUUCUCAUCAAUGCUUCAGCUUCAUCCACCUUCCCAGAUGCUCCAAGUUCCUCCACUUGUUCCAAUAAGUUCUUUAUUUUUUCCUCUAGAACAGAUAACUGUUCGGCCUUUUCAGCUGACAGAGGUGGUGGUGGUGGAGGUUCCACCUCCUGAGAGAGGCGUUCUCGCCCACGCUUAACUCUUCUGUCCAAAUCCAUCACCUGCAAUGAAGGUGGAAUAUGACAAACAAUUACAAAAGAAAAUCGAAGAAAACAAAGACCAAUCGAAGGACAGCUAGCUCACCAAUUUGUCACAAAACUGAGCAAGAUCAGCUUCAAACCUCGGCACAUAUGCAUCAUGCCUUGGAGACUUCUCAAAACUAAAUGAAUCAACAAAAGAAAAAAAAAUUAAAGCUGGAAAAGACAUAUUGUCUAAGUUUAUGAACAUAUUGACUAAAAUAUUAGAAUACUUCUGAUCAUCAAUAAAACUUCCAGUAUUUAUUUUUUCCGAAAACCCAUCUGGAUACUCUCCCUCAGUUUGUGCAAACAUUAAAAAUAUACAGUGAUAUACAGGAAACAAAAUAAAUCAUAAGCAGAAACUGAAACCGUUAAAAAGAUAAGAAAAGGAGGAAGCAGAUCACAACAAGCGACUCAUAACCAACUACUUGCAAUUAACUGAUAACGAGAGCAUAGUUUAACAUACAUAAUACGACACAUCCCCUGCACCUAUCUAGUACAUAAGUAUUUAUUAAAGAACUGGAUAAAUUCUUGUUCAAAUAACAAACUGUGAUAAAAUGCAUACAUAACAGUCUUAUGAUUGCAUUUCAUCUAAAUGCACAUGAAAUUCUGCUCAACAUCAAAUACGAAAAGCUCAAACCAGAAAGCAGAAUUUCAAUCUCUCUGAAUAAUCAGCUAAUAAUCACCUCUCUUUCAACUUGGAGUCAUGUAUUUUAGGACACGGCCCUGAUUCAAAAAAUCGAAAGAAAUUAACCAUCAGCAACCGAAAUCAAACUCAAACCAGUCAAAACUCAACACUGAAUUUAGUGAAUUUCAACCACAAACACACACCUAGAUCGCUUCGGGUGUUGACAAAGAGAUCAUGAGGGCAAAAUCGAACCAUAUAAGCUCCGCAAACCUCCUUGGAGUCCCAAGUGACCUCCUUAUACCCUUUCCUCUCUUCCUCCGUCAAAUUCCGAGCUGGAUUGCACCACAAAACCAGUCAAACAUCUCAAAAUCCAAAGCAAUAACCAAAAUCAACAAACUAAAACCACGAAUUCACCGAAAUACGAUAUCAAAUUGCGAUUGAGCCAAUAACAAAUAUGUAGGAACCAAAUUAGGGUUUGAUGGAGAGAUACCUGCGCCCAUAAGCUCGUCCAGCAGAGCUCGCUGAGCAUCCAUGGCAGAUCGAAGUGAGGAGGAUUUGAAAUCGAGAAGAAGACUAUGUGAAUUCUGAUUGGAGAGGAGAGAUUGAGAAGGGUUUAGACCAAUUUGGGUAGGUGCGAUGCUUUUAGGGAGCCUAGGGUUUGCUCUAGAGGAGUAGAAGCAUCAGAGAGAGAGAGAGAGAGAGAGAGAGAGAGACGGUGAUGGCGGUAGUANGCNCGUAGGUCGUGGUAGGCUCGAGUACGUUAGGUCGUCGUUGGUUGUUAUAGUGGUUUUUGUUUUUUUUUUUGUUUAAAGCAGUUUUAGUUCUUUACUACUAUAUCACUAUACAGAGUUACAUAACUCAAGUUUAGAACCUCUUAAAGCUAUUAAUUUUGUGAUUUGUCUUGUGUAAUGAAUAAUGAGAACUUUGGAACCUCAUCCAUGAAACAGGAUGGAUUUGAGCUUGGAUUCAGGAAUCAAGUGAAGUCUAAUAAGAAAAACAUCACGAAAUUUCUAAAUUUUUAAAAAAGUAAAACCGUCGACUUCUAAUUUGAAAUUAAAUUAUGCUUCAUAAGAGAAGCUUUCUAAUUUGAUCGGUGAUUGGGUGGUCUACCACUCAAGAGCUAAUUUGGAGCAAUUUAUGAUGAACCCUCCUCUAGGGACGUUUUAAUAUAUACCUAGAUGCUAGAUAUACUCGUAUUACAUGUAGAUAUAUUGUAGUUAAAAACAUGGUUUUGAUAUACCGUAAUUUAAAAUUUUGAUCUUUAAAUAGAAAAUAAUAUGAUGUAUUAUAAUAUUAGAUCGUGACUUUGAAAUCUAAUAAAGAUGAAAGCGGUCAAAACUUUAAAAAAAAAAAAACAAGUAAUUUUUUUAAAAUCAUAAAAAUCAAUUUUGCUUUAACAUGAACUCGAUUAUAAUUCGAGCAUUAUUAGUCUUUACUUGCUCUAAUUUUUCUUGGAGAAGUAUCAUGUCUUGUUUCCAAGAUGAUGGAUAUUUCCGUCUAUCUCGAACAUCAAUCCAUUUCUCCAAAUUUACGUCGUAGGCGCUUCCUCCCGAAGUAAGCACCAGUAUCUCGAGCUUUGCUGCAUUCUUCAUAAUCCAAAUUGCAAACUCUAACUCAUACCAAUUACCCAGAAACCGCUGCAGUUUAACUCUUUUCAAGUGAUCAUGUGUGAAUGAUCCUGAACAUUCUACAUUAUACCUUAUUUCAUCGGGAAACCUUGAGGUAUAUUCAGUCAGUACAAACUCUUCCAAAAGGGGUGCAGCCGUGAUGAGAUCCCGCACAGACUUGAGAUGAUCAAGAUUGUGAUCAAAUGUACCCGAUUGCCACUGAUUCAAGCUCAAUUGCUUGAGGUUUCUAAAGGUUAUGUCACUGCUGAUUUGGGAUAGUCUAUAGCCUCCGUCCCGGUAUUGCAGAUGAAGAGUCUCGAGCUCAGGAAACGAUGCAAGGCAAGAAUGUACUGCUGGACGCAUCCUUUCGACGUCAGCUAAAAUUCGUGCUAAGCGUGGUGAAGUUGUAACAGAAAUAAUGCUGGAAAAAUCUCCACAAAAUUCCAACGAGACGAGAUUGGGGGCAGAAAUCUCAAUCCCUCCGCAAUGCGACAGCUUCAGAUCACUUAGACGAUCACCAACAAUAUUUAGAUGUGUAAGUCCAUGGCAGUUCUUUAUUUUCAAGCUUUCAAGCAACAAGCAAUUAGAAAAGACAUGUGCCAUAAAAAUCUGAUCAAGGGUUACAUAACUUAGACUGAGGGAUCUUAGAUUGUUAAACCCGUCAAAAUCAGGAGGAGGUUGUCGCAGAAUACAGUCACACAACGCCAAGUGUUUCAGAGAACUCGAGCCGUGGAACAACAACUGAUAGGGAAAAACAUAUGAUGCAAGAUACGGCCGGUUCAACAAAAGCUGAAUGUCUUCAACUCCUUUCGCAAUUGCAAGACGAACCCAUGCAUCAAGGUUGCGAGUAGAUAUUGGGAGUAAGUAAGAUUUUUGCUCUACUUUUAAAGAGUCUAUCUUUUCACCUUGAUAGAGCUCCAUAUACUCUUACAUAAACUUGUCCAGAUCAUCAUUCACUCUCCAUCUGAGACUUUUGAAGACAACCUCAUAGUCGGUUCCGAAGACAUUCGGAUAGUCGAAUUCAAGAUUGCGCCUGGUGAGAACUGAAUGCCGCCAGAGGUGCCUCCACCGACGGGAAAUCAGGCCAGAAUCGAAUCCGGCAACUUAUUCAUCCUAUCCUUGUUGUGAGGAUCUGAAUCCAACUUUUUUCAUCGGCUUCUACUGAGUACUGAUAGAUCUAAGGUUAUAAACAUAUACACGCUGAUAAUUUCCUUGUUCUAUUAAUAUAAUUACUCGUAUCCUAAUAAGUUGAGGAAUAGUGUCUUUUCCUAAACCUCCUCUAAUUAGAGUCCCUAGUGAUCUCUUUGGUGAUCUCUUUGUACCCUUUUCUCUCUUCCUCCGUCAAAUUCCGAGCUGGAUUGCACCCAUGGCAGAUCUCACACUCAUCUUACAUCUCUUUCCACAGAGGAUAACACAGCAAAAUGUUGAAAAUUGUAAGUUUUAGUCGAGGUAACUUUUUAGUUUUGUUUAAGUAGUUUUAGUUCUUUAAAGCUAUUAAUUUUUUGAUUUGUCUUGUGUCUGAUCUUGAUCCGGGAACCAAGCGGAGUCUAAUAAGAGAAACAUCGUCAACUUUCUAAAAUUUUAAAGUGUAAAACGAGUUUUGAUUUGGGAAUCAAAUGAGGUCUAAUAAGAGAAACGUUGAAAAACUGUAUGAUUUGACUGGUGGCUAGGUGGACUGCCACUCCAAAGCUAAGAGCAAUUCAAGUAUGGGCCUCCCUGAAAUGUUUUUCACGAGAGCUAGAGUUCGAACCAUAUCACCAAGAGAGUUAAUGCAGCACGCUCCUCACUUGUGUAAAUAUGUUUACUCUUCAUCUACUUGCUUUACUACGCCUUCAAAGACCCUAUGGAUUUGGCUUCCGCAACCGUUGUCCAUCCAUUAAGAAUGAAACCCAUACUGCCAUACACAGGUGAUCACCGCCGCCGUUUUGCACUCAAUCUUGGGUCUAAAGUUUAUUCUCUCAAAUGGUAAAAUCUAAACUAAAAAGACAUAGUAGUGUAACUUGAUCAAAUUGUACUAGAUAUGUAAUCGUUUCUCUGUCAAUAGAAUCCUCAACAACAACAACAAAAUUGCUUAUUUCACAUAUUCAAUAUUUUGAACCGGACAUAUCAUUCAGAUUUCAGAAUGAGCAAAGUAGUUCUGCGGCCAAAUCAUGUUACUUGCGAAAUGGAUGCCAUCAUAGACUCGUAUAGUUGAUGCCUGCGAGUUGAUUAUUCAGACUUGAUUAUAUUUCGAGCACUAGUCUCUACUUGCUCCAGUUUUUCUUGGACAACUACCCUGUAUUCUUUCCAAGAUGAACUACCUCGACGAUUGCACCAUAUUCCAUAAUUUAGAUAGUAGUAGUGUCCUGCCGGAUUAAUCACCAGAAUCUCAAGCUUUGCUGCAUUCUUCAAAAUCCAAAUGGCAAACUCUAUCUCAUACCAAUUGCCCUGAAACAGCUGUAGUUUAACACUCUUCAAGUGAUCAUGUGUGAACGAUCCUGAACAUUCUACAUUAUUCCUUGUUUCAUGUUGAUGAUUUCUCUCAACAGGAUCCCCGAAGGGACCCCCAAAUGGGUGCAGCCUUGAGGAGAUCCCACAGAGACUGGAGACGGUGGAGAUUAUCAGGUUGCCACAGAUUUUAAGGUCAAUUACUUGAGAUUUCUAAAGGUCAAGUCACUGCUGAUUUGGGGUAGUUCACCGCAUUCAUCCACGUUUCCAGAAGAAAAGUCUCGAGCUCAGGAAACGAUGUAAGACAAGAAAGUACUCGAUGCAUCUCGUCGACUAUAGUUACAAAUCUUGCUAACCGUGGUGGAGUUGUAACAAAAAUAAUGCUGGUGAAAUCUCCAGUAUAUUCCAACGAGACGAGAUUAGGUGCAGAAAUCUCAAUCCUUCUGCAUCGCGACAGCUUCAGAUCACUUAGACGAUCACCAACAAUAUUUAGAUGUGAAAGUCCAUAGCAGAGCUUUAUUUCCAAGCUUUCAAGCAACAAGCAGCUAGACAAGAGAUGUGCCAUAAAAAUCUGAUCAACGGUUACAAAAGUUAGACCGAGGGAUCUUAGAUUAUUAAACCCGUCAAAAUCAGAAGGAGGUCGCAGAUCACAUCUACGCAACGUCAAGUGUUUCAAAGUACUACUCGCGCCUUGGAAUAGCAGCAACUCAUAGGGAGAAACAUAUCUAUCAAAAGAACAAUCCAACAAAAGCUGAAUGUCUUCAAAGUUGUAUUUUCGGUACGUCGCCAAAGUUGUAAAGCAAACGAAUUAGCCAAAGAUAUUUUCGGUAUGUCGCCAAAGUUGUAAAGCAAACGAAUUAGCCAAAGAUUCAUUAAUAGUUAUGGUUUAAGGGUGGCCGUUACGUCCUACUUCCAACAACAACAACAACAAAAAAAACUGAAUGUCUUCAAUUCCCUUUGCAAUUGCAAAACGAACGCAAUCAUCAAGGUUGCGAGUAGGUAUUUGGGGUAAGAAUUUUUUUUCCUCUACCUUUAAAGUGUAUCUUUUCAUCUUCAUAGAGCUCCAUAUACUUUUUCAUAAACUUGUCGAAAUCACCAUUCUCUCUCAUUCUGAGACUUCUGAAGACAUUGACAUAGUUGAAUUCAAGAUUGCGCCUGGUGAGAACGUACAGAAUGCCGCCAGGGGUGCCUCCACUGACAGGAAAUCAGGCUAGUUCUUAUCGCAUCUCUCAUCGGUAACAACAGAAUUAUGCAUGAUUCCAUAAUGGAAUCCGGCAACUUAUUCAUCCUAUCCUUAUCACGAGGAUUUGACUCUCCAACUCUUUUCCUCGGCUUCUAUUGAUAGAUUUAUGAUUCUAAGGUUAUAUACAUAUAUAUAUAUAUAUAUAUAUAUAUAUAUAUAUAUAUAUGUUGAUAAUUUCCUUAUCUUAAUAUUCGUAUCCUAAUACGUUAAGGAAUAAUGUUUUAUUUCCUAAACCUCCUAGGAUUAAGUGCACCAUAAAUCAAACCAAUAAACAAAGGGAAAUGAAAUCUACACACCUAAAAUUGUAAUCCACACACUCACUUUCUAUUAUUAGUAACUUAAAUUUUGUCUUUAGUGACUUAAAUUUUAUCUUCAUAUGAGAAUGAUUAUUAAAAAAGAAAAGUGAGUGUGUGAAUUACAAUUUUAAGGUGUGUGGAAAUCACAUCCCUAAACAAAAUACAAACUAAUAAACCCCAAGUUCACCAAAUUACACUAUGAGCCAAUAAUAAACAAGUAGGUACCAAAGCGAAGAUUGAUUAGGCUUUGACGGAGAUAUCCGCGCCCAUAAGCUCGUUCAGCAGAGAUCACUGAGCACCCAUGGCUAAUCGAAGUUUGAAAUUGAGUAGAAAACUAAGUAAAUUCUGAUCGGAUCGAGAGGAGACAUUGAGAAAGGUUUAGACCAAUAUAUUUUGGUAGUGAAGUAGUGCAAAGAGAGAGAGAGAGAGAGAAUAGUACCAGGUGGUCUCGGAGCUCGAGGUAACUUUGGGCCUGGUUGGUUAUACAAGUGGGUAUUUUUUAUUGUGAUUAUGUUCUAUUUUAAGUUUUAAUCGAGGUAACUUUUUAGUUCUUUACUACUAUAUAUACUACUAUACAAACCUCUUAAAGCUAUUAAUUUUAUGAUUUGUCUUCUGUAAUGAAUAAUUAAUGAGAACUAUGGAACCUCAUGUCCAUGAAAAAGGAAAAGAAUUACAAGUUUGGAUCCGGGGACCAAGCGAAGCCUAAUAAGAAAAACAUCGUGAACUUUCUAAAAUUUAAAAGUGUAAAACAAGUUUCGAUCGGAGAAUCAAAUGAAGCCUAAUAAGAGAAAUAUUGCGAACAUUUUGAUUUGGUCGAUGGCUGGGUGGACUGCCACUCCAGAGCUGAGAGCAAUUCAAGUAUGAGCCUCCUUAAGGAAUAUUUUUCAAGAGUUAGAGUUUGAACCAGAGACCUCAUAUUACCAAGAGAGUCAAUAUAGCGCAUGCCUCAUUUGCAACCUGACCAUCCAUAUCGGUAAAUAUGUUUACUCUUCAUCUUCAGCUAACAAAAAUAAAAAUAAAUAAUAGCGUAACUUGAUCAAACUGUACUAGAUAGGUAAUCGUUAUUUUUUUAAUCUUAAAAAAAAUAAAAAAUAAAAAAUAAAAAUAAAAAAAAACAUUCAGAAUGAGAGAUAGAUGAGCAAAGCAUUGGUGGUAGUUCUACUGCCAUAUCAUGUUACUUGAGAAAUAGAUGCCCUCAUAACUCAUACUUGAUGCCUGUGAAUUGAUUAUUCAGACUGGAUUAUAAUUCGACCACUAGUCUUUACUUGCUCCAGUUUUUCUUGGAGAAAUAUCCUGUCUUUCGACCAUCCUGCUGCAGAAUUUACAUAGUAGAAGGGUUGUGCUAGAUUAAUCACCAGAAUCUCAAGCUUUGCUGCAUUCUUUAGAAUCCAAAUGGCAAACUCUAUCUCAUACCAAUUGCCCUUGAACCACUGCAGUUCAAAUCUUUUCAAGUGAUCAUGCGUGAACGAUCCUGAACAUUCAACAUUAUUCCUUGUUUCAUGUGGAUGGUUUCUUUCAUCGGAAUCCCUGAAGGUAAUAUCAUUCAGUAUGAACUCUUCCAAGAGGGGUGCAGCCUUGAGCAGAUCCCGCGCAGACUGGAGAUGAUCAAGAUUAUCAUAUUCAUUCCAAUGCGACAGAUCUAAGCUCAAUUUCUUUAGAUUUCUAAAGGUCAAGUCGCUGUUGAUUUGCGAUAGUUCUCCGCAUUCCUCCCUAUGUGCCAGAGAAAGAGUCUCGAGCUCAGGAAACGAUGUAAGACAAGAAAGUACUGCUGGAUGCAUCUUUUCGACUUCAGUUACAAUUCGUGCCAAGUGUGGUGGAGUUCUAACAAAAUUAAUGCUUGGAAAAUCCCCACUAUAUUCCAACGAGACGAGAUUGGGUGCAGAGAUCUCAAUUCUUGGGCAUUGCGACAGCUUCAGAUCACUUAGCCGAUCACCAACUAUACAGAGAUGUGCAAGUCCAUUGCAGUACUCUAUUGUCAAGCUUUCAAGCAACAAGCAAUUAGACAAGAGAUGUGCCAUAAAAAUUUGAUCAACGGUUACAUAACUUAGACUGAGCGAUCUUAGAUUAUUAAACCCGUCAAAAUCAGGAGCAGGUCGCAGAUCACAUUCACGCAACGUCAAGUGUUUCAGAGUACUACUCGCGCCUGGGAAUAUCAACUCAUGUUCAUGGUCAAAUAAAGACCAUUCCAACAAAAGCUGAAUCUCUUCGACUCCCUUUGCAAUUGCAAAACGAACCCAAUCAUCAAGGUUGCCAGGAGAUAUUAAAGGUAAGAAAAUGUCGUCUUGCUCUACUUUUAAAGAGUCUAUCUUUUCACCUUGAUAGAGCUCCAUAUACUCCUUCACAAACUUGUCCAAAUCAUCAUUCUUUCUCGGUCUGCUACCGAAGACAUUCGGAUAGUCGAAUUCAAGAUUGCGCCUGGUGAGAACUGAAUGCCGCCAGAGGUGCCUCCACCGACGGGAAAUCAAGCUAGUUUCCACCGCAUCUCUCAUCGGUAACAACGGAAUUAUGCAUGAUUCCAGAAUCGAAUCCGGCAACUUAUUCAUCCUAUCCUUGUUGUGAGGAUCUGAUUGUAGAUCUUAGGUUAUCUAUAAACAUAUAUAUGCUGAUAAUUUCCUUGUUCUAUUAAUAUAACUACUCGUAUCCUAAUAAGUUGAGGAAUAGUGUCUUUUUCCUAAACCUCCUCUAAUUAGUCUCCCUAGUGAUCUCUUUGGUGAUCUCUUUGUACCCUUUUCUCUCUUCCUCCGACAAAUUCCGAGCUGGAUUGCACCCAUGGCAGAUCUCACACUCAUCUUACAUCUCUUUCCACAUAGGAUAACACAGCAAAAUGUUGAAAAUUUGGAACGCUUGUUGAUUGACUCAACCUAUUGUAUACUACUUUACCUAGCAUUUCAAAAAAAUUACUGCCAGAUGAAUUGAAGUUACAAUGGCAAGGGGGCCUCAAACAGUACAUGUAUCGCACAGCUUUCGACCUAGUAUAUCGGUACAAAGGAAGGGAGGGCUAAUCUAUAAUCACACGCCGCAUCUUACAAAUAAGGUUUGCAGUAGGAAGAUCAAGCUGAUUUCCUGAAUCUGAUUUGAUAAGAUCUCUCAGCUGAUCUCUCGGGGUGGAAAGACAGGUAUGGAAUGUGGAUAGAACUGGAGGAAUUGGCAUUGACAGAGCAGAAAGCACAUUGCUAAGAUACUCUAUGUCAACAGAUAACUGUUGAGCUCCACGGUCUGUGAUAUACUGAAUCCCUCGUAGCUGCUCCAUGUAAAGAGCAGUGGCACCCUCUGCAACCUUCAUUAAAGUGGAAAGCAGCAUUGUUAAAACCAAAGCCAAGGGUAAUGAUCUAAACAAUUAGAUUAAAGCAGUGCAGAUAAGCUAAUAAUGAAUAAUGUAGGACUUUGGAAAUUGGUACCUUGAACAUCCAUUCUGUAGCAAAAAACUGGGCUUCCUCAUUGUUGGCAUCACUAUUUGCAAUGCCCUCUGCAAGGGGCUCCAGCUGCUGGGGUAGUGUAAGAAGAUAUUCACCAACAUUGGUCACAUAGGACUGAGGGGAAGCACUAAAGGUUGGCAGAUGGUAAACACUCUGUUCUUCAACUGAGGACCAUAUUGGCAGUCGAGAAACAUCACUGAGGCGUUGCCGUACUUUAGAAAUGAGUACGUCAUAUACAAGUUCAUUAACGGUGUCGGCAAAUGCUGCAACUCUUUGAGAUGCAAGUGGAAGUGCAUGAAACCGGGGAUCUUUAGACUGCAUAACAAACAAACAAAAACCUUAUAUAUGUAACACAGAAGAGAGAAAAAAUUAAUAUUUAAAGUAUACAAAAGGUUAACUUAAUCAUACCUGACUUAAAAGGUUGAAGAGUUUCCGAGCCUUCUCAGGAACAUCAAUAAGCCGAACAGCUGCCACAUCCAAGGCAGCUCUUCCACCCAAAGAUGGUUCCCCAUUUCCAUCAUCACUAGCAGCAUGUGACAGGUUUUGGUCUGCACUUGAACCAAAUACUGAAACAGAAAGAGCUGUGCUCAACCUAGCCAGAGUAGCUCUUAGGGAAGCUUCAAAAACAGAGGACCUGCUAGUUAGACAAUCUGCCACUGUAAGGAUUUGCAAAGCACCUUGCACGAUGGACCACUCCUCCUCAUUUGAAAUCGAGUCACUUCUCCGUGAACUUUGGCCAUCCUUCUUAUCCAAACUCAUCUCCUUCCUUGAGCCAACUCCAUCACCACCAUGAUCCACUCCACAUACAACUCUUACUGAUUUCAGAGUUUCUUGCAAGGUGGAGAUAUAUAGCAACAUAAUGUCAUCAACUGCAAUAAUUAGCUCAUCCGCUUCGGAACCUCCAGUGAAGCUUAUGCAUCUCUCAACGGCUGCCUCAAGAAGUACAAUAACUUGUGGAAUGGAUUCCUCCAUUCUGCGAACCGUUUCACUAAGUUCAAUUCCCUGAGCUCCCACGCCACGAGUGACAGCUCCUCUUAGAUCCACCCCAGCAAUCUCAGCAGAAAGUAUAGCACGCUCCAUCUGUCCAUACCUAGAUCACAUGUUCCAUCAUGAUCAACUAAUAAAAGAUCCCACAACUUGCCCAAAACAAUAGCUAGCAAUAAAGAUGGCAGGAUAUUAUCCCAAAUAUAACAAAGGGAAUUGACUGCUGACAAGAAUUUACUAGAUGGAAAAAUCAAAAUGAAAUAUUGCAUGGAAGAAAUUACAACUAGCUGUACAUAAGCCAGUACUCCUAACACAAAAGGGAUUGCCAGACCCAAAUGACCACUUAAAAACAAGGAUCUUCCUUACCUCUGCUUAAAUGAUUCAUAGGGUAAAUACACCGACUUUAGCGUAUCCAUCAAGACACGAAGAUCAGAUUCUGAAAACAAGUGCUGAAUGUUCCUUGCAAAGGUCUGGGUCAUAUUGUGUAAUUCAAUCAGAGCCUCCAGAUGCUUUGUCUGGAUCUUGAUACCCUUUGGCAUAUCACCAGAGAGAAUGUCUAAUAUACCUGAAGUUUUAAAUAAAGAGUUUAAGUUAUGACAAUCAAGAGUGAAACGUAUACCGUCAACUGCCUAGUGGUAUCAUCUUAAUCCAUUUAGUAAAAAGAACUAAGCAAGUUAAGAGAAAAGAUGGCAAGCAGAACUGUAUGGAAAUGAGAUUCCAUGUUUCUCCAUUUCCAUAAACAUCAAAGAGAAUUAUCAAACAUCAUAUCAUGUAAAAAGGCACCAGAUAAUAAAGGCAUGCUACCUUUUCCCAGUGAUUUUGUUUCUGGCACAACAUCACCCGUUGCAAGGUUGAUGCGUGAAACAAAACUUGCUCCUACAGCUAUCAUCGUCUCAAUGAGCAGCUUUGGGACAAGGGAUUUGUAAUCCUCGGGAAAGGCAACCAUGCACCUGCAGAAAACAGCUGAAGAUUAUCAUACUAGACAAUAUGCCCCGUCACUAGUUUUCUAUUAUCACACAGCUUGCAAUACAACAUGUAUUCAGAUUCUCAAAAUUUUGAGCAUAAGAAUGCAAUAAAAUUACUAAAAACAGCUGGUUCAGAACUAUGUAAAGUAUUAAACAAUAAUGAUCAGGCCCCAGCUUUUCUAUCCUAACAGCAUUAGACAACCAAAUGGAAAUGUGAAACACAACUUUACUGGCACACAUAUGUGAAAUAUUAAAGUUUCAAUUGGAACAUAUACCAGAUUAAGUUGAUCAGUAUGAAAUUCAUCAAAUCUAGAAUGUGAAAACACUGGUUUUAACCUAGAAGAAAAGAAAACACAGAGACUGCUAAACGUGCUAAUCAGAUGUUGAGAAUAAUACCACUUCCAUUCUUGUUCAAGAUAUAGCAGCAACUCAUCAUAGAAAUUUGGCAGCCAGGUGGAAAACAGAAUGCCGGAAGUAGCAGACUGAAUCUCAUUACUAGUCUUGUCAGUUGCAAGCUUAUUAGAAGGUGGUUGUUUUGAGUCAAAAUCUUCCCAGAGCUGCUUUAUCGGCUUUAGGUGAACUUUUGUAUAAUGUAGCUCCAUGGACUUGAAUCUCCCGAUUCUAAUGAGAAUUCCCCGCAAAUCUUGCGCAACUUCAACCUGCAAGCAAAUGCAUAUACCACAUUGACGCACCAUCUUAUGACAGUAAGCAGGCAAAUCAUCCAAGCAUAAAGUCACGAAUUCUGACCUUCCGGUUAGAUAUUGCAUCUGUAAGACGCGGUUGCACCAUCGAAUCAAGCCUGUCCUCUAAGACCUCAAGUUGCUUCCUCACAUUAGCAAACUCCGCAACCUAAAAAUAACACAAGCAUAUCAAAUUUCCGAAACAUAGCACCGAAUGCAAAACUAGAUGGUAAUUGAUUGCGAAAUCGAAAUCCACAAUAACAUUACCUCACCAACAGCUGACAAGCAAUGCCGCAUGUUGGCCAGCGUUUCGGCAGCGCGAGGAAGAUCACCGCUGGCGAAAACGUCCUCCACAGUCGAGCUCAGUUGAGUCAAUCCAGCAGCAUCCUGGUGUUGAAUUUCGUUACAAUUUUUUAUCAAUACUUCAAAAAAUUCAAAGAGAAAUCUAGAGCUUCUACUUUACCUGUAACGUUUCAUACGCAGCUUCCAUUCUCUGCUUCACUAUAUCAUACUUCGCAAGCGCCAUUAUAGACUCAGCUGACAAUCCCUCGGCCUAAACAAAGCACACAGAUUCCGAUCAUCACCGAAUCACAUUCAAUUUUCACUUGAGGACACAAAAUCAUCGAAGUAAAACAGUUGCCUACCUUCUUGAGCUUGUCGAGGAUCGAUGACACGGCGGAGCGGAGCGAAACGGCGUCGUCGCGGAGGCGGAUGACUUCGCGCGUGGCGCGUGGCACGCGGAGGAGAGAGGAGGCGCUCUGCUCCUCGAGCGAGGCGCCGAUCUCCUCCGAGACCAUCUGGAUUUUCAUCUCCAGAUCCGCGAGGUGCUUGUCGACUGAGUCCUGCGGGUGGCGGCUCUGGCACGCCGAGUUCACCCACUUCUUCCGGUCGAAGUUCUCGUCGGAGAACGGACCGAGAUCCAGCAUCAUUGUUCCGGCUCAGUGACUCGGGUUUCGGAUCGGGGCUCCGACUCGGGUGUGUGCGUAACUGAAAUGUUUAACGACCAAGUUUCAGGCUUGCGGGAAGUUUAUAUAGAUGAUGAAAUGGACUGCACGUGAGAGGCACGUGGAAACUUAAAAUCCGAAAUACUCAAAAACUCAAUUGUGCUUAACAAAUUCGAUUCAAAAGGAAGAAUUUAAGCGAACAUAAUUCAAGCUAAAUUGAUGUCAAUCUUAAUAUGAGAUCAUCAUAAGAGUUGAAGGUAACGACAAGAUAAACAUAUAAAUAUAUCGAAUUACACAAAUGAAUGAGCAGAGAUGAGAUAACUUAUUAUCGAAUUUGAGUGAUUGUUUAUAAACAUACAAGAAGCAUAAGAAAUAACUGUUACUAAUUUAGCGUAGCUGUCUAGACUUCACACGUUGUUGCUUCAAAGAUACAACAAGGUACAUUUUAGAAAUGAUUGUCUACAUACUACAACUAGUUGUAGCUAUUGUAUUCCGUGAUAAAAAUAUUAAUUUCCAAGGUACGUUUUUUAUACACUGCUAGUAAAUCAUCGUUCUAACAGCGUAACCGGUGUUCUAACUUCAUAAGGAGUUAAUCUAAAUUUCAACCACUCAUGAUCCUUCUAGCUUUAUUUAUCUUUCCUUUUUUGAAAGAAGUUCUGCACAGAGGAAAGAUUAAGUUACGUUUGAUCAACCUACUUUCCCCCCCUUUAUCUAAACAAACCCUAAAUCUCAUUCGGGUUCGGAGCACAACCCAAUAUUCCAUAACGAAGCCCAAAGUCCACGAGCCCAAAACACUGAAAUAUCUAGUUUUGUAAUUACAGAAACUUCCCGGGUACAACACACACUGUGACUCACUCUCACUCUCUCAGCUCCAACAAUGACGUCUUCACUCUCCCAAACCCUCAAACGUCUCCUUACCUCCGGCGACCGCCUCUUCCCUUCCACCGCUUCCCGAUCCAUCUCCACCACCGCCUCCGCCGCCAUGAGGUACCACAUCUUCAGGUACGACGGCCCGGACGAACCCGAAAACAAAGGCGGUCCCCCGGUGGUCGAGAUCAAAGACUCCGACGACUGCUUCACCGUCAAGAGGGCCGUUCCGGGGUAUGGGAAGGAAAUGGUGAAGGUCGCCGUGGACGGCGAGAAGAAUACCGUCAACAUCGAGCUCCGGGACUACGGCGGCUGCAAAACCGUGGUUGCUCUGCCGGAGGGUUGCCGGAGCGGCGAGGCUAGGGCUUUUGUCAUGCACGGGAUGGUGACGGUGGUUGUUCCGAAGCGGAAGAAAGGAGAGGAGAAGAGAUAGGGUUAGUUUGGUAAGGUCUGUCAAAAUCUUAAAAGAUUGUGUGGUUUGUGAAAUUUGGAGGUUUCUUUUGUAUCUAAUUUGACUAGUGAUGAAUGAAAAUGAGUAGUUUUAUUGAGAAUUGCUUCAUUUACUCUGUGUUAUUUGGGUUUCCAAAAUUGCCUAUUACAGUAUUACUGUCUGAUUUUGCCAAUUGUGAGUAAUGUGGGUUUUGAUUUGUUGUUGUGUGUUAUCCUGUGUUGAGAGCAAUGUGUUCGAUGAAAUGUGUCAAUGCGAUGUUCCUUACUGUCAAUGCGAUGUUGCCAACUAUCACAAUACUUGUUGUCAUCUUUUCAAAACCAAUACAAUGUGCUUGAUGAAAUGCCUCUUUUCGCGACUCACGAGGGUUGGAAUUGUGCCAACAUUUAUACGGAAUGCUUGAAAACCCUGCAUCCACAAUAGUGGUCUGCCUAAAAGCUUCAGUGAGUAUCUUGCCUUAAAGCCUCCUGUAAUUGUAGGGUACGCACAGCCUAGCUAAUGGCAUUAGGUUGUUCAUUGUUGUAGUCUUUUCAUGUUAUGUGCAAUGUGUUUGUUGAAAUUUCUAUUUAAUGUGUGUUGUCUUGGUUGCUCAAACUCCAGACGCAGCAGAGACGAGAAUCAUCGGCUCCACCCAUUCAGGUACUUGCGCAUUCUGUGUCUCUUCUAUUUCAUUUCUUCAAUCAAUAAAAAGAAAACAGGUAAGUUGUUUACAGUAGAGAAAGAAUUCCCUGGGCUAUUUUCUAUAGAAUUUUAUAUGGUUGAUGAUGAUGUGAUUGUCUUGUCUGGCAGUCUGCGAGGGAUGCUAUGGUUUGGUUCACUCCGAGAAUAUAUUGGCUUGAUGACGAGGUUUACGUUGUUUUCAAGUGUUUACAACUUUAGAUAGGAAAAUGGUGAUGGAUUGCGUAUUUGAAUUACUGAUUGAUGUGUUUUCUUGGAUGGAAAUGGAUACAGAUGAGUGGCGUGGCAGUUUGGUGGAUGGGAACAUAUAGCAUGCUUCUUCCCAAAGCUGCAUCCUUCCACAGGAAAUACUUGGAUUUGUAUAGUUAUGAUAUGCCGUCUCCAGUUCAUGAUUAUGUCACCAGGGAAAGGUAGAUAAUGGUAUAUGUAGAAUACAUUUUUAUUACACGACAUUUUCUUAUGUGCUUGCUCUGGUUUUAUAGAUUGAUUAUCGAUGCUAUGUGCUUAUGCAGAAAUUGUGAAGAUAUUGCAAUGUCAUUGCUUGUUCUAAUGCCACAGGAGGUGCGCCUAUCUGGGUGAAAGGUAGUUUCGCAUUUCAUGGUCUUUACAUGACUGCAUUAUAGGCUCAUGAUUUGUGGCAAUGUCCAAUUGACUCUAAAUUAUAAACUCAAAUAGGCUUAGAUUCUUUUUCUUUUUGAAGCAAGCUUAUGAAUCACUCCAAUGAUAGAACAUUUCACAAUAGCUUGUCCUAGGCAUAGUCAGUAUGCUGCAUUCAUCAAAGACUUGUUAUUGAUCUGGCCUCUAUUAUGAAAUUUGUGUACUCAGAUGGACAGCCUUUUCCUUGUUUGACAACUUCCUCUUUCAUUUGUGAAAAUGUGAACCUUUUCAUUCAGUAGCUCACAUGAAAUUGACGUAACUGAUGCUACUUUGAUAUAGAUUUCCCACUGAGCCAACGACUCUCAGAAUCCUGAAAUGAAUCCCCUCUUUACGAUUGGAUUUGGUAUCUGUUCUUGGCUAUGCCUGUACUGUGCCAUAGUACUGAGCUUUUUUGGAGCUAAAUUCAUGCCUAAUUCCCUCUAGCAAAUUUGAUGUUUAAGUUGGGGACAUAAACUAUGCAGGGAAGAUAUACGAGCUUGGAUCUUCAGGAAUUAGCAGUAUGAAAAGGCACAGCAAGAGUCGCAACAAGUGCAUCAAUGAUCUCAUCUCCCUCCUUGGAAGAAUGCCCUUUGUACAACUAAUGUUAAAGCUUUUGAUGCCAGGUUUGAAUGGUUCUGGUAGUUUCACUUUUGUAAUUUGCCUUCUUUCCACCUUGUAGUUUAGUACUGUAUAUGUAUAUGCACUGUUGAGACAAGGAUGAUGACCAGUAGUUUCCAGAGGUUUAUUGUGAUGAGCAGCAGAAGAAGUCUCUUGUAACAGAGGUUUACUAAACUUUUAGUUACAGUAGAUGAAUAUUUUUACUAAAUUGCAGAAUAAAUAGUGUUAAUUUAUUGGCUGAUUGAUAUAGAACAUGUUUCAUUGGUCUCGUUACUGGUAUGGCCAAACAAUCCAAACUAUGUUUGAGCUGCCUGCAUAUGUUGAAGAAAGAACCUGAAAUGUCACUUGGUCCUGUUCCUAUUGCAUUAUGAAUCAAUGGCCAAGAAAUUGAACUACAACCAAAGGAAUUACGCCAUGUAUAGGAAUAAGGAAACAGAGAAACUGAUAUUCUAUUCAUUUCAAUCAACUUCAAUGAACUUGAUCAUUUGAAGUGCUCUAGUUCAAGACCCCACACAGAAUACAAGAUGCAGCAUCUUACCAAAACAUUAUGCAGCAACAAGACUUAAAAGAAGGCAGCAAAUAAAAACAUACAUGAAGGGUAGUGAAAGCCAUAACAGAACAAUAGCAAAGUUGCUCACUUUCUAUCUAACAAGAGUGGCUCGAAUCAUUUUAAGUUCAGAUACAACUUCACCGAUAUUCUUUCGUUCUAUUGGGGAUUCCACAGAGCAUGCAACUCCAAUUUCUAGUAUUGAACUCAAGCGUUCUUCAAGAGCAUCAUUGGUGCUCUGGCUCGGAUAGCCUUCUUGAACAAGUGAUGAGUCUGCAAUCUCUGAAACUCGAUCGCCCAAGGCCGUCUUUACACACUUGUGAAGGUUCAAAUCGUCCAUGAACAUGUGGUCAGUGGGUCUCUUCCCAAUAAACAUCUCUAACAAGAGAAUGCCGAAGCUAUAGACAUCUCCAUAUGUCGACACCUCACUUCCCAUUCCAUACUCUGUGGUUCCAACACCACAAUUGUUAACAGAACAGCUCUCAAUAAUGAAACUACCUAGCUAUACAAGAAAAAUGGCAGAACAAAAUAGCUCAAGUACAUACCUGGAGCAGCAUAACCAACAGUCCCUCUUAUUCCAAUGGAACUCGACUGAUUUGUCGAAACGUUAUCAGCUAGUCUUGAGAGGAAUCUAGCUAAUCCAAAGUCACCAACAUGUCCAGUCAUGUCAUUGUCCAAAAGAACAUUGCUCGGCUUGAGAUCGCAAUGAACUAUUGGUGUUUCACAAUGAUUAUGAAGAUAAUCCACUGCACAGGCAACAUCAAUGGCAAUGUCUAACCUUUGAACAAGACUUAAAUUCUUCGGUACGUCUUUUGUCCCAGUAGUUGGAUGCAACCACUCCUCUAAGCUCCCAUUCUCCAUGAACUUAUAGACCAAAGCCUUGAAAUCAUUACCAUGAGAGUCAACACUGGAACAUGCAGUUAUAACCGGGACUAGAUUGCGAUGUCUGAUAUUUCUGAGUGCCUCACAUUCGGCUAGGAAACUCUUGGAAGCACCCCGGCGCAACAUGUCAAACACCUUCACAGCAACAAUCUGAGCUAAAUCUUCGCCAAGAAUUCCUCUGUAUACAGACCCAAAACUACCCGCACCAAUCAUAUUUUUUUCAGAGAAGCCAUCAGUAGCAUUCAAGAGAGCACUAUACGAAACUUCCAACGCAGAUUUCUCCAAAGAGCUUGUUGGAGUUGCUUUGCUUCUCUUUUUCAAGAAACAAAGAAAGAGAAAUAUCAACAGCAUAGCUAUUCCAAGAAUACCAAAUACUAAUGAGAUUGUUAGUUUCUUGCUAUGAGACAUGGAUUCUUUAGACUUGCACUUUGGAAGGUGGAGAUGAGAAAUACCUCCGCAGAGUCUUGUGUUUCCGACAACUGAAAUGGCACUUGCAUUGUUAAAGACACCUUUCAGUGGCACUGCACCCCAAAAGUCAUUGAAAGACAGGUCAAGUUGCUUCAAGCCACCAAACCCCGCCAAAAAUACAGGAACUUCACCGGAGAGAUUGUUGUGCGAAAGGUCUAACUCUCGAAUCCCCCUCAAGGAGUUCAUUCCCGAAGGAAUGGAGCCGUUGAAGAAGUUACCUUGCAAACGAAGUACUUCUAAACUCUCACAGUUACCAAGGCUACUAGGAAGUUUUCCUGAUAAUCUAUUGUUAGAGACAUCCAACCCACUUAGAGUUUUCAGCUGUCCUACCUCCGAAGGAAGGGAACCACUGAGAUGAUUUCCGGACAAGUUCAUAUUAGAUGAUAAGGAAGGAAGGCCAAAAACUUGUGGAGGUAUGUCGCCGCUAAGAUUAUUGCUAGAAAGAUCCAGCAGCAGCAAAGAACGGCAUUUCCCAAGGCUUGUAGGGAUGGUGCCAUUUAAUUGAUUUCCUUGCAAAUAGAGUUCAAGUAAAGAUGUCAGGUUUCCUAGAGAGGAUGGGAGGCUCCCUGAUAACCUAUUGUUAUGAAAACCCAAUCUCCCAAGAUCUGAAAGUUUCCCAAUGUCAGUGGGAAUGGUACCUGUGAACAUAUUUCCAUAAAAACCCAAUAUUUGCAUGUUGACUAGAUUCCCUAUCCCUGCAGGGAUGCUCCCAUGUAAUUGGUUUUCUUGAACAUAGAUUAUUGCAAGGUUGGUUGAGAGAUUGGACAUUGACGCUGGCAAUGUCCCUCCGAAAUUGUUUGCUUCUAUAGCCAACCACUCCAACUGUGUAGCAUUGGUCAAGUCUGUGAAAAAAUCCAAGUCCCCAUCUCUACCGCUUCCGAGAUGAUUAUAAGACAUAACAAAGUACACUAGGUUAUGAAGCUUUCCUAAAUUUGGCACUCGUCCUAUUAGCUUGUUAUCUCCAACUCCAAAGUCCACUAGAUUACUGGCAUUGCUUAUCGAGAGAGGAAGUGAUCCGGUUAACUGAUUUUCGUUAAUCCUAAAUUCUUGGAUAUUCGAAAGGGUUGUGAACAAGGAUGGGGGAAAGCUCCCUUGAAAUUGGUUGGUUGAUAGGAGAAAAGUUUGGAGACUAGAGAUGUUAUAGAUAGAGGGAGGGAUGGUACCAGACAACAUAUUUGAUUCCAAUAUCAAAGAUGAUAAUAAUUUCAAUCGGCCUAAAGAACUAGGAAUACUUCCCACCAAAUUGUUCCUAUGAGCAACAAUUCUCACAAGACUAGAGAUGUUACCCAAGGAAGAAGGUAACUCUCCUGUUAGAUUAUUAACUGCCAACCUAAGAUACUCGAGCUUAGACAAGGAACCAAGUUCUGAGGGAAUCUUACCUCCCAGCAUGUUGAAACCAACAUCAAGAAAACUGAGGUUGAAGCAGUUGGAGAUAUUGGGAGGAAUAGGACCGCUGAGUGAGUUGUUAUGUAGAGCUAAUUUCCACAGCCUCUGCAAGUUCCCAAUUUCUGGAGGGAUUUUGUUGGUGAGGCUAUUAUUGUAGAGGUGUAACUCUCUUAGGAAGCUCAGGUUUCCUAUGUGAGGAGAUAUGGAGCCGGAUAACUUCAGGGAACUUAGGUCCAGGGUAGUGACCCUGCUCUGAUUCUGGCUCCGGCCGCAGAUGACACCAUACCACAAACAAAACUGAGUGGACUCAUUCCAUGAGCUCAGGAUCGGCUGAUUAGGAUCUUGGUGUAGUUGAGCUUUAAUGGCAAGCAAUGCUAGCCUAUCCGUUUCGUUUCCUCCUCCGAGCUCCAGCCUAUUGCUGUCCAUGGUUGAGGCCAUAGAACUGCAGCAACAAACAAGAGAAAAUGCUAGUGCUAGUGCAUCGGAGAGCAAGUGAGAUGAGGUGAUUUUCAUAUCCAAAAUCAUCACCAUUUUGAAUUGGCUACGGGGUUGUGAAGUUUUGUAAGCUCCCUUUAAGGCCUUACAACUAGAGGAUAGGAAAUAAGGGAUCACAUGAAUGUGCAUAGCACACAUAUGUUGACUUCGAAAGUCCAGAUCUUUGGCAUUUUUUUAUUUUUUUUGGUAAGCGUAGAGGGACUAACUUACUGUCCCUCCACGAAAAAUUAAUGAAUAAAAAAAAAAAAAAAAAAUAACAAGAAGCUGGAGGACUAGACCAGAUCUUUGGCAUAAAUUUCCAGGUUCUUGGUAGAGGAAAUUUAAUGUCAAUGACAAUAAAUGAAAACAGAGUUGCAUGUCAACCAUUAGUAGACAUAUGAUUAUGACUAGGCGAGGUCCUCGAUCAGCACAGCACCGAAGAAGACUACACAGCUUUAUCAUAUAUGAUUCAUGAAGAAAAAGCCUUCGUUAGAUACUCUCAUCAAAAACAUAAUAUUGAAAAUGAUGAUCAAUAUAUAUAUGUUGAGGUACACCAAGUUCCAUGGAUAUUGAGGUCUGAUUGCCACAGAUAAGUCCUUUUCAUCUCCUUCGAAGUAAAAAAAAAUGCCAAGAAAAAGAAAUGGAUGUUCUGUUCAUUUUAUUGAACUUUGAUUUUAGAUCAUUUGAAGUUCUCUAGUUCAAGGCAGAACACAAGAUACAAGAUGUAGUAGUAUUUUACGUAAACUUUACUCAUACAUAAACAUAAACAUAAACAUAAACAGUGGCAACUAGACUUGAAAGCAGGCAGAACACAAAAACAUGCAUGAUUGGCACUAGGCAGUGAAAGCUAUAACAAAGCAAUAGCAAAGUUUCUAUCCAACAAGAGUGGCUCGAAUCUUUUUUAGUUCAAAUACAACAUCACUGAUACUCUUUCGGUCUGUUGGGGAUUCCGCAGAGCAUGCAACUCCAAUUCCUAGUAUUGAACUCAAGCAUUCUUCAAGAGCAUCAUUGGUGCUCUGACUCGGAUUGCCAUCUUGAACAAGUGAUGAAUCUGCAAUCUCUGAAACUCGUUCGCCCAAGGCCAUCUUCACAAACCUGUGAAGGUUCAAACCAUCCAUGAAGAUGUGGUCAGUAGGUCUCUUCCCUGUAAACAUCUCUAACAAGAGAAUGCCGAAGCUGUAGACAUCUCCAUAUGUUGAAACCUCACUUCCCAUUCCGUACUCCGCGGUUCAAACAUCACAAUUGCUAACAAAACAGCUCUCGUAAAUGAAACUACCUACCUAUACAAUAAAUAGUAGCACAAAAAAUAUCAUAUAAAAUAUAUACCUGGAGCAGCGUAACCAACAGUCCCUCUUAUUCCAAAGAAACUUGAUUGAUUAGCUGAAACGUUAUCGGCUAGUCUUGAGAGGAUUCUAGCUAAUCCUAAGUCACCAACAUGUCCAAUAAAGUCAUUGUCCAAAAGAACAUUGCUCGGCUUGAGAUCACAAUGAACCAUUGGUGUUUCGCAAUGAUUAUGAAGAUAAUCCACUGCAUAAGCAACGUCAAUGGCAAUGUCUAGCCUCUGAACAAGACUUAAGUUCUUUGGUGCUUCUUCUGUCCCUGUAGUUGGAUGAUGCAGCCACUCUUCUAAGCUCCCAUUCUCCAUGAACUUAUAAACCAAAGCCUUGAAAUCAUUUCCAUGAAAGUCCACACUAGAACAUGCAGUUAUAAUCGGGACUAGAUUGCGAUGUUUGGUAUUUCUGAGUGCCUCACAUUCUGCCAGAAAACUCUUGGAUGCUCCUUGGCGUAACAUGUUAAACACCUUCACAGCAACAAGCUGAGCUCCAUCUUCGCCGAGAAUUCCUUUGUAUACAGAACCAAAACUACCAGCACCAAUCAAAUUUGAUGUAGAGAAGCCAUCAGUAGCUUUCAAGAGAGCACUAAACGACACUUGUAAAACAAAGUUCGCCAAUGUGCUUGAUGGAGUUUCUUUGCUUCUCUUUUUCAAGAAACAAAGAAAGAGAAAUGUCAACAGCAUAGCUACUCCAAGAACAGUGACUGCGGAGACUAAUGAGAUUGUCAGUUUCAAGUUACGAGACCAUGAUUGCUUAGACUUGCACUUUGGAAGGUGGAGAUCAAAAAUGCCUCCGCAAAGCCUAGUGUUACCGACAACUGAAGUGGCACUUGCAUUGUUAAAGACACCUUUAACUGGCACUUCACCCCAAAAGUUAUUGAAAGACAAGUUAAGUUGUUUCAAGCCUCCUAACCCCGCCAGGAAUUCAGGAAUCAAGCCGGAAAGAUUGUUGUGUGAAAAGUCUAACUCUUGAAUCCCUCUCAAGGAGGCCAUAGCGGAAGGAAGGGGGCCGUCAAAGAAGUUUCCUUGCAAGAGCAGGACCUCUAAACUCUGGCAACUACCAAGGCUGCUAGGAAGAUUUCCUGAUAACUUAUUGUAAGAGACAUCAAAAUGACCUAGAUUUGUCAACUUUCCUACCUCCAAGGGAAGAGAACCACUGAGACGAUUUUCGGACAAGUACAAAUAUAUUGAUAAGGAUUGAAGCCCAAUAACUUGUGGAGGAAUCUCGCCAGUAAAGUAAUUGCCAGAAAGAUCCAACCACAGCAACGAAUGGCAUUCCCCAAGGCUUGCAGGAAUGGUGCCACUAAAAGUAUUUCUUUGCAAUUCGAGUCGAACUAACGUUGUCAAAUUUCCUAGAGAGGAUGGGAGGCUCCCGGAUAAUCUGUUGUUAUCAAAUCUCAAUAUCCCAAGACCUGAAAGCUUUCCGAUGUCAGUGGGAAUGUUACCUGUGAACAUGUUAUCACCCAAAUACACUUUUUGCAUGUUGACCAGAUUCCCUAUCCCUGCAGGGAUGCUUCCGUGUAAUUGGUUGCUAUAGACAUGUAGUUUUGAAAGGGUUGAGAGAUUAGAUAUUGAUGCGGGCAACGUCCCUCCGAAGUUGUUGUAUCCUAUUUGCAGCCGGUCCAACUUCGUGGCAUUGGUCAAGUCUGAUAUAAAUCUUGAGUCCCCAUCACCGCCACUUCCGAGAUGAUUACGAGCAAUGUUUAACCUCCUAAGGUUACGAAGCUUUUGUGAAUUCGGCACUUGCCCUGUUAAUUUGUUAUCACUAACUUGCAAAAUCUCCAAAUUAGUAGCAUUGCUUAUUGAGAGAGGAAGUGAUCCGGUAAACUGAUUAAGGUAAAUGCUAAAAAUUUGGAGAUUCGGGAGGUUUCUGAAUAAGGAUGGGGACAUGCCCCCUUGAAACUGGUUGAUUGCUAUGGCAAAAGUAAGGAGACUAGAGAUGUUAUAGAUGGAGGGAGGGAUGGUACCAGACAACCUAUUUGACUCUAAUGCAAAAUAUGAUAAUUUUGUCAGUUGGCCUAGAGAACUAGGAAUACCGCCCACCAAGUUAUUCGCACGUGCAGCAAAUGUUUCAAGACUAGAAAGGUUACCUAAAGGAGGAGGUAUGUAUCCUGUUAAAUUAUUAACUGUCAAACGUAGAUGCUUAAGCUUAGACAAAGAACUGACUUCUGGAGGAAUGUUACCUACCAGCAUGUUGUAACUAACAUCAAGAAUAAUGAGGUUGAAGCAUUUGUGUAUAUUGGCAGGGAUAAGACCGCUGAGUGAGUUGUUUUGUAGUCCUAAUAUCCGCAACCUCUGCAACUGCCCAAUUUCUAGAGGAAUUUUGUUGGUGAGGCUAUUGUUAUAGAGGCGUAGAUCCCUUAGGAAGCUCAAGUUUCCUAUGUGAGGAGAUAUGGACCCGGACAACUUCAGGGAGCCAAGGUCCAACUUAGUGACCCUCUGAAGAUGGCGUCGGCUACAGGUGACACCAUACCACAUGCAAAAAUGAGUGGACUCAUUCCACGAGCUCAUGACCGGCCGAUCAGGAUCUUGGUGUAUUUGAGCUUUAAUGGAAAGCAAUGCCAGCCGAUCCGUCUCGUUUCCUCGUCCCAGCCCCAACCGAUUAUUGUCCAUGGUUGAGGCCAUGGAGUCACAGCAACAACCAAAAGCAAAGAAUGCUAGUGCUAGUGCUAGUGCAUUGGAAAGUAAGUAGGAUGAGGUGAUUUUCAUAUCCAAAAUCAACAACAUUUUGAAUCGGAUACCGGGUUGUGAAGAUUUGUAAGCUGCAUUUGAGGUCUUACACAACUAGCUUAAUUAUAGGGUCGGACAUACAUCUGAACCCAGUUAUUUGGUUUGUUGACAGUUUGAAGCAACAGACGAUCAAGACUGACUUUACUUGCUUCCAAUGGUAGACGAAAGUCUAGUCUUUGCUUGAAAUUCCAACCCGUGGUAGACGAAAUUAUAUAUCGCAAUAAAUGAGACAGUUGAUAUGUGGCAUCAAAUUCCAACCCCGUGGAAAUUUGAAGACAUAUAUAUGAUUAUGACUAGGCCAGGUCCUCUGAUCAGCACAGCACAGCACUGAAGAAGACGACCGUGCUUGAUCAUAUAUGAUUAGCAAAAAGCAUUUGCUAAAUAUUCUCAUCAGAACAUAAUUUUGAAACUGAUCGAUGAUCAAAAUAUACAGUAUUUUUGAUUUUUUGAUGAGCAGUAGAAUUACUUGGGGGUGACGUACUCAUACCAAGGAACUAUGUAUAUUCUGCAAUUGACUGCUUCAAACCUUCCUUCUGCUUCCAUCAUAGAUUGAUGAACUCCACACACACACAAAAACUCUACUCUGUCAAUCCAUACAGCUCUUCUCUUUUGCGCGCUUGCUCAGACUCAUCCCCUCUGCGUCGUCGUUUUAUGUUUUUAUUUUUUAUUUUUUAUUUCUUAAAUGGACUGACCACCAUGCCUAGGCCCAACCAACAUAGCUACCGCCUAACCCGCAUUGGCCCAAUCCGCCUAUGCGACCACAAAUUUUAUGACUGUGCGUCGACAUGUCGUUCACUCUCACUCGCACAGAAAAGUUUCUUGAUGGAGUUUCUCUCCUUGUUAUGCUGAUUAAUUAACUGCGGCAUUGUGGACUACUUGGGGAUGACUCGUAGCAAGGAAAGAUGUAUAUGCUGCAGUUGUCUUCUUGAAACCUUCCUUCUGCAUCCAUCAUAGAUUGAUGAACUCCAAAGAUAGCUCUACUCUCUAUCAAUACAUAUGCCUCUGGAGUACGUUGUGUAUGUUUCAGACUUUCAGUACGUGCCAAUUUUAUGUAUUCAGAGUGAAUCAAGUUCACCAAUAUACUUAGGUAUAUAGUCAGUGAAAAUUUGUAUACAGUAUACUGAGGUGAUAUUUUCAUUAUUUGAAGAUUCUGCAGAAGUUUUUCUUCGAUAAAUAAGAUUUUGCGGAAGUUGCGAAACAAAUCUUUGUAAAAAGUUCAUUCUCCUGGAAUCAACGUAGUCUUGGUAUAAUAUAAGAAAUCAGUUCCUUGCAAAAAAAUAAUAAUAAUAAUAAUGAAAAAAAAAACAUAAAAAAGAUUCCGGUGCCAGGAGUUGAACCUGGAACUCUUUCACAAUGAGAGUUGCGCUACACCGGAUGAUUUGAUUCAAAUAGACUUCAAAAUAUAUUUAUGGGUCAUUAGUACUCUAUAGUGACUCAGCCUUCAAUCUUCAGCCCGAGCCCAACAAGCUUCCAGAACCUUCUCUUCCCUUCCUGACCCUUCCACACUCUCCUCUUCACCACUACAAAAACAACCCUCCAAAAUUUCCAGUCCACAUCCAAAGAAAUCUCUCACACUAUUUCCAAGCUCGCUUCUCACCUUUCAAUGGUUUCCUCCCUAGCUCUCCGGCGACUCCUCUCCUCCACUCUCCUCCCCAAAUCCUCCUCCGCCUUUCCCUCAAUCCCCGCCGCCAGGCUCUUCACCACCAACGCCACCCGCCGCUACGACUCCGACGACAGCGACGAAACCGACGUCGACUCCUACCGCCGCCCCCUCCCGCUCCGCCGCAACAACUUCUUCUCCGACGUGUUUGCUCCGUCGCCGUUCUCGGCGGGCCGGAACCUGAGCCAGGUGCUGAAUAUGGUGGACCAGAUCUCAGAGAAUCCCUUCCUCUCCGCCACGCGCCGAGGCUGGGACGCGCGUGAGACGGAGGAGGGUUUGCAUCUAAGGUUUGACAUGCCGGGGCUGGGGAAAGAGGACGUGAAGGUUUCGGUGGAGAAGGACAUUUUGGUGAUUAGAGGCGAAGGGGGACACGUGGAAGGAGAAGAGGAGCCGAGGAGGUACUCGACGGGGAUUCAGCUGCCGGAGAAGGUGUUUAAGACGGACGGCGUCAAGGCGGAGAUGAAGAACGGCGUGCUCAAGGUGGUUGUGCCGAAGAUUAAGGAGGAGGAGAGGAGUGAUGUGUUUCACGUGAGGGUUGAGUAGUGUUUAGGGGUCUGUACUACGUCGUUUUGAGGGUGUGUGAAUAAUUGUUGACUUUUGUUUUUGUUUUUGUUUUGUUAGCGAUGAGUUUUGACUCAGUUUGUUUUCCAAAGUCUCGUUGCCCAAAAAAGGGUUAAUUAAAAAUUCCAGGUUAUUUUAAUUUCAAAUAGAAAACAACUCCUAUCAAAGUUACAGGUUGUUUUCAUGAAUGAAUUAUGUGGGCCUUAAGCCUUGGGCCUUGGCUUUAAUAUCCGACUUUUGGUAGAGAUGAGAGAAAAGGACCAAACUUAGGUCGAAACUGAAGAUGUUGAGAUUGAUAAAAGAGGUAUCGUGUAUAGUUGGGUUGGAGUGGUAAGUGCCCAUAUACAAAUUCAAACAUCUAGGGGACGACAUUGGAGAGUCGAUGAAUGGUGCUUAGUUAGUCGUUUGUUUUCUUCACGAUGACAACAAAAGUUGUCAACAUGAAUGGCUAAAUGAACAAAGGGACAAGUAACUCGUGGAUAGUCGUAAUUGCAUGUAGCAUGUUCGACAUACCAAUCAAACCUCUUAAUGUCAGCCUACAACAAAUUCUGUCACUUUUACACAAAUAUAUGCUGUUAGAAGUAACCAAAUGAUAUGAUAUGAUACGAUAGGUUCGCCUAACCAAAAAUCUUUCUCAUAAAUAAACAAGAAGAUAAUGCAAAAAAUGAAACCACAUAUCCAUAAAUGAAAGAAUGGGAGAGAACAGAUUGAGGCCUAACAAUCAAUCAAUGAGAUAGUCCAAAGGCAACCAUUAAGCUCAAGGCCCCAAUAAAUACAGUGAUCCAAGAAAGGAAAUUUCCGAUCUCCUUCCUCAUGUCUAGCCGUGUGCGAGCAUAACUGGCCCAAAACGAGACGUCGACGACGGGUUCCAUACCGAGCCAUGCAUCUCGCGCCAGAUGGCGCCAAGAUAGCCCCAUCGUCUAUGACUCAUGCCACGUCAUUUAAACCGUGCGCCCACAUUGGCUCCUGGUGGGCCCCGUAUUCUCAGGGAGUAUAUACGAAUUAAGCUUGGCAUAAUUCCGUUCGGAUAUUCGGAUAUGCGAAUAUUCGUAAGAGACGUGCUCGCAGCAGUCCGACUUUGUACUUACCCGGCGGGCGCGUUGAAGGGCGUUUUGCUUCCGGUGGGUGCUGAAUUACGAUGUUGCCCACACUAAUCAUUAUAGUAAUGUUGAUUGGUUUUACCCAAUUGCCCUUUUAACCAGGCAGCUCUUGCACAGACCAACAUUUUUACUACCGGAGAUCAAAGAGAACGAUGGAAUCCGACAUCGCAUUAUAAAAAGUACAGUGUUGGUCCAUCAUGAGGAUCGAAAAGAUGUCUGUGGAGUUGGUCCAUCGCUCCAUUGCGCAGUGCCAUCUGAUUCAUGUGAAAGCACAGUGACCAUUAUUUAACCCAGCUAUCACUUCACAGUCCUCCUGGAUCAAACUAAUGAUGGAUGUCUUCCAAAAGUUAUUAAUCACAUAGAACACACAUUGCCUUCUUUCCAAGGGCAUGAUGUCCAUCCGCGCAUGCGCAGAUCCACGUCACAUUCGUGGAGACUGGAGACAGAGAAUCCGAGUUUAUACGCGGAUUUUCUAUCUCCACGGAUUAAACGUGAUAUUGUAAAUUGAAUAAGCGGCACUCGUCUUGAGUUUUUGAGAUUCCAAAGCGAACCAAAAGCUUGUGAGCUUGAUAACUCGUUGCAACAGAGUUUUAGGAGGCCACUUACUUGACCUAUUCUCAGAGCUAGCUUGCUGUGGAAGUGAAUGUUGUGUAGAACACCCAAGAUGUGCCUAUAAUAGACUUUUUGAGUAGAGACGUGCAUUGCUUCCCUGGAGAUCUGGCUUCGUCAAUUUGGACCCCAUGAGUUGGUGUUCUAGUUCCCAAGUCAUGUGGCUACCGGUUGUGUCUAAUCGUUUGACAUUAUAAUAAACCCUCCAUUAAUCAUAUGCCACAUACUGUAAUAGUGUAUUGUUAUGGCUAAACCAAUAGGUAUCAACUAAUUAAUCAUGUUUAACUUGUUGUUGGACGUAUAUAAAGCGAGACGGUAGCGUUGCACCAUAGUCAACAUAGAUAGGAGAUCAUGCCUUGUAUUCAACUGAUAUGCUUUGAGAAACUAUCACUAAAUCACAUGAGAGCCAUGAGAAUAUUGCAGAAAGUGGAUGAGGAAAACUAUAAACCAGAACAGAUAUCAUUCCAUUUUUCGUUUAAAAUUUUAACAAAUUUACAAUAUAAAAAAAUGUUCUAUUUAUUUCUAACAUUUCUUUAAAUAUAGCCGAAAAUGUACAAUAAUUAUUCGAAGACUAUGCUCGAUCAAAGUAUUGCUACUUUAGUGUUAUAUUGUUAUCUCAGGCUCAGACUACGUAGUUUUCCUUGUCAGACGAUAAGACCGGUUAUGAUUAAGUUUAAAAAAAUACACAUCUUUGGUACUUGCUUGGGUUCGUGAUUGGAAGCAUAUUUGGUUGGAAGUUGACUCAUCUUUGGUACUUGAUUAUAUUCGCAGACCUUCUCUUGUUCCUUGGCCUCUUCGAGUUCGUUGGUUGAAUUGCUUAUACCGAAUCUCUAAAAUGAAUUUCAAGGCUACUCAUAUUUUUCGUGAAGGGAAUAAGAUAGCUGAUGCUCUGGCAAAUCAAGGUACGUCAUGCUCUGAAUUGAUAUGGUAGGAUGAGCCUCCACCUUUCAUAUUAUUGUCUUAUAAUAACGAUGUUAGAGGUAUGCCUCAAUUUCGUUUCAGCUAGUCUGUCAUUUGUUUUAGGAGGUUUUGGUUUUGAUCCCCCUCCUUUGUUUCUUUUUUCUUUUAUUAAUAACAUAGAGUGAUAGGUGAUUAUUCGCCUAUCCUCGAUCAUUAACCAAAAAAAAAAAAAAGUUUAAAAAAAUACACAUUAAUACGACUCGAUUACGCGCGUCUUAAAAAUCAGACGUGUUUCUUUAUAGUUGUCCCAAGUAUUUAUUCUAACAAUAAUAAUAGAGCCCAAAAUUAAAAUAAUACCAAGCAUCAACAACAAAAUUUUCAAAAAUCAUGAAACUUGUCCCCUAUUCAUCAAUGCAUCACCAAGCAAGGGCAUUUUCGUCAUACCAGUGCAGCCUCCCUACAUUCACCGAGAAGGCACGAGAACGGAAAUAUUGGGCAAUACGGGAAUUUCAAAGCAUAAAAAUAUUAAAUACCAUUACCGGUGAGCAUAAAAGAAUCACGUUGCUGCCUCCUAGCUUUGCGCCUUUAGAGCUUUGAAAGUUGAAACAGAUACCAGUUCUUCUGUCUUUCUUUUUCUCAGCAACCUACCCUUCCAUUCCAACCAAACCAGAAAAUUUAGAGACGAAUUUAUACACCUAACCCAAAUACAAUAUCCGAACCCCAGUUUUAGUCGAGCUCACUCUAGCUCAUUUCAAGCUUUACCCAAUGGUAUGUUUCUUUGCUUUGUAAUUGUCACCUGAAAGUUUCUUACUUUUUUGACCAGUUUUGGUUCUAGUUCCAUCUCCUUCAUCACUCUUUAUUACGACUCCUCUUUGGCUUUUAAUUCUGUCAAAGCGGGAAUAUUGUAACUGUUCAUGUAUCUAAUUCUUCUGGGAAACUGAUUUCUAGACUUUUUGACCGUUCUGUUUUCCUCUGUUUUUUCACCCCUUUUAAUCUUUGGUGGGUUCUGUUUUUCUUCCCAGUAAUGAUCUCUGACCUGAAAAUUAUUUGAUUUUGGCUAGAUGUAUCAGAGUGCUAGUUUUGAUUCUUGAAAAAUAUCAGCUCUUUUUUUGUCCUCUCAAACUUUGGAAAGUGUGAGCUGCUGAUUGUAUUGUUUGUCGUAUUGGAUUACAUAAAUGUUCUUUCUAUUUCUGGUGCAAGCUGGUAAAUCAUUUUGAUUUUUGAAUUUUUAAUUUCGUAGUAUGUUGGAUUGCACUCUCAUCUUUUAUGAUUCUCCAUUUGCAGCUUGAGAGUGCAAAUCAAUACAUGGGAUCAAUGGAAGAGCCAUCACCUGAGACAAAUUACACCAAGCCCUUGGGGAUCCGAUUCAUAGAGUACAUAAAAAGAUCGAAUAUUUCAUACAAAACCCACCAAGUUAUUGUUUUGAUUGUUACUUUUAUAGCCUAUGCAAGCUACCAUGCUGCCAGGAAGACCACUAGUGUGGUCAAGAGUACUCUUGAUCCUGCUUCUGAUGAGGUCAGCCUGAAUUCCUUGCCAUGGAGAAGAAGACCCUUUUCUUGGAUUCUUGGGGAUGGAUGGGCACCAUUUGAUGGAUCAGAUGGAACAGUCUUGCUUGGGGAAAUUGAUGUAGCUUUUCUAGCUGUUUAUGCUAUAGGAAUGUACUUUUCUGGUCAUUUGGGGGAUAGAAUAAACUUGAGGAUUUUCUUGACUAUAGGAAUGGUGGGAACAGGUGUGUUUACUUCACUGUUUGGAAUUGGGUAUUGGGGAAGCAUUCACAGCUUCUAUUACUAUCUUGCGGUUCAAAUGCUUGCGGGUUUGUUCCAAUCGACAGGGUGGCCUUCGGUGGUUGCAGUGGUUGGUAAUUGGUUUGGGAAGAAGAAGAGAGGGUUGAUAAUGGGGAUAUGGAAUGCCCAUACUUCUGUUGGGAACAUUACUGGGUCUUUGGUUGCUUCUGCCCUACUGCAAUAUGGAUGGGGUUGGUCUUUUGUAGUGCCGGGUUUGAUGAUUGCGACAAUUGGUUUGGUUGUUUUUCUGUUUUUGCCUGUUACUCCUGAGUCUGUGGGAGUUAGUGAAGAGGAUGAAUCGGAUUCUCCGAAGAAAAGUGGGGCGGAAGUGACUUCACCAUUGUUGAUAUCAUCAAGGGCAGAGGUGAAGGAUCAGCCUGUGGGGUUCAUUGAAGCUUGGAAAAUUCCUGGUGUUGCUCCUUUUGCUCUUUGCCUGUUCUUUUCCAAAUUGGUGGCUUAUACAUUUCUCUAUUGGCUUCCUUUCUACAUUAGCCAUACAGGUAAUUUGAACACUUCCGUAUGUUGUUUUGGAUUUGUGAUUUGAUUUAUUGAACUUUGUUGUUGACUAACAUUUCAUUUUCACACAUAUUGCAGCUAUUGAUGGGCAGUACUUGUCAGAUGCAGCGGCUGGUAACUUGUCGACAUUGUUUGAUGUUGGAGGUGUGCUUGGAGGAAUCCUUGCGGGACAUAUUUCUGACCGGUUGGAUGCUAGAGCGAUAACAGCUGCUAGUUUCAUGUAUUGCGCUAUCCCUGCUCUCUUUUUCUACCGGAGCUAUGGGAGCAUAUCUUUAACUGCAAACGUUAUCCUUAUGUUCAUCACCGGCAUGUUUGUUAACGGGCCAUAUGCUCUAAUAACAACGGCCGUCUCAGCAGACCUGGGAACUCAUAGCUCAUUGCGUGGAAACUCAAGGGCAUUGGCAACUGUAACUGCUAUUAUUGAUGGAACAGGUUCUGUAGGGGCUGCAAUUGGUCCAUUGUUAACUGGCUACAUUUCUGCCAAGAGCUGGAGUGCAGUUUUCACAAUGUUGAUGGGAGCAGCUCUAAUUGCAGGGUUGCUUCUAACAAGGCUUGUUGUAGCCGAAGUGACUGCAAAGAUCGAAGAAUCAAGAUCACGCAGGGGGUCUACGUCAAGGUCUCAACCUGCAGUGAUUGAUGUGUGAUUUUAGUGGUUUUCAUUUCCAUUGUAUCCACAAGUUCUGCUUCAAAGCUCGGAGUUCCUGCUCAUCAUAUUAAAUAGGAGGAGGACCUCUAUUAGGGAUAAAGGAGAUGAUUUUCUUAAACCUUCUCCAUAUUGUUAGAUAAAGGGGUGGGGUGAUUAGUGUUGUGGCUUUGUAAUAUAUAUGUGUAAUUGUGUAUACAUUUUUUGUAUGUCUUGUGAUAUUAAUCACAGCAUGAUUCAUAUUCAGAUUGGUGACAAUCUCACCAGAAAAUUGAAUUUCUCUUUGUUCCUCUUCUUCUCUGUUCUUACCAUCUUCAUACCAACUCUGCUUCAUUCUUUUCGGGCGAUCAAACUGGAAAUGAUUCAACACGAAACGGAUUAGGGGAGCCGGUGAAACUUGUAAUUCUCCAGUAACCAAACACAUGCAGGGGUGACAAACGUGAUGAAAACUGCUGCUACUUUCAGAUUUGAUGAGGAUCUCCACUCCAAUUUAUGGUAAAGGAUCCAAAAUGAACAAUGCAAUGAAACUACCGAGGCUAGAAUACUGUUGCAUGUUAAGAUAUGGCACGGUUCAUGUCGAUAUCUUGUCGCUAAGCGAUGACGAUGACCACCAAAAUAGAAAGGAAAGCAGCUCCGAUCCUUUUCAAUUUGGCAUAAUCUAAUCCAAUGUAGGCAACGUAAGAAACUUCCUUUCUUGUUUGUGUGCUAUUCCAAUGGACCACUUAAAUCCUCACUUUGAGGCUUUGAGCAAUUGAGCAAUUGAGCUUGUGGGACAACUAAAGAAGUGGAAUGUAGGUUCAGUGCCAAAACUCUUUGAGCACCUGAGUGCUUGGCCCUGCGGCCACCAAAACGAAUGGUGCAAAACAGAGGCUUUUUGCUCCAAAACAUGAAGAGUAUUGGUUUGAAUCUGGGUUUCAAAAGUAAAGGGUAAAAGACAAGGACUUUAAUUUGGAAAUGCCAGCAUUCAGCAUCAGCUGUGACUCGGAUUGUUCAUAUUCAAAAUUGGUUGGUGGUCUUUCUUAACAAAGCUUGGAGAUGCCGACUACAUUGUCUGGUGCUAAAGCCUCCUCGGUUACGGCAUAUUUUGUUUCCUUCUCUGUUUUCUAAUCCACGUCCUUUGUUUACUUGCAAGUUCGCCUAGUUCCAAUGUACAGGGAAACAAGACCAAUUCCCAAGUAAGGUUAGGGGAGGAUUCGGUUUUACUAAAAGGAGUGACACUGAAGCAUUACAUUUCAACACAUUAUAACACUUGCACGCCACUUUGAGCAAGUCGUACGCACUUUUGUAUAGCUAGCUAGACAUAUUAACCGAUUACACUCGACAUUUGAUUGUGGAAUCCGAUAGUGUAGGGAUUUCGCCGCACCUGAUCCUAAAGUUGAAAGGAACCCUCUUCCCAGUCGUUGCAUAUGACAUCUUUUGGUGCAUUGUAAAAUGGCACUAAAGAGUGGGGAGGACCAUUGCUGAAGAAGGAAAGAAUAUCCAAGGUGAUGCUAGUGUUAGUGGUUACGGCAAUUGCCAGAAAAAUGGAUGGAGACAACAAAGGUGACGCUCUUCUGUUUUGCUUGGACGUUUUCUUCCUCAUCCACCAAGCGUGCUUAAACAAUGAAAUUGUACAUAAAGAAUUCUUCUUAAGCUAAUCAAUCUGAUUCCAUUUCUUACUGACCACAUAUCUAGAUACUAACCACUGCCCUUUCACUAAAUUAUUUAAGCACUAAGAGUAAAGUAAUGACCUGCUUUAUUAUUUACUAAUGAGAUUCCAAUUAUGCAUCAACCACAAACAAGAUACCGAGUCUCGGAUCACCAAUUUAAAAGUGUUUAUGACCUAAUCAGACUGUGUUGGGUUCGCUUUCAAAGUUCAGGGAUGAAUAAUGCCUUCACCAGAUUACCUUAGAACUAGAAAAACCAAUAUGUGACGCUGACCACUGGGCUGAACAGGGCUGUAAGUCACACAAAGGACACACAUUUUAAGACUUUAAGCUCACAGAACAAGAUGCCUAAAAGUCCUCUUCUAGAUGUUAUCCAGCCCAAGAGUGCUCAUACGGUCAUACCUCAUACAAGUGACUCCACCAAAUGCAAAUGUAUUAGACUCUACCAGGUCAUCAAACACUACAUACAACAACUUACCAGAUACUAACUAACUGUGUCAACUUUUCAAUCAUCUUUAUAGCUUGAGCCUAUCAUGACAUUCCCCUCAGGAGUCAGGGACAUGUAAAUUCAGUUAUUUAUACACUACCAAAUGAAAUGUAGUCACUAGUGAGAUGUUGGCUAGGUUUCAUGCCUAAAACUCUGGAAGCAGUGUCCAACUUCAGUCUUGUACCAAUACACGGGGGUUAAUAAACUUAAGCAAACAUAUUGGACCUAGCAAGAGAGCCAUCAAUGAAGAUAUACACUAAAACAUUCAGAAAAUGCCUCGACUUACAUGAUGCUUAGCAAUGGAUAAAGCAUUAACAAUUUAGAACACAUCAGAUAAAAUAUAAAGUGUCACAGUACACCUUAAAAAUAGAUAAACCCCACUGAUAACUCAGAAUAAUCGAGUCAGCUGAUGUGCACUUCAGAAACUCAUAAGCAGAGAUGAACUGCUCCAUACUUGUUAAGUUGAUCAAAGGAAAUAAGAUCAAUCAAACCAAAAGGACCCUUCUUAACAUCAACUGAGUUAAUGAAGCACAUAUAAAUCGAUUUCCACAAGUCAAAACUCUGUUUUGGAUAUCAGUCUACCUCUCAUCAUUAAACAUUAACAAUACUCAUGCCCGAAUUCUAAGCAUGAUUUGGAAUUGUGACUCAAAUAGCAUCGGCUUACAAUCACGGGAAGUCACAGCGCAGCGUACAAGCAUAUACUACUUCUCUAAGGCAAAAUCUAACUGAUUACAUACCAUGAAGCUAAAAGGCACAUGUUUUUUCACGAUAAAAUCUGUUCUACAGAUAACAUUCGUGCACAAAUCUGAUUUCCGAGUCACUACCCACUUUUCAUACUAAAAAGACUAAACUCUAACUACUGACUACCCACUUUUCAAAGCGAUUCACAAAGCAUCUCCAAUCCAAAAUACCAGUUUUUCAUUCAAAACCUCAUAUCCAGCUACCAAACACAUAAUGCAACUAAUCACAUGCAGAGCAGACACAAUCACAAAACUACUCCAAAGCCUUUCAUUAGCAGUAAACAAGACCAAAAAUUUUCACUUGACAGUAAACCUGAAUCCUCAAAGUAACAAAACCAUCACAAAUUAUAUUACUUUUUGUUUUACUAAUAUCUCUUUCAUCAACUAAAAACAAUUAAUUAGGAAUCUCCCAAAAUCAGAACCUGGGUUUUGAAACUCCGUCAAUCCUCCGAUCCUAGUCCUCGUCUUUCUUCUUGGGUUUGCGGUACUUCUCCUCGAUUUGCUUGGCCAUGAAUACGGCAGUGUCGGCGAGCUUCUUGAUGUUCGGAACGGCGUAGUUUUGGGCUAGGUAGACUCCGGUGAACCCGCCCAGUAUGAAGGAGAACGAGCUCUUUAUGAUCCCCAUUCGAUUCUUCCAAGCACAUAAGCCCUGCGAUUUCUAGGGUUUUUGGAUUUUGAAAACUCUGGGUUUUUAUGGGGACCAAUUUGGGCUCUCCGAUCUUCUGGAAAUUUUGGCCCUCUUCUUUUCGGCUUUUCCUACAAGAAAGGUAAUACUUGUGAAAUGACUCAAAUGUCCUUAUUAUUCCCACCAUCUUUUUUAUUUUUGUGAAGCAUAAAUAUUUGCUAAUGUUUUAUGCUUGUUUUUAUUUUUUUGUAGCUACGCUAGUUAUGGAGAUCAACAAUAUUGAUGUGAGUACUCUAGUACUCUAGGAAAUGUGUUGUGGUGGUCCUAGAUUAGAUCAGCAAUCAUAUUUCAAAUAAUAAUUUGUUCUCCAACAAAUUUGAUGUAUUUGAAUACAACAUACAAUAUUUAAAAUAAAGUGUUUUGAGACAAGUGAGAAUAUCACUAAUAACAAUCAAAAAAGGGUAAUCAUAUUUUUAUAUCGUAAUUUACCUCCAUCGAUCACUUACAAACUAUACAAUUCAGUCAUGUACAACUAAUGUUACAUCUCUCGUAAAUUUUGGUUCUUGAACCAAUGUUAAACGUUUCAUACAAAACACAUUUUUUGAUCAAUUCAUACAAAACAAAUGAUAGUACAUUUGAAAUUUAAAUAUUAUUUACUUAUACGAAAUGUUUUACCGAGAUGAAUCAACAUGUUUAAAGAUUUUUGAGACCACUUUUGUUAUGAUUUUAGAUAUAAAAAGUACAUUAUACAUGUUCAUCUAAUUAUGCAUUAUUCAAUGUAGUUUCAAACAAAAAAUCUAAUUACGUAUCAUUUUGUUGUUCUUUGUUAGGUGUCAGAUAUAUCAUUAAAUAGUCGUUAAGAAUUUGGGGAUCUUGCUCUGUGCUUUCCCCUGAGCUCAAAACUUGACUCGUCCAAAAUAUAAAAACCAGAGCACAAAAAAAAAAAGUCAAACAAAAUAUAAAAAAAAUAAAAACCCCAUCUCUGUCUUUCUCUCUGCGAAAAAAUUGCGACGCGCGUGGAAAUUGCAGAGCCUUCCCCCCACCGACGCUACAGCGUCAGCGUCGUCUCUCAGCUCAUCUCAGGUUCCCCCCAUUCCUUUCAAUUUCCUCUCCUUCCUUUUUCAAUUCAUUCAAAAUCGAAACUCACGCUUCAAUUUCGCCUCGAUUCUUCAAAUUUUCAAUUCGAACAGUUUCGGUCAAAAUUUGACGCCUGAUAGGAAUUAGCUCUGUUUUGAUCGGAUUCAGGUCUCGAAAAUCAACUUGAUCAUCGAUUCCGUCGAAGUUUUGUUCAUGAUUUUGAUUUCGAUCGCCACGGAUCAUAUUUUUUUGGAUUAAUUUCACUAAAUUUGUAGCUUAAGGAGCAUUUUGAUAGUUAGCAUUCUUGAUGUUAAUGUAUCUGUUAGGCUGAUUCAGUGAAAUGGGGCUUAUUUGCAGGCUAAUCGGGGUUUCGAUCAUUUGUGUGGAAAUUUUUGGAGUUUGGUGAGGUUUUGAAGCUGAAUUGAAGUCGUGUGGGAUCAUGAUAAUGAUAAUUCAGUGGUGAUGAGAAUUGAGGAGUUGGAGUUUAGUAAAGACACUGGAUUAUGUUACCGAUGGGGUUGCGGUAUAUAGCCAUAUCUGUGGUGUGUACAGCGUUGAGCUUUGCUGGUCUACAGUUUUGGACCGAGACGUCGCUGGUUAAACUAAAAUCGGAUGGACUCCUUGCGGAGAAUUUGAUUCCAGCGGCCAAUGUUGGCCAUGUUGUUGAUCUGCUUUUGGGAUCCUAUGCUACUGUUGCGCUGCUGGCAAAUUUUGUACUCAAUGCGUUUAUUCUACUUGUUCUAUCUCUCAAGGUAAUUAGUUUCUACCGAAUUCUGAAACGUUUUGUGAUUUAGAGUUCGAUGGAUGCGUGAACUUUGUGCUUGUCAGAGGCUUUAUUCAAAUGUACAUCAUUGAACAUGAGUUCCUAUAGUUUCUUGGUCCUAGUCUUAAGCUCUUUGUGCUGGAUUUACAGCCUAUUGAAUUUCCCAUGAUAUUGCGUUUACCUUGUUUUGUUGUGUGGUUGUACCACUUUGGUGAUGGGAUGGCCAGUAAAGAAUUGCCACGCAUUGUCUUACAGAGAUGAUCAAUUUCUUUUGUGACACUGCAUGUAACCAGGAUUUAGAUACAAUUUUUAUGUCUGUUACUUAAAUGUGCAUACAAGAGUCUUAGGGCCUCUGAACCAUGUACUGCCACUGUUUGUCUUGGGUGAAUAUGAAUAUAUAUUGGUGAGGUUCUUGAUCACCAAAAUGCCUGUUAUUAAUUUGCAGACUAUAUUCUUCGGCGAGUUGUAUCCUUCUGAAACUCGAAAACUGUUCGAACGCCUUCUCAAUUAUAUAGUUUACAAGGCAAGUCUUUUGACUAGUGAUUUUCUUAUACAUCUGAAGUAAACUACACCUUCAAGCAUGUCCAUUUGAUUGACAACUUUUCUGGCUAGAUGAAUUCAGUAUCAGAUAAACAACAGUUACCAUCACAGAUUUUCCUCCAUGAAAUAUGUGUUGUUUAAUAAUGUCUUUGUGCUUGUGGCUAAAUGUCAAACAGGGUACAUUUCUACCUCUGGUUAUUCCUCCAACGAUAUAUCAUACAGGCUUGUGGUCAGUCUGGUUGAUUGUACUUUGUUCUUUAAAGGUAUAUGUUAAUAAGUAUGUAGAACAAGCUCUUUAGUUUCUCAUAAAAGAAAAAAAGCUGCUUAUUGUUUCAGUAUAAAAGUGUAACUUAUAUGCAUGUUAACUUGUACAGAUGUUUCAAGCUUUGGCUAGAGACCGGCUUGAACGCUUGAACGCAUCUCCCUCAGCUACACCAUUGACAUACUUUCGUGUGUAUUCAGUGUUGUUGUUUGUGUUCACCGUAGACAUUUUCUGGUAUUGCUUAGUUCCUCCUUUUGCUGUCUAUGUUUUGUUUAAAGCUGAGAAGCAAAAUGUAUUGCAUUAUAUCUUCUCAAACAUUAUCUGCUUUUUUUGUUGUUGGUGCUCGCAGGAUAAGGCUGUGUCUGAUGAUAUACAACACACUGGGUGUAUCUAUGUUUCUGUUGUUGUUAUUUGAGCCUUUCAGUAUUGGAUUUGAGACACUGCAGGUAAUGCUUUUAGAACAUUACUGGCAAGUUUUCAAUUUUAUUAUGUCAUUUAUGCAACUUUAUAACCCUAGUUGACGGGGUUGUUUGGUUCGUCACAAUUUUCUGUUAGGCUAUUUUGGUCCAUGGAUUUCAAUUACUUGAUAUAUGGCUCCACCAUUCAGCAUGGAACGAUGCAAAUUGUGAAAGAUCAAAAUUAUUUGAUACAUCAGCAACUGGUAAAUCUCACAUUAUUUUUUACAUAUUUAUACAUAUUUUUUAUCAUAUUUUAUGGAUGUAUACAUGCUUAGAGUUUUUAUUUACUAUUUUCAUGAUGGUUUCUAAGUGCAGGUUUGUUGUUGGAAUGGAAAGGGAGUCUUACUCGGAAUUUGGGUUUUGUCCUGGACAUGGCAACUUUGUUAAUGGCUCUUGGUCACUACGUGCAUAUUUGGUGGCUCCAUGGCAUGGCAUUCCAUUUUGUGGAUGCGAUCCUUUUUCUAAACAUACGUGUAAAUAUUUGUGUAAAUAUUUCAUUCUACAUCUAUUUAAUCAUCGGAAGAUCUUUAUGUGCUUGUUACUCCAUAUAAUCUUCUUCCUACUUAUGAGAUUCAUUAUUGAAAUUUGGGCAGGCCUUGCUAAGUGCAAUUAUAAAACGCAUAAAAGGGUUCAUGAAACUGAGAAAAGCAUUGGGUGCUCUCCAUGCAGCCCUUCCAGAUGCAACAUCUGACGAGCUACGAGCUUAUGAUGAUGAAUGUGCGAUCUGCAGGGUAUGCUGAGCUGUUUUAUUUUUUUUACUUUUUGAAUAUCGUUCAGUGUUUUUGAUACCCAUCACUUAUCGGAAAAUGUCAGGAACCUAUGGCCAAGGCUAAAAGACUACACUGCAGUCACCUAUUUCAUCUUCCAUGCUUGAGAUCUUGGUAUGGUUAUACUCUUAAACUGUGUGUUAUUUUCUUUGGUUUCUUUUUCUUUAUUUAGUGUUCAAGCGUGUGAUAAUCAAAAUGCUGAAAAUUAUUUAUAAUUCCAGGUUGGAUCAGGGUUUAAAUGAGGUAUAUUCUUGUCCGACUUGUCGCAAGCCACUGUUUGUAGGCAGAACUGAAAAUGAAGCACAUCCCCGCAAUGAAGAAACUUCGAAUGAUGAGCAGCUUGCUCGUCAAAUAAGUUCAGGACUUGAUAGACAAAAUAGUUCUGGACAUACACUCCCUACAGGUGUUUUCCCCAAUCAAACUCAAAACCCUGCAGAAGGUCCUUGGAGGUACACAUCCUUACUAAUGACAAUUACUUUCCUGCCAUUAAGUCCUUGUUGAAUAUCCUUUUUUGACGGAAUAAUUUUGAAAUUAUUUAUGCUCUAGGCAAAUGCUCUUAUAAUUUAUGGGAGAUGGACCUUUAUUUUGGGUUUCAACGGCCACUAACUCUAGAAUCAGGCUUGACACAUCUAUGUAUCCAAGUUUAAAUUGGGAAUUUUCAUCCGGGUGCUGUUGGUUACUAAUUAUCAUAUAUGGUUACAAUUAGAAGUUUGUGUGACCAAAGUAGUCCUCCUAGUGUUGUCGUAAAAACUAUUUUCUAUCUGUUAGGUUUUUUACAGGAAAAGAAUGAGUUGAAGGAUGAAUUCAACGUGCAAAGGAUUUUUAUUGUCUCUUACUGUUUAUAUUAUAUGAUUUUAUACAUAAACAUAACAUGUUUCUCCUUAUGCCCAUAGGACUGCAGGACUCGAUCCAAAUUGGUUGAACACCUGGCCAAGCCAAGGAGUUGAUGGGGCAGGUCCUUCUACUGCUAUAGGAUCUGUCGGACUGGGGAGAGUACAGAUGAUGAUGAGGCAUCUUGCCUCUGUUGGAGAAACCUAUGCCCAGACAGCACUUGAAGAUGGUGCAUGGAGUAUCUGGCCUAUGAAUCCAUCUCAAGCCACCGCAACUGGUCAACCCAUUCCUCCUGCUGGCGAUGGAAGAUACCCAGUAGGAACACGCAAUUUACAUAUGAGGUCACCUUCACGCACUGUGAAUGACAACAUAGCAAACAUACUUGCUAUGGCCGAGACAGUACGGGAAGUUUUGCCUCAUAUGCCCGAUGACAUAAUUUUCCAGGUACAGUUUUCCUGCAACAUGAUAUGAUCAUUGCGCUAUAUAUUACUCAAGGCAUGCAUUCACCAUCUAUAUCUUAUUUCAUUUUGCAGGAUUUGCAGCGGACAAAUUCUGUUACAGUUACUGUGAAUAAUCUUCUCCAAAUGUGACAAGGCGCUGUACUUAUCGUUUUUGUUGUAAUGUGUUCCGAGUACUCAAAGACUAGUUGAGGUCGCUCGCUCUGUGUAUAUAAAGGCUGCUCACCGAAUCACUUUUACCAAAGGAAGGAAAAAAGAGGCACAAGUAUAGUCUUUAUUUUUGUAAUCCCCCUGUGGAAAAAUAAAUUUGCUUUGUAUCAUUACAAUUUACAGAUGGAUAGGUUGUUAUUUUACCAUUUCGAUUUCGAUUUGGUUCCACCAGAUAACUUCAGUGCGUCAGUAAAUCUCCUGUGGUCUUGAUCAAUUAGACUUUGCAAUGUGAUUAUGUUGGUGUAAACUUUAGGGCAAGGUUGGGUUUGGGAAUGUGGAGGGUUGGAAACGGCGUCGUAAAAGACAUGAGCACCGGGGCAACCGAGAAUGCUGGGGUUGUAGAAGACAGGGGUGGGCUUUUUCGUCAAAGCACAAGUAGCGAUGCUCGUGAUGUCGGGCGAGGCCGUUAACAAAACAACAAAGGGAGUAGAGUCCUUCAAAGAGUCAAAGUCAACAAGCUGGAUAGCUUCACGUGUCAAAUCCUGAUUAAACCGACCCUAGUUUGUUCUUUCUGAUUUGACUUCUCCAUCUAAGAAUUUUUUGUUAAUUUGAAGAAUAUAUAAACCAACAAGUAAAUGAUGUAGAAUUUUAAGGGAUAUACAAGAGGUUUGAAACAAUUAGAUUAAGAAUAUAUAGAGCAUUCUUCACUUAGUAACCGGUUGAACAUAAUUAGAGUCGAAUUACUUGAAACAUGUUGAGAUUUGAACAUAUGUAAACGAGUUAAAUUUGUACAUCAGAAGUUAUCGUCUCCAAACUAAUGAGUAGAUCACACCUUUUUGUAUAGUCAACUGUGGAUCAUGUUUGGUUAAGCAAAGUCUACCAUGCCUAAAACAUCGAUCUCAAACACUUUGUUAGGUGAUAUAUACACUUAUACAGUGAACACGUGAACAUGAAUCUUAUGAAAUCUAUGUCACCGGCCAAUUGAUUAAUCUUAUUCAUCAUCAUCGAUCAUCCCCUAGGGUCAAUAUAGUGUAACAAUGUCCUCAAUUGUUGUCUCACUCUAGCCUGAAUUUGUUGAUAUGGUUUCCCAUUUUCACAGUGGAGGUCCUUAUCAACUAAUGGGGUAGUUAAUCCUGUCUAUAUCCUACAUUGACAAUGAAGCUUUUCUUACGGUCCCAUUUUACCAUUUUAUAUAUAUAUAUAUAUAUAUAUAUAUAUAUAUAUAUCUCUUNNNNNNNNNNNNNNNNNNNNNUCAUUUUGCUCACAAUUUAUAUACUAGUUCUUUGUAGUGAAGUGUAAUAUGUAAAUUUUUCUCAGGUUAAGUGUAGUGAGUAGAAACCAGGUGGUGCAAGAGACACGGAUCGACAAGCAUGAAAAUCCGACGGAAAAUUUGAUGAAGGUUUUCGAUACAAACAGAUAGGUACAAGCUUUCUCUCUAACUUCGUAAUCCUACAUGUGUAUUAUCUUUUGUGCAUUUCACUUUAGCCCUUUAUAGGGCACAAUUACAUACAUCUUGUCCCUCUUUCUUGAUCAAGUACUCGAUCACGUAAUUAGUAGUUUGUUACUUGCUCUGGACUUGACCACAUUCCCCUCGAAAUUUGAAUUUACAUCCAUGUAGUUCCAACAUCUUGGCAUAUUUUACUUGUAUAUAUAAAGCUUUUGGAGUGUAACAAGUUGAUUGUGUUGCAUGUUCAUUUUAACUACUUCGAGAUUAGCAUAUGUUCAUUAGUGUCUAAAAGAAGUGUUCCGCAUGCUGGCUAAUUGGGAUUUGGGGCCCUAAUGAAAACAUUUACUUGAUGGUAAAGCAAGCAAUGCCUUAAUUAGAAUGGAGUUGUACGUAUAUAGGAAUAAGCUUGGAGAAAAGGAUAACUUGGUGAAGGGACCGAUUUGCCUUUAAAAAGUUGACGGUAUUAACCUCAUAAGUGGUUUCAUAUAGCAAAACCCUAUCAGGUCGGGUUUAAAAUUUCGGACACCGUUUUGAUAUUUCACAAAAACAAUAAAGUUUAUAAUCGAACGAAAUAUAGACACUGUUUGAAUUAUUAGAUCGAGUUUAUAAUUUCAGACACUGUGUUUUGAUAUUUCAUAAAAGCAACAAAAUUCAUAAUCGAACGAAAUACAGACAAUGUUUGAAAGAUGAAUUGACGAGCACAGUGGAAAUGUUUGAUUAACUGACAAACACAUGGGAUGUGAUUGACUAAUCAAGCCUCGGUUCAGCAAAACCUAUAUUUUUCUCCAACUUUUUAGGCACACUCGAUUCUAAUAAAACUUUUUAGGCACAAAGUACAAUGCCGUAGUAGCCAGUGUACUACUGUUAGUUCAAAGAAGUUGGAAUUGGAGACGCUCAUCAUCUUCCGCAACUAAAGGAAAGCAUACAUAAGUCUUGAUUUGUUUAAUCUCAAUUCUUUUAUGAAUAGGAGGUAAAAAAAAUGAAGUUGUAGCAUAAUUUUCUCAUUCAUGUCUGGAGUCCUCGAACAUAUAUAUAUAUACUUCAAUUCCCUUGAAGCUUAAACUGUCUAUUGUGUUUUGCGUGGGAAAUUUAUAACCUGGACUUAGGGGGCCCUGGUUAAAGCUCUUUGUGGUAGACAGGUGAUCGACGACGAAAGCCAACCAAACAAAACCUUCGUUCUCCUUUCUCCUUCCACCAGUCUCAUCAAACUCACUGUUUCUGCAUGUGCUUGGGAUCACCAUAGCUCUCCAUCUAUCAAUUCUCAGUUUGAACUUAUUUGCAGUAGUUACAGAACAACAAGUAGUUCAAAUAACUCCAAAGAUAUUGUGCUUUCUAAUUCAACCCCUAGAUCGAGUACCUUCCAAUCCAUCAUGUCCAUCAUGUCUUCUCUUUUCUUCAUCAUUCUGUUUUUUGCUUCCAUGCAUGCAAAUUCUGAGGCUCGCUAUAUUGGACUUGGCCGCAGCAAUAAGGGUUUUAGCGCAGUGUUCCCUCAUCCAGACAAGGUUCGUUCUAUCCUAAUUAUUUCAAGUUCUCUCCUCUAUUUCCUUUGAGCUAUUAAACAUUGAUGUUCAGAACUCAGAAGCUUAUGCGCAUAUGUAAUGAAUAUAUUCAGGGUCAGUUUCUAGUUGUGGAGAAGUUGAGGCUUGGAAUGGAUUCGAGUACUAAAGGGUCAGUACUAGUUGAGCAGGAUGAUGAUCUAGCUGCUGAGCAGAAGGGUAAUGAUGGUGGAACAGUUUUCAGUAGUCCUACUACUACUAAAGGUAUGAAGGAUUACUCAAGAACUAGUACUACUACAAAAGCAGAUGUUGUUCCAGAUGUUAAGCCUCAUGUUAGAGCUUCUAUGUCUGUACCGCAACAGAAUAAAAAUCGCGACAAGAACAUCAACCAUGGUGACAAAACUAGUAGUAAUCCUGGGAUUUACUCCGACUAUUCAAGACCAAGAACGCGUCCUCCCUCCCACAACUGAACUCUAGCUCACUUAUCCGUGGAUCAUUACUUGGUUCCUUCUCUAAAUUAUAUAUAUACGAGUAUAUAACAUGUCAAACUAGCUUUCAUAUAAAAGUAUUUGCAGAAAAGAGCCUAGGAAGUUUAUCUGAUCCAUCUCUGAUCAGCACUCAGUUAUUUGCUAGUUGUCGAAUUGAACAUAAUUGUUCCCAGUUUUGUAAACGGACUACAAAUUAAUAACUAUGAUCUUCUUAUACAUGUCUGUUGUUGUUAUUGAUUGAUAGGGAUAAUGGAAUACGCAGGGAGUGAGAUUUUUGAGUCUUCUAGGUCUUCUUCUUCUGCUUACUUGGGUUUGCAUAAAGAUAAAGCAACAACUACUACCAAUGAGGUAACUAACUAUUCAUAUAUUCAAAUACAAAAGGCCUAGCUAGUUAAUCAUCCCGGAACCUAACAUUUGGUUAGAGCUAAUGCAACUCCAAAACUAUCUCUUUCAUUAUGUCCCUGCUCGACGGUGACAAGCGAAGGCAUAUGGAUUGUCUCUAUGCAAAAUAAUAUUUGAUGGGUAUGUGUUGCAAUUCAUUAACGCAAUAAUGCAUGCCAUAGAUUGGUCAUGUCUCAAAUGGAGUCGCACAGUAUGAGCAUGAAACCCACGGGGAAAAUCAUAACAAAAAUCUUUUUCACCAAAUUAAAACACAAAAUAUAACAAGAAAAGAUAUGGAAGGAUCGGGAUUGGAUAUAAACCACUGCAUCACCACGCUUUGAACUAAUUUGAUUCCAAAAACAGGAUUGGUAAUAUGUUCUCAUCACGUUCUGUGUUUGUAAACGUUGUAUGUAGGAAUCAAGAAGGAGAGGGCUAUAUGCUAAAGAUAGUCGACAGACAGCUUACAAAGUAGAAGAUGAUGAUGAUGGUGGUAUGGUGCUUGAAGAUUAUAAGCCACCACAUCAGACACCUCCCAUUCACAACAAAAGAACUUGAUCUAGUUGCAUGGUGAUGAUAUAUGUUGGAAGAGCAAUUAUAUGAAUACGGUUUUCGAACGGUGUAUACUACCUACAAAACAACGGGCGAGUCUAGCUACUUUCUUCAUCGUUGAUAUAAACUAGAAAUAAACGGAAAUGGGUAUUUUCUUGUUAUAUAUGCUACAAUCUCUUGGUUAAACCCUAAAAGAAAUUUCAUAUACUAACAUAUUCCAUAAUAAAGGAUACCAAAUUAACAUAUUCCAUAACAAAACAAACAAGAUUCAAUAAUACAAAAUUCAUUACCAAGAUCCAAAACGUAAAAUUAUAAUACAAUACCUCUCUAACUAUGGUAAUUCUAAGUAGGAGUAAGAAACUGUCCAUGUCCCUCGUAGCCAUCGUACUCAAGACUAUCCAUCGUCAGCAAAGCCAUUCCAAUCAGAAACCCACUCAUCACCACCGCCCAACAUAACUUCCGAAACCCUAAACCUUUACUCUGCUUUUCACUCUCUAUCAUAUCCACUUCAGCCCUAAUCUCCUUCUCUCCAUUCCCAUCCUCAACCCUAAACUCCUUCUCUUCAUUCCCAUCUUCAACAGAAGCGCCAUUGUGGGACGUCGUAUCAUCAAACAGUACAUAUUCUACCCGAUCAUGAAACUCAUCUUCAACUCGAUCAACAUCAACCUUUUCCUCAAACAACACAUUAUCAAACACCGUCACCAGCAUUGCUUUCUUCUCCUCAACCAAAUCCACACAAUCUCCUGUAUCUUGACCAAGCGUUGACUCAAGAUCAUCUGAAACAUCACCACCGUCCUGGAUACAAGACUCGCUGCAACCGGAACACUUCGACCCAUGGUCAUCAUCAUCCUCAUCACAAUCUCCAACAUUAUCGACAUGGUCGAUCGUCGAGACUGUCGUACCGGAACCAGUCCCCGAGCCGCGAUACACCGCCUCGAGUUCUCGAACUCUUUCGCACAUAUGCUCCAAGUAGUUCUGCUUCGUCGGAUGUGACGCCAUCUCCGCCGACAGAAGAUUCUUCACGAACGUCAAGCGCUGCUCGAUGUCUGCAUGGAUGAGUUGGAGACUUAGGUUAUCGAGUUGAUCAGAGAAGGCCUUGGUGAUUUGGCGGUCGAGUUCAUUGAUCUUCGUCGGCAAAACUGAAGACCUCUUCGUCGUCAUCGUUGAAGUCGACGUUAAUGUGUGUUCUCUCUGAAACAGAGGUUAGGGUUGUGAUAGUUCAUGACCGUGGCUUGGCGGUUACGUAGUUAUAGACUAGUACGUGACGACGUGACGGUUGAGAGUUGGGUACGUGAAACGGAAAGAGAAUUGGGAAAGUGGGUGUCAUGGGCCUCAGACCCACGCCUUAUUAGGAAAGGCCCAAUAUAAAUAAGCGGGCUAGGCGGAAUGGUGUCACCGCUAGGCUGUCGCUAGGUUAAUGGCCCGUGUGGGCUGCGGGUCCCACCUAAAUAAAAAGGGAAUAAAAGCUUUUAAGGCCCAAGAGAAAUAAACGGGCUAGGCGGAAUCGAGGCACCGCCGUUAGGGUAGUGGGCCUGUACGGGCUAAUAUCUAGGCGAAGUAAGCCUCACGUGGGGUCUCCGUCAGAAAGUCAGAAAAUCACGCACACGCACGUGGUCGGCACCAUUAAUUCCACUGAUCCCCAUACGCCUAGUCACCCACUGAGACUCUGCUCCUGUAAAUUCAUAACCCGGCGAGGGCAAACCCGUACCUUCGCACCCUUAAUUUACGCGGCGAAAUCCACAACCUUAUCCUCAGAACGCAGACACCCCAAAUCCAGAUACUGAAUUGCCACUUUUACCCCUCUGAUCAGCUUUUUCACCGGCCUUUACGCUCCUAAAUCUGUCGUCUUCCUCCUUUUUCACAUCUUUUAACCUCAGCUUUCAACAUCGCCAGAGAUCACAUCACCACCACCUCACUCAACAUUCCCCCAAAUCUAACGACUCGUUCCGUUUUGACUCACUGAGUUCGCACCGAGUUGAAACCAUGAGCUGGCUGAGGAGAAUCGAGCUCGUCGAGCCUUACUACUGCCCGCCGGCGUUUCUCCUCCGCGAGACCUCCAUUUUCGCCGCGCCGAAAUUCCCUCCGUUCUUCGAAGAGGACGACGAUUCCGAGCUCGGAUACGCCUUGGACCUGCUCUGCCCUAGCCCCGUCGUCAAACCGCCGUCGCUUUUGUCCUACAAGCUGAUUCAGCGCGUGGAGAAGCUCGGAAACGAGCUCUACUUGCAGAGCCUGAGCGACCGAGUCGCCGAGCUGGAGUCGCGGUUCGAUCGCCUCGCGAAGAUCAAGGCCGCCGCCGCCGGAGGCGAACGGAAGUACACGUACACGGCGGAGAUCAAGGCGCCGGAGAAGAAGUACAAGUGGACGACGGAGAUCAAGGAGGGGAAGCAUAAGAAGAGUGAGAGGAAGUACAAAUGGACUGCGGAGGUUGAAGGGAAAGGAGAGAUCUCCAGGAAGUACAUGUGGACGGCGGAGAGCGGCGGCGAUGCGGAGGAUCACUGUGAGAAGAAGGAGAAGGAUAAGAAGAAGAAGCAUCUUAAGGUGAAGAAGGGAGAGAGUGACACUCGUGUGGUUGAGAUUGAAGAGCUUGCAGCUGAUCAUGGGGCUGUGGUUCUAAGACAGGUAGUUCUUACUUCAACUUUAAUCACCGAAUUAAUUAGUUCUUGAAGUUAAUUAGUCAAGUUUGGAUAAUGUUACUGUUAAUUUUUGAAGCUAGUAAAUUGUUCACUGUAAAAUUUGAAGCGAUGUUGAAGUAGAGUAGUAUUGAAAAGCUUUAGUUUGAUGAGGGUUUUGUAAAUAUGUGUGAUGGUGGAUGUAGGCUUUUGCUAAGAGAAUUGGGGGGAGUAAAAUUGCUAAGGGGAAGAACAAGGAACUGUCUCCUCAGGAUGCAGCAAUGAUGAUACAAGGGAAUUUCAGGGCUUAUCUGAUCCGCCGAUCACAGGCUCUUCGAGCUCUUAGAGACCUGGCAGUUGCCAAGUCAAAGCUGAAGGAGCUGAGAGCAUUGUUCAAUAACUUCUCUUACCGCCGCCGGGUUGCGCAUGAUACAGCAGAGCGUCAAAGGUUCACUGAAAAGAUCAUUGUCCUGCUCCUCACUGUGGAUGCCAUUGAGGUAACUCGCAUGAUCUUUUGCUUUGUUUUAUAUUUCUGAACUUUGAUGGCAGUGAUUUUUGUUCCAUAUACCGUGGGAUUCUCAUUAUUUGAAUGGAUAAUGGCUGAAUCACUUCUUAUGCUCAUGUUAAUUUUUUUAUUCCAAAGGAUUGCACUUAAGCUCUUUACUGAAUCAACUGUUAGGAAUCUGCCCUCAAUACCUUUGUGAUUGCAGGAUAGGGGGACAAUGUUUCAUCUUUUUUGUAGGAAAGGGUGAUUGGGAGUAAAACUAGAAAAUCUAUUUUAGCAUUUCAGAUAUUAGAAUUUGAUGGAUUCUAGUUUCUAACUACAUUUUUGUUGCUAUAGAUCAUUUUAUAGUAGGAUUUGGAACUAUUCUGUGAUAAAACAAAUAGGCUCCAAGUGGUGAGAUAUAGUCGAACUCUUAUAAUAACAUAAAUUUGAUUCUUGGUUGAAAUGGAUGCAGAGAGAUUUCCGUGAUUUUUUAACAUUGUUAUUUCUGCUAUAAGAAUCUUAUUUGAACCGUAGGUGUGGUGUGUUUUUGAACUUUGUUUCAUCCAACUUCUGUUAUCGAGUCCAAAGGUGUGUACCAUUAAUGGGUUUUAAUACAAAAAACUCCCUACAGGAAAACCUGCCAUGAAUCUCAUGUUGACUAUUUUUUUUGAAAAAAGAUGUUAAUCAACCAUUUCUUUAUCUUCUUACUCUGAGGAAGGAAGUUCAAUUGGUUCUAAACUCUAGGAAGCCGUCAUAAGUUACGAAACUUACUGUCUCAUUGGCCGACGUGUAAAAUUUCUUGUUUUCACCCAGUUGACCUCAUGAUUAAAGCAAUCAAAAGUUACUAAAUGGUUUCAACACUUCGCAUUGUAUUAGGGUGCUGAUGUAAUGGUGCGAUCUGCAAAGAGGUCGAUGGUGGAUGAGCUGGAAGCAAUGCUUGAAGUGGUUGAUCCCCAACCAGCUGGAAAAUCAUUGUCCAUGAGGAGGAGGACCUUUGAUAUGCCAGAUGGUGUCAUUCAAAGGGAGAUCGCUGAAGGUGUGGCACAGGUUGUCCAAAUGCUUGAUCGUGAAGAGAACAGUUCUACCUUUGAGGCAUGUUUGUGAGAACUCCAUGCUUCUGUGACUGUAUACCUCUCUUUGCAGAGAUUGCAAUGUUGUAGUUGUUACUAGAAGCUGUAGUCUAGUUGAGGAACUUGAAGGACUUGCUUGUUAUGAGAGUGUAAGUUUGUUUAAGACUUGGCAUGAUCUUCUUCUACACUAGCAACUCUGGGUUUGGAAUUGAUUUCCAACUCAUUGUGUGCUUAGACUUGUAUCUUUGAAGUGCUGCCUUAUUUAUAUAUUAGUUCACACUUGGUUUUCAAAUUCUACUAUGUUGUGGAUUUCUUUGCACAAUCAGAGUUAUAUCGCUGGAUGUUGGCUUUCCCAUCCGGCGCGGAACUCUGGAUUCUGGAACGUAUCUUAUGACUUGUGUUUUGAUGGUUUUAUGUCCUUGAUUCCGAACUAAUGCAUCGCAUACCUUCAUCAUCAUUGUGGGAAGUCAAAUCUCGAGAGAGGAGGUGCUCCCAUGCCCGAGCAUAGAACUCUUGACCUCCGUACCUUUUAUUUGCAGUGGACCUUGUAUGCUAUUGAGUUCAAAUUUUAGCAUUGAAAAUGGGCAACUAUCGUAUCUCCAGUUUCACAGGAUCAUAUUACCAAAUGUUGAACUAGAUGAAUCUGAUCAGAUAAAACCGAUACCUAAUGUAUUGUCAAGCUAAGAAGAUUAUCCUAAAUCUGACUCCCUAAUAACAACUAAUUUUGUUAUUACUAACGUAUCUAACACUUUAUAAUAAGUUUAUGUCAUACAACACCAAAUCCUCCGAAGUCCAAACCUAUGCCCAAAACCGUCUCCUCCUUCCUCUCACCCUUCACCCUCACUAUCCCCAACCACCACACCAACCCUUCUCUCAUCCUCUGCCGAUUCUCUCCGGGCCACCCGAAACCGCCGCACCCGGAGCCCCGCUUACUCGAACCCGAAGGAUGUGUUGUCCUUUUAAACAUUUGUAAUCUAAACUGGAAAGUGGCAUGACCCAAUCUGGUUCUCUAUGAAUGUUUCCUAGGUUGCUUUCAACAGGGAAGUUCGUACCCCUAGUGUCACUCUUGAAGGCGAUAUCUUUCAGCCCAGUGGUCUUUUGACUGGUGGAAGCCGCAAGUAAGCCACUAUUCUUUUUCCUCCAGUUCAGAUUGCAUGUACUUGUGUUGUCCUUAUCAUUUAUCAAUUCAAAGUACAUAUACUUCUAGCUAGUUUUCCUUCUUAAGCAAUCAUUUCCUGUGACAGGGGUGGGGGUGAUCUGUUAAGGCAGCUUCAUGAGCUGGCUGAAGCUGAGCUAAAACUCUCUGAGCAUCAGAAAAGGUUGACUGAGAUUGAAGCUAAGGUUGCCUAUGAAAUCUUAUUUUCUCUCAAUAAGAUACUGAAAUUCCAUAUUACACUAGGCAAUUGACAAUUCAUAUUGUGGCUGUUUUACAUGUCAUUGGGAACUUCAUUUCCAUAGUAAUUUCAUCAAUGUAUUACUAUUUGCAGAUAAGAGAGAUUCAACCUCUUCACAAGAAGUUCGUGGAGCUUAAACAACAGUUAGAACUCAAAUCAUAUGACCUUAAAUUAUUUCAGGGCAGGGCUGAACAAAAUGAGCAUCAUAAGGUUUUGUCACGUUUCUUUUCUCUUUUAGCAUACUCAGUUGCUGAACUAUGCUGCGGACUGUGUUUACUGGUUCAUUUAUGACAUGAAUCCUAAUUUUUUUAUUCUGCUAUGUAGCUUGGUGAAUUAGUAAAGAGGAUUGAGCUAGAGCUACAAGAAGCUAAUACUGCAGCCAAAGAAAAGAAACUUUUGCAUGAAGAUUGUAUGAAUAAAGUGUCAUUUCUUGAGAAAUCAAUCAAAGAGCAUGCCAACAGUCGGGAGGGAAGGCUGAAAGAUUUGGAAAAGAAGAUCAAAGAGACAAAAGCUCUACUCCAGUCAGCUUCAAAGGAUCUCAAGGUAAGUUUUAUUAUUGCUGAGAUUUAAUAGAAAUAUCGUCCAUGGGAUCUCAUUGAGCUUACUUUAUUUGAAACAACUUGUUUGAUGAUGUUCAUUGUUAGAUAGUGGAUCUUAUGAUCGUUCGGCUGGCGUGCUGAAACCACCUAUCGAAUUUUGGAUCUCAUACUAUUAAAAGUGUAAUUCCUAAAAGAAUUUCUAUGUUCGACAUCUUUAUAUAUAAAACAAAAUUAAAAAUAAACUUAGUUAUGAAUAUCAUUAAGUCUUUUGCUUUCUAAUCCAAUUUACAUAACUUUGUUAUGGAAAAAUAAACUGCACGAGAGUUGUUUAACUAAGAUGCUCCCUCCGUAAUUGAAACAUCCAGGAAAGAAGUAAAAGAUUAGCAUUUUGGAAGAUGUCUGCCAAUGUUAUUUAGAAGUCUUCAUGUGGCUAAUUCUGUUUGGAAACUGCUCCAGUUUCUGGGUUGAUUAUUAUUGUCUGAUUCCACAUCAGCUCUUUAAUUUUUGUGUGAUAUGAUUUUACUGACUGAUAGGGACAUGAAAAUGAAAAGGAGAAGCUUAUUAUGGAAAAGGAUGUUGUUUUAAAAGAGCUUGCAUCUUUGGAGCUCAGUUGUCUUCUUUGAGAGCACAAAUUGAUGGACUCAUUUCAGAAGUAGAAGAACAGAAAGAGAAGGUAAAAACUCUGAUACUGUUUUUGAUUCAUAUUUUGUUCAUUUCAAUUGUAGCUUUGGGUUGAACACAAGUUGCUUCUUUGCUAUUUUAUCAAGUAUAACUUGUUUUGAUUUGUCGAACUUUUCUCUUUUGGUUCAGAUGUUUUACUUUACCAUGGUGAAUGAUCCUUUCCUGUGAGGGCUUAUCUAUCUUCAACAUAUGUAUGAGAAACUCCUUGUUUGUCUACAUGUGUUAGAUUGAUUAUGCAACCAAUCUCUAGACUAAAAGCUUCUCCUAUGGAUUCUCUACCAAAACAUUUCUACAACUUUGGUGCUCUUUUUUACAUGGGUUUUAGCUAUUUCUGUGUCGUUUCUUUGUUUGAAAUAGCUACUCCACAUGUGGGAGUUGUCAUUCAAAGUUUUACUCUCUUUUUUUCAUUUUCUUUUUUGGAGUAAUCUAGCGGGAUGCUUAAGCAUCUGUAGACUGUAGUGGUAUAUGCAAAGCUUUAAUGUGGGUUCAUUAUAUUAUAUUGGUCUCUGGUUGUUUAGAUGAAACAGUUAUCAGCAUCUUAUUAUUCACUUACAUGUUGAUGCAGCUCUUGAUCUAAGUCACACCCAGAAUAUUGGAAGAAUGAUCAAAAGUCAUUUCCCACACUCUCAGGUUGGUGGAUUCUGUCAUCUGGUUAUUUACAUUUUACCUAGCUGGAAUCUGCUUAUGCAAUGUACCAUCUUUUCUUUCAGUAAUCCAUAAAGUUAGAUUUAACUAAGAUAUAACUUCUUUUCCGUCAUUAUAUAAGUAAAUGAGUAAUACCAUCUGAAUUUUACAAAUCUUAAAAAGUUCACAGAACGUUUUAGACUUUUAGGCAUAGUUUUGAUCUGGCAUAACAACUGCUAUUUGACAUGACAUUGUCCCUUGGGUGGUUGUAGAGUCUGGUAUUCUGGAGUUUGUAAUUCAAACCUCAUUCUCACACAAGACUGACAAGAGCAGAUUGUGGCAUAACUUGUAAAGAUAAUAUACAACGUUCUGAUUUGUCGAACUUUUCUCUUUUGGUUCAUAUGUAUGAGAAACUCCUUGUUUGUCUACUACAUGUGUUAGAUUGAUUAUGGAACCAAUCUCCAGCUCUCAUUUAGGUACAAGUGUAUAUGUAAAACUGUAUCGACUCUUGAGUAGUUCCAUGGCGGCGGCAUUCCAAUGUUGUGCUUGUUUUGAGCCCUGUGCUCAACCUGCAUGUAUUGUAGAGCUUUGAAUUUGUAUGCCAAAUUUGUUCACGCUUAUGGUUUUGAAUGAUAUUGCCCAUGAGCCUAUCUCUGAGAAGACUAUCCAAUAGUUUUUCAAAUUCACCAAAAAACGGUGGUCCAAAUACGUUUUGUUUGCCAAACACGCGUCUUCCAAAAUCACUCACUGUGAGUUAUGUAAUUAAGGUCCAUCCAAAAUCAUGACUUUUCACUAAAACAAUCGUGGAUUAUUUGAAAGCCAGAGCGUAAUCUUUUCACUAAAACGACAGUAGCCGUAUGCCUAGCCUCGCUUGGAAUGGACAUUUGGUACCAUAAGCGUAAUUAGUCUCACAAAACAUAGUCGUCGUCAGUUUUACCCACUGUUCUAAAACAAGUUACCUAGUUUUACCCUAUCCAGUAGAACAAAAAAACAGAUGAAAACAUUAGAUGCAUGUACAGCAAGUAUCAACAGUCACAGUAGAACACAAACAUUUGGUACCCUAAGCAAUAUUAGUCUCACUAAACAUAGCCAUCCCCAGUUUAACAGAUGAAAACAUUAGAUGCACAUACAGUAAGUGUCAACAGUUACAAUGGUAAUUUCGGUGUCGGCAGGGUGAAACCUUUUAGGAAAGUGCAAGUGGCUUUCAUAUCUAGACUUUUUGCUAGAGGAGCUUCUAUCCAUUCAUACUUGAUCUAUACACACUGCACUGUAUGCAUUAUUCAUCUAAAGAACAAAGGGCUUCUUGAUUUUGGAUUCAGAUAUCCUUUGAUCCAUGUAAGCUCUUCUUGAAUCCGUUACUAAUUUCAUUCUGUUAAUCAGUUUUAUUCAUGUUGGAUUAUCAUUAUGAACUAAUUAAACUGGCUUCACUUGCUAAUUUGUGCAGUAUAGCUGGAAUCAGAUCGAUCUGCAACAAGAAAGUCUGUCAUGAUCAUGAUCUAAGAGACUUGGCUCACCUUGUGGAAGAAUUAACGUUGCAAGUGUUUUAGUUGUGAUCUCGCAGAAGAAAUAAUCAACUUUUCAUGUAAGUGCAUGUUUUCCGAUCUUGCAAAUUAAGGGAAACAAAUCAGAUUUAAACACCCGUUUCAUUGUUUAAAUUAUUUUUUGCAUGCAUGGAUCAACUAGAAUUGUACCUUAAUUAACUACCAGCUUCACUUUCUGCAGUUUUGAAUACCAUCGAUUGUACAAAAAAGAAACGAUGGGGGAGGCUGUUCUUGGUGCAUUCCUCCCGGUGCUGCUUGAGAAGUUGGCGGAUCAAGAGAUCACUGAGUACGUUUAGAGGUUCGUCUUCUUGGAUUUGGAUCCCUAAACGAGUUCAUGUGAGUGCUUUUUGAAUCCAAUACUUCUCAUCCAGUUUCAAGUUUUAUCUGUAUGCAUCAUUAAUUAAUUCAGACUUGAUAUGAGAUGAUAAACUUGUUCCCCUCAUUGUUGCACACUAGCUUGCUUCAAUUUGGACUGGUUGUGAUUUAAGCGGAAUCAGAGACUUGCUUACCAUCGAAGUGGAAGACUUCGCUGGUGCAUAUCAAAGUGAACUAGCUUUCAUGUAAGUGAUUUUUGAUUCUGCAUAUCAAAGAGAAACAUAUUAAAUUAAACAGAUCAAAGCAAUAAGAUGCAUAUGUUAUAAAUUAAUUUUCCACUAUACAUCGAUUUCUCAUCUUGUUGUUUUUUCUUUCGUCAAUGAUUUCUCAUUUCUUGUGAAUGCAUGAACCAAAUGUUAAAAUUGCCUCCUAUUUAACUACUAGUUCACUUUCAACAGUUUGAACUUUGAAGUACUCGUACAAAAACGCUAUGGAAGAGGCGGUUCUUGGGGCAUUGCUUCCGGUGCUGCUCGACAAGUUAGCGCAGCGAGAGGUCUUUCAGUACUUCAGACGUCUUAAGGGAGUCAACAAAACGGUGAGGGAGAAGUGGACUACGACGUUGACUGCAAUUGAGGCGGUGCUGAGUGAUGCGGAAGAGAAGCAAAUAACACAAAGAGGAGUGAAACUGUGGCUAGAUGAUCUCAGAGAUUUGGCUUACGAUAUUGAAGACAUAUUAGACACAUUUGCUACUAAAGUGCUGAAGCGAAGGAUAGAAAGACAACAUGGAAGAAAAAGCAAGUACUCAUGGAUCAACUCACUUUGUAGAGCUAAAUUCAAUUUAAGUUUGAACUCAGAAAUCCAGAAGAUAAGUGAUCGACUUGAGGAGAUAACUGCUCGAGAAAAGCAGUUUGGUCUGAAUAAGAAACUUGGAGAGUCUAAAAAGCCGCGGGAAAUGCCACCCAGUACUACAUCUCAACUACCAGAUGGACCUGUGAUCGGAAGGGAUGAAGCAAAGAAAAACAUUCUUAAUGAUGUGCUCUUAAAAGGCGAACAUAGUACCAGCAAUUUUCAUAACUUUUGUGUGGUUUCCAUUGUUGGUACGGGUGGACUAGGAAAGACAACACUUGCUAAAGAUGUCUUCAAGGAUGAUGCGACUGAACAAUUUCGCCCAAAGGGAUGGGUGUCUGUGUCCGAUGACUUCGACCUUCUAAGGGUGACAACUGCAGUUCUUGAAUCUGUCACAACAGGCGAUGUGAAGGAAUCUAAAGAGCUCAAUUCAGUUUUGAAAAAGUUGAGUGAGGAAUUGGCAGGCAAGAAGUUUUUGAUUGUUCUAGAUGAUGUCUGGAAUACAUGCAACUACGAUCAAUGGACAACAUUGCAGUCGGCUUUUCGUGUUGGAGCAGUAGGAAGCAAGAUCAUUGUGACGACGCGUGAUGCGAAUGUUGCAAAGAUGAUGGGAGACAAUAAACCUCAUAACUUGGAGUCGAUGUCAGGAGAUGGUUGUUGGAAGAUCUUUGAGCAUCAUGCACUGUUAAACAACAUAUCCCAAGAUGUUGAGUUGUUUAAGAAGAAAAUUGUAGAAAAAUGCAAUGGGUUGCCGUUAGCUGCAAAGACUCUUGGUGGUCUUUUACGUUGUAAAGAAAAAGAUGAAUGGGAAGAAGUACUAGAGCACAAGAUGUGGAAUCUAUCAGACCAGAUGGGCAUCCUCCCAGCAUUGAAGUUGAGCUAUCACUAUCUCCCAUCAAAUUUGAAACGGUGUUUCACCUAUUGCGCGAUACUUCCAAAUGAUUAUGAAUUUGAGGAGAUGCAGUUGGUUCUUUUUUGGAUGGCAGAGGAUUUGAUUCAGCAGCUACCAGAAGGAAACAAACAAAUGGAAGAUUUGGGACGUGACAAUUUUCAAGAGUUGGUGUCCAGGUCAUUAUUUCAAAAAUCAAGCAAAACAGAGUCGAAAUACAUAAUGCAUGACCUGGUUACUGAUUUGGCACGUUGGGCUGCAGGAAGCUCAUGUUCUAGAUUGGAGGAUAUGCAGAAUUAUUACUUGCAACAUAGAUGUUUGCCCAAGGUUCGUCAUUCGUCUUACAUUCCUGGAGAGUAUGAUGGAGUUAAGAAGUUUGAGGUCUAUUCUGAAGCUACAUCUUUGCGGACGUUCUUACCACUUUCACUUUCAUAUUGGAAUUAUAAUUAUCUGGCUCGGAAGGUUACUUCUGAUUUAUUGACCAAACUCCAUUACUUACGACUGCUCUCUCUAAAUGGAUACCGAAUAACCGAGUUGCCAGAUACAAUUGGUGAAUUGAAGCAUCUACGGUAUCUUGAUCUCUCCCACACUCGGAUAAGAAGUUUGCCAGACUCGACAACAACUCUGUACAACUUGCAGACAUUGUUAUUGAAAAGUUGUGACGAGUUGAAGGCACUGCCCACAAGCAUGAGGAACCUAGUUAAUUUGCGUCAUCUCAACAAUUCAGAUACACGGUCAUUGGAAGAAAUGCCUCCUCAGCUUGGUCAAUUGACUAACCUCCAAACAUUGCCUGAGUUUGUUAUUGGCAAAGGUAGUGGAUCAGGAGUAAGAGAGAUUGAGUCAUUAUCGCAUCUGCAAGGGACAUUGCACAUCUCAAGGCUAGAAAACGUGAUUUGUGUCGAGGAUGCCAGGAGUGCCAACUUAAAGAGCAAGGAAAGGCUUGAAGCCCUAUUUCUUGAAUGGUCUUCUUCGAGUGUCUCAACAGUAGAUGCAGCAAUUGUGCUUGACAUGUUACAACCUCAUAGCAAGCUCAAAAAGCUCACCAUCAAAGGUUAUGGUGGAUUGGAAUUUUCAACAUGGAUUGGGAAUCCUUCAUUCACUAAAAUGGUGCGGGUAAGGUUAGAACGUUGUAAUCAUUGUCAAUUCUUGCCACCAUUCGGACAGUUGCCUUGUCUCAAAGAACUUUGUAUACAAGAAAUGGAUGCAGUCGAGAGUGUUGGUAUCGAGUUUUAUGGAGAAGGUAACUUGUCGUUUCAUGUUUUAGAGACCCUGGAGUUACAUAAUCUGAAAAAUUGGAAGAAGUGGUAUCCUUGCCAACAAAGUGAGGGUGUUGAAGUUUUAUCUUGCCUGAAAAAGCUUUCCAUCAGGGGCUGCCCCAAAUUGGAGGGUGAUUUACCAGAGAAGCUCGAUUCAUUAGCACAGCUUGAGAUAGAUGGAUGUGAGGAAUUGGUGGUUUCAGUAUCCAAAUAUAAACAGCUUCAUGGAUCAAACAUCAGAAAUUGCAAGAUGGUGGUGUACGACACAAGUGUAGUUCAGUUUGACUUACUAGAGAGUUUGACAUUUUCAAAUGUAUCAGAAUUGAGAUUCCAAACAGAGACGUUCAUGAAAAGCUUGAAAAACGUUAAAGAGUUGAAGAUCACUGGUUGUGAGGAGCUUACACGUUGCUUUCAAAAUGAGGAUAGAUUACUGCAACACUUGAUUUCUCUUGGUUGUCUAUAUAUCGAAGACAACUCGAUCCUUGUUGAAAAGCUAGGGAUUGAAGCAGAGCAGUUGGUGCAAUUGCAAAUCCUGGAUUGCAAGAUUGAACGUCUGGAAUUAAGCAAGUGUGGAAGCCUUGUGAAGGUACCAAAAGGAUUGCAUCACCUUACAUCACUUAAAGAGCUGCACAUAAGUAAAUGUUCAAGUCUUGUUUCUUUUCCAGAUGUUGGUCUGCCACCUUGUCUCCAAGUCAUAGAAAUUCGGUACUGCGAAUCUCUUUCGCACUUUGCAAAAUACCAGAUUCCUCCCAGCCUAAAAAGAAUAGAGAUCAUGAAUUGUGGGAAUUUGAAGUCAUUAAUAGAGAAAGAGGAGGAGGUGGGUAACGGUUCUUCUUCUUCUUGUCUUGAGCAUUUGGAGAUAAGAAGAUGUCCCUCUUUGAUGUGCUUAUUAUGCAAAGAUCAAUUACCCAGGUCUCUUAAACAGCUUGAGACACGGGAUUGUGGACAGCUGGAGCUAAUAACUGAGAGGUUCCUCGAUGACAGCUGUCAACUCGAAAAAAUUAUCAUCUGGGACUGCCCAAACCUGAAAUCCUUACCCGAGGGAAUGUGCCACCUCACCAAUCUUCAGUUAUUAACUAUUGUGCGUUGUCAAAGUCUUGUUUCGUUGCCGAGAAUGAAUGUGUGGCCAAGAGGGAUACAUAUCCUAAAUUGCGAUAAAUUGGAGGUGGCACAGUUGGCGAGAGACAUGAUGCACAGUAAUCUUGUAUAUCUGAGAAUUGAUUACUUUGAAGGUUUGACAACUACAACUUCCUUCCCCACCAACCUAACAUCACUGUCAAUUGACAAGAUCAAGAAUUGUAAGGCGCUGAUGGAGUUUCAAGGGUUGCAGAGACUCGCCUCUUUGACACGUUUGUAUCUGAGCGGUGAAGAUGAUGGAGGUCUGGUGUCAUUUCCACCUGCUGCUGAGAAUUCAAAGGAGACGGAGAUACUGCUCCCCAGAUCUCUUGUUUUUUUGGGAAUUGAAGACUUCCCAAAUCUAAAGAAACUGAGCAAGGGCUUUCAAUUCCUCACCUCUCUUGAAAGUAUUUGGAUCUUCAACUGUCUGAAGCUUACAACCCUUCCAGUGGAGGAAGGCCUGCCUCUUUCACUUGUGCGACUUGAUAUUUACAACUGUCCUCUACUUGAACAGAGAUACAAAGGACGAUACCGGCACAAGAUAGCACACAUCCCUCGCGUAGAAAUUAAUUGGGAAGACAUAUAAGAGAAAAAGCCACACUUCUCGAUGGAGUGGUUUCCAGGUACGCACUUGUAAUUUGAGACAACAUCCGCACUGAUGAUAAUGUUAUCAAAUACAUGUAGAAAAGCGAGGGAACAUGUUGAAGCUUGUCAAACUUUCCUCUGUUUUCCACAUCUAACGUUUUAUUUCUUCCAUNNNNNNNNNNNNNNNNNNNNUUAUUUCUUCCAUCUGCAGGUCUCCAUAUAAUAUGACAUUUGGAGUCUCAACUCGAUCCCUUCCGGGAAGUUUGUGAUAGAAACAAUAUCAGCUCUGUCGAGGUUUGUCAAAUACACUAAGAUGUGAAAAUGCAACUCAAUUUGUUAGUUUUGUUUGGUGCUGGAAAACUUGCAUCAGGCAUUUGAACUGUAUUGCAUGUAGUUUUGUAUUCUGUGUUGAAGUUUAGUUUGCUAAUCACUAUUCAAAUACUCGUAGUAUUCAAUGGCUUUAUAACAAUGUAUUAUGUCAUCUUAAUCAAGCUACUAAUCAAACACAAGCUGCCAUUGCUGGUUGUAAACUGUGAUACUCAAACACUCUCAAGGGUUGAUAUUUGUCAAUAAAGUAAAUAGUUCGAACUUUUAAAUGUAACAUAUUUAGUAGCAAAACAUAUAUGUUGAACAACAGCGUGAGACUCUUUUAUAGAUAGUAUUGUAAGUUUUAGUAGCAAAACAUAUAUAUGUAGUAGCCUUUCCAGAGUAGUAUGCUCCAAUUUCCGGCAAAUAUCUGAAAAUGGGUACGUUACAGGCAUUUUGUCACAGCCAGGAUAUAUGGUUCUGAGGAUGCCCUGGGAAUAGGUUUAACAGAGGCUAUUCAAGAUGGGAUGGUGGAAAGAGAAAACAUUUUUGUUACCUCUAUGUUAUGGGGUAGUCAUCAUCAUUACCCUGUUGUUUCAGUGCUCUAAAGUAAGCACAGAUUCUAGAUUACUUACUUAUCAACACCAAAUUCAUUUCUUAAUCUACUGGCUAAAUUUUGAACUAGGCAGAUGGUUAUGUUGGUUGAUAACUUGAUAUUGUGGACUUCAAUGGUAGCUUUUUGGCUGGUGCGAAUCGGAUAAUAUUAGUGAUUACUAAGGUAUUAAGCUGCUCAUUGGUACUUAUGUAAUGUGGCAUUGAUUCAUGCAGUUUUCUAAUUGGACUUUCUAAUGACAGGUUGGGGACUGUUUUAAUUUGUAUUGGUGAUUGAGUUGCGGAGGACUGGAGGCCGCUGUAAAGAAGAAGCUUAAGAUUAGUUUCAGUGGCCUUUGCUUGUACUUAUUUAUAUAUUAUCCAUCCAAAUGAGUUCCCCUUGGUGCUUGUUUGCAGUGUUAUAAGCAUUCAUCUGAUGAGUUCAAAGUCUUCGGUUCGGUUGGAGUAGCUAGCUGGAGUUGCAUCAGAGAUUCAAAAGGAAAAGAAGGUAUGCACUUCUUAGUUAUGUGUAUGCAUGUGUCCAGUUCAUUGUUUAAAGCCAUUGAUAUCAGUUUAUGUGUAUAGCAUUAUCCAUUCUCAUGCGUAUUUUGUACUUUCUGUUGAAUGAAUUGGAACUUGAACUUCUAUCAUUUACAUGAACUCCAAAUUGAGUUCUUUGGCUGUGUUUUGGUGCAGGGGGUGUGACGUGUAAGUUAUGGUGAGCUUUUUGUUACAAACUCAGGGAAUCACCUCUUUGAAUUGAACAAGACAUCUGGGGAGAAGCAUGAGUGAACACUGUGAACCCAAAGUCUCAUCUAUCUUAGCACAUUGCCCUCUCAGCACAUUGCCUCUCCCACUACCAGGACCACCUGAGAAUGAGGUCAACAUAAUGUAAUAACCUCUUCUAAGGCAACAUAACUGAUCAUUCAUAAGAAUGACAUACUUCUUUGCUAUCAUUUCUAAGUAUAACUUGGUCUGAUUCGUCGAACGCUUCUCUUUUGGUUCAGAUGUUUUACUUUACCACGGUGAAUGAUCCUUCCUAGUAAAGCUUAUUCAUCUUCAAGACUUCAACGUACGUAUGAGAAACUUCUUGUUUGUUUACGUGUGUUAGCUAGAUUGAUCAUGCAAACAAUCUCACAGCUCUCAUUUAGGUAACAAGUGUAUAUGUAAAACUGUGCUUCGAGUAGUUCCAUGGUGGUGGCAUUCAAAUGUUUGUGCCUAUUUCGAGCCCUGUGCUCAGUUUGGUAUUCUAAAGCUUUGAAUUUGUAUGCCAAAUCUGUUCGUGUAUUAGAUUUUCGAAUCAUUUUUGUGGUCUCUAAGAUGAUAUGAAGAACAACAUUGUCUAAGAUGGUUGAUUGCUAAGUCCAGGAACAACAAUCGCAGAUUUUUGACGAAUUAAAAAGAAGAUGGGUUGGGUUUAUUCUUGUUUCUCUCUCAAAGGAGCAAAGAGAUAUGGGUUGGGGUUGUUGCAAAAGUGUAGAGAAAGAUGGAGAGAAGAAGAAUCGACAAAGGAAGAGGAAAGAGUUAGAGUGAUAUGCUUUAUCUCUUUUCUUCUUCUUUUUUAAUUAAAAAAAAGCUGAAAAUAAUUAAGUUAACAGUGUUAAUCUCUGUUAAGUUGGUGGACUGAUGUCACGAUAUGAGGGGUAGGCACAGGUUUGGCACAUAAUUUUUGAGCAUAGGUGAUUUACUCUCGUAAUAUACACAUUCAAAAACUGCAUGCUAAAUCGGCGUCGCUCAUAUCGAUUGAAUUGAAAGCUGGAUCGCUACCACGAGCCUUAAACGGCACCCCGUAUUGGAGAUCAAAGAGGCAGAUCUCUGUCUUCUGGAAUCUAAAAGCGACGAGGUAAAGGGCCGGCUAUUGGCGUUGAUGUGGCUCUCGUCUUGUAUUCCAUGAGAAGGAGACGAUGGGCUCCACCACUGACGGUGGUGUUCGACAAAACCCUAGAAAUGAGUUGUGAGGGGAUCAGAGAGAGAGAGAGAGAACGCGAGAACGAAUCGAGAAUAAUCCUUCAUAAGAUUUUAAGUUUUAUUUUUUAUUUUUAUGGUGGACGGUAAAAAACCCGACACCUAUGACCACCUAGACACGCGUUAGUUCUCCCUAAGAUGCAUAAGAUCCAGUUCGUUUGUUUUUUAUUCACCAAAAAAAUUAUAGCAAACUAGGCCUUAUGCAAGCUUGACGAAACUGACGCGUGUCUAAACGGUCAAUGGUGUAGUGGAUCUAUCGGGCUUAACGGCCCACCUUAAAAAAAAAAAAAAAAAAAAACGUAAGAUGUCUGCUAGUCUUGCCUGGCAUGGGUACGUCACGAUGCCUAUGUUCGCAUGACGAAAGGAGUGCAAGACUUGUAGUCGGCCGUUCACUGUCUUCCGGUGGAGACCGGACUGGCCGUGACGCCCGGUUCAAGAAAGACAGAGAUUUGAUGAGGGUUUUUGUAAAUAUGUGUGAUGAUGGAUGUAGGCUUUUGCUAAGAGAAUUGGGGGGAGUAAAGUUGCCAAGGGAUACAAGGGAGUUUGAUCAAAACCAGGGUUGCGCAUGAUACUGCAGAGCCUCAAAGGUUCACUGAGAGGAUCACUGUCCUGCUCCUCACUGUGGAUGGCUGGAUGCCAUUGAGGUCACUUGCAUGAUCUUUCUCUAAGCUCUAUAUAUCUGAACUUGAAUUUGAUCAAAACCAGAAAUUGAUGUAAUGGAUGGUUUGUAUAAUAUGUUGUCGUGCGAUUCUCAUAGCUUGAAUGUAUCGGGGCUCGAUCACUUGUUAUGCUCAUGUGAAAUUCUUUUUUCCAAAGACAUUGCACUUAAACUUUACUGAAUCAACCAUUAGGAAUCUGCACUCGAUUCCUUUGUGAUCACUGGUAAGUGGUAACGGGUUAGGGGGACAUUGUUCCAUCUUCUGUGUAGAAAAGGGUGAUGUGGGGAAAGAAGAAUAUAUGUUUUAGCAUUUCAGAUAAUAGCAUUUCAUGGAAUCUAGUUUUCAACUGCAUUUCUCUUUCAUGUGGAUGAUUUAUAGAAGUAGGAUUUAGAACUACACUGUGCUAAAGCAAAUUGGGGUUUAAGUGGUGAGAUACAGUCAAACUCCUAUAAUAAGAUAAAUCUGAAUCUUGGUUGAAAUGGAUGUAGAGAUUUCUGAACAUAGUUAUUUCUGCUAUAGGAAUCUUAAGCGAUAGGAAUCUUAUUUGAACCAUAGGUGUGGUGUGGUGGGUUUUAAUACAAAACACUACCCUGCAAUAAUCUGGAAGACCUGCCAUGUAUUUCAUAUUGACAAUAGGUUCUUUGAAAAAGAUGUCAAAUUUCUUGACAAUAGGUUCUUUGAAAAAGAAAGCUUGUUUCAUUAGCUGACAUGUUAAAUUUCUUGUUUUCACCUAGCUAACCUCAUGGUUAAAGCAAUCAAAUAGUUACAAAAUGUUUUUAACACUUUGCGUUGUAUUAGGGUGCUGAUGUAAUGGUGUGAUUUGUACGGUACCUUGUAUGCAAUGGUUUUAUUGGGUUCACAUAUUAGUAUUGAAAAUGGGCCACCGGCAAAUCUCCAAUCUAAUGACGCACACCAAAAAGUGGUAUUUUCACAUAGCAAAUUUCCAAUGUUGAAGCAGAUGAUGAUUCUGAUUGCAGAUGAACAUACUUAAUGCGUUUUUAAUUUUCCUAAUGAAUAGAUUCGGAAUGGUUUGAUCAAUUCAACAAGAAGAAAGAAAACAUGCAGAAUUGUUCCAGGAAAGUGAUAAACAUGCUCAUAAUAAUGGGGUUUGAUCAAAUCAAUAUCAACAAGGAGAGCAUUGAAAUUUUAUACUAGUCUAUGAAUAAAAUAGCUGAUAUUUUCAUUUUAGUUUUGAUGGACUAGACUAUUUUACACUAUUAUAAUGUUUGACGAGAGAUGCCACCCUAAAUAUCAAACCACGCCUAGCGUAUAAAACCCUGGGAAUCAAUUCAACUAGACAAAACUUUACUAUGAUAUAUAUAUAUGUUACUUAUAAUGGUACCAAGUUUAGGAGUUAGUUAUUUUAUUGUGAGUAAUAACAAUAGCAUAUCUUCAAGAAAUAGAAUUGAUAGUACUUCGAUUUCAGAUUUUAUAUGAUUAAUUAGUUUCUCCCAAUAACCCAUGGAAAUGAGUUGUACCUCUUGUAUUUGAAUAACAAAUUAUAUGAAUAUAAGCAAGUUGAAUGUUAAUUAACGCAUGUAUGCAAAUGCAAGUAGUAUGAGAAGUUUACCACAGACUGUGAUCAUGCUAAUGAAUGGUACGGAAUUGAAAAUAGUAUGAGAAGUUUGUCAUAAGAAUGUGAUCAUGUUAUGAGAAUGUAUUAGAGGCCUCUAAUCCUCAAUAUAGAACAUUAGUACUUACGUACUCCUUACGCCACGAAAUGGCAUUCCCACAUUGGUGAUGAUAACGGUGGCCAAGCAACUUCACUCACCUACAGGAAUGAACUACAACAAUAUCCUAAAUUUGUUCAUAUGAAGAUUGAGUCGUUAAUGUUUUGGAUAAUGAAUUUGCAUUAGUAUAGAGUGAGAAUGAACUCAACAACUUAGAGUAAGGUAAAUGUUCUUAAUUACUAAAGCUACACGUCGAUCUACUCGAAAAGAGGUAACGAGGUAUAGUGACCCGUACAAUACGGAGUAUAGGAUAUUUAACCAACCAGCUGUCCAACUCCCAACUCCCAACUCCCUCGUACAUUGUUUUAGCCUACCAAUCGGUGGCUAUAUGCAGCCCAUGCUACUCGAUUCAGUACAUAGUUUCUGGAAGAAAAUGAAUCAAACCAAAACAAAUCAACUCAACUCUCCGAUUCUUGGAUCCCUAAUUGCAGACAGUCAAAACAUUGAAACUCUGAUAUAUAAUUGAUCAAGUCAAUUAUUCAAAAGCUGCUUGCUAAAAGGGCGGGGCCUCUGUGUCCCUCAGCUAGCUAGCUGGUCCUUGUUGCUUCUGCUUCGCAUUGCCUUUUCGUUUUCGGGGCAACAAUGAAUGAAUGAGUUUUCAGAACAAGAAAAGGCCAAUUUGUGGAAUCCCAUUUUUCUAUUCAGCUUGAAUUUUCGCCAGAAGAUCGAGUCUCAGUUUUCUGUUUCUUACAAAUCAAGAAACUCACAAGCUGUCUGAUUUCCUCGCUGCCCAAUGGGAUUGUUUAUUUUAGGGUUUAUAAGAUUCUGGGUUCGAAUAUAUGCUGCACGUAGAACGCAUAAAACAAGUAGCUGGGUUCAAGUCAAAGCAAUGCUAUUACUUGGGAGUUAAGAAAAUCUCUGAAUAUUAAUAUUGCAUUGUUGAAAAUUAACACAUGAUUAUGAUUAUUCUGGGUUUGCUUGAAGAAUAUACUAUCUAUGCCGCUAACGUGUUCCUCAUCAUAUUGUUAGGCUUGAUUUGAUUUUAGAGAGAAUCGGAAGCGUGUAGCUAUUUUCAACCUUGAAAUACAGAUUCGAAGCCCUUCACAGUUCACGGCAUACAUACUUGGUUUUUUCUUUUUUUUUUCUUAGUUUCUUACUUCGAUCUGGUUAUCAUGUUCCCAGAAUCUCAUUCCCUGUACUAAUUUUUUUGUUUUUGAUUUUGUUUUUUGAUUUGUUUUAAGUAAAUCAUUAACAUAUUGAUUAUGUGACACCCACUAAAACUAGAAUCGAAGAUUCCCCUUUGCAAUACAUUUUUAUAAACGAUCUGAAAAGUGCAGCUCAUGAUAAACAUGUGCUGCUCCAUGCCAUCAAUAUGCAACUGCAGAGACUAUUGCCUCCAGAACUUUUUGACAACUUUGGAAAGGCGAAGCCAUGAGAAACGUCUAAUUCAACCAAUCACGCAAACUCUAUUUUAAUUUGGCUUUUCGUUUUACUUUAUUGAUCUUUCUGGCUCUUUACGUGGGCGGGCGAUGUAAAGUGUUUUAUAUAACUCUUCAACUAAUUCCCAACCACAUCAGUUUAUGCAUACAGCUUGUAAAAAUAAUAUUGUUAAUGAAAAUCUUGAAACAUGAUAAAUGCCACGAAGUUUUAUUAUACAUAUGUGUCAACGAGAUCAAUAAGUUAACAUUUAAGCAGACAAGAAACACUUUAACUAUGUAUUACAGCACAAAAUAUGACCAUAUUAACAAUUUUAUAAACCGAAUAAGUGGGUUAAUGGUCGAAUGUCGGUCUAUUUCUUUAAAUUUGUUGUAGUGUUUUUUUGUGUGUGUAAUUAUACGUAAAAUACCUAAAAUAGAAACAUAAAUGCUUAAGAAACCUAACCGCAGGUCACGCCGUUGGUUCAUGAAAACUACUAAGUACCAACCGCAAUUAGGCCCCACGGUGGUGUUUAAUAUCUUUAAUGAAUAAUAAAUUACCUUUCUAAAAAUAGUCAGUCAAACCUCUUGAAAAGGCAACUCUCACUUUUUCUGAUGAGUUUUCCCAACACUCUUUUUUUAAAUUAAACCCGGUCUUCCUCGUAAUUUCCAUUUUCGUUUUGGGUUCCUCCAGCUGUCGCUGUCUUUGACCAAAUAAACGCAAAUCUAUGUGUCUCCAGCUCGGACUGGGGCCCAACCGUAACCCACACGUGUGCCCAAGUUUCUAGUAGUAUUUCUUGUGUGCCGGAAAAUGGUGACAUAGGAAGAUUACAUCGGAAACUACAUUAUUCAUAAAAUCAUAAUGUUAAUGUUUUUUUCUCAGGUAUUUGAGAAAAAAAGAGCUAUCCUGAUGAGAUUACGGCGAGUAGUGUGCUGACGUGUACGUAAAUUAGAAAGACGUAGCAUAUUGUUUUAAGAAAUUGAAUGAAACAAGGUCAUCUAAGAAGCGAUUAAUAAAUUUCAUUUUUGUGUUGAGUGAAUCUGACUAUCGUACAUAAUUGGAUUUUUCAUCAACAGUCUAAGAUAAGUUACAACAGGAAAAAAUUAGAUUUGAUUUUAUCGAUUUGAGUUCCGUUAAUUUAUCUCUCACUAAAUAUCUCUUACAUGAGCAUAUUAUUGUAAAUUUUGUAUUUUCUGCUCUCUAUUUCUCCUGUAGGGAAGGGGAACUACUCAAUUAUACAAACAAACAUACACCAACACCAAAUCUGAUCGAUCCCACACUAUUUUGUGAUGAUAAUUGAUUCUUGCAACUUACCAAAAAUAGCUAAUUUGGCAACUAGCCAGGUGCCAUUUCUUUGCUCUAACCACUCACAUGCAAGAGUUCCAUCAAACAAUGUCGUUUUUCCCCUCUCUCUGUCGUUUUAACGCCCCCCUUAAUAUCCGUGGUCCUCCAGAGGGGCCCAUAUACCGCCACGCAUUACAAUCCCGUGGCAAAGACCCUCUCCGAGCCCCACCCCACGAGGGCAUUACCGUCAUUCGACCCCCCCGCCACCGACGACCACCAACUGAUAGUGACGACACGUCGCACACACGUCCCUCCCUUCAUCGCGGGACCCACGUCCACAACGUGGCCAUGUCAGACUCGACGCAACACCCAAGUGUCCUCACGCGCUUUUGCCCGCGAAAGUCUCCCGCCCCCGUACGUGUCUCCCCUGGAUCCGCCGGGCCCCACACCCGCCAAAUUUUUAUUAUUAUUUUAACUCGCUCAAAAUUAGAAGCCAAUCAUUCUGGUCCGUCAGUUAUAAACCGAAAUUCACAAAAACCUUAAUUAUUUAUCAAAACCUACCCUACUCGCCCACAUAUUGGCGCGUGGCUUCCACGCCGGCUGGGGUUGGAUUGUGGAACACGUUGGGAAGGACUCUAUAAAUACCCGAACUCUAAAAUUCGAGGACUUUCUUUCUCUCUCUCUCACCAAAUUUCGGUUUCUCAUAUUCUAAUUGGGCGUUUUUGAGGGUUUAAGUUUUUCUUUUUGGGGUUUAUUUCCAAAUUUGCGAAAGCACUCCUGAUUUUAGGUAAUUUAUUUUCCAUUAAAGCCUUUGCUCUCUGUUUAACUUGGAUUUUGAAAUCCUGUUCAUCUCAAAGCUCUGGGAUUUUGAGUUAUUAUUUUUUUGUUGUUGGGUUUUACAGGAGAAUGAGUUUUUCGUUUUCUUAUUCUUUUUCGCCUUAUAAUUUGCUCUGUUUUCUUGGGCACCAAACAGAGCAUUCUGGGUUUUUCCAUCCGCCUUAUUAAACCUUUUAGUUUUCUUUUUCAAGGUUUCUAAGUCCCGCCGCCACCUGCAUUUCCGUCUUCGGAUUCAAGCUGCCCCCAACUGGUACGUCGUCGUUUCACCCUUUUUAAACUUCUGGGUUCUUCUUUUUUGUUAGAAAGGUGGAACCUUUUUUGUGUUUAUAUGCUUGUUAGGUGUUAAAGUUUUGAUCUUUAACAGUUUUGGUGAACCGGGUUUGUGUUAGUUUAUGUGUUUGUGGUGUGGAUUCUAAGGAAUUGAUAGUUCAGAUUUUGUUAACCGGAAAAACUGAAUCUGUCGGAAAUGUCUUGGAGCUGUUUUUCAGUUGAGCUGAUGUGAUAUAGAUAUUGUAUUAAUGUUUGAAAGUUAAAACUUUGAUUUAUUUAACCAAAAUGCUGAAUUUGUCUAUUUUUUCUUUGCUUCUAGGCAAUUGAUUGGUCAAGUGUCGAUUUGUGUCGUAAUCGCGUGAACUAUUCUAAACCAGGAAAUGAAAAGGAAAAUGAAGAGUCAUAAUCAUUGAGGUCAUAUUUUUGCUUAGGGAAAUCUUGACCUUAUAACUUUAAUGUAUAUAGUAUUUUUCCUCUUGGGUUUGGUCAUGCUGGUAAUUUCAUGAAUGCCCAGAAAGUUAAACUGUAUAUUCUGUGCUGCUUAUACAUGGUUGUAUGGUAUAUAAGUGUAUAGAAGCUUUUGAAAUCUGUUCUCUCUUUUAGGAGUUUUUCUUGGUGGGUCACAUUUGUCCCUCCAUCUAUUUCUGUCCAUUUCAUACCUCAAUCUUAUGUGUUGUGUCCAUAGUGUUAUUAAGAUUCCAUGUUUCGAGUAGGGCCUUCUUUUGUGGUUGUAUAUGAAUAUUUCCAUACAUGUGGGACAUGCAAACUUUCUAUACCAUGUCAGUAUGCCCAGUUUCUAGUGUUCUUUCAUAUUCAAGCAGAAGAAUCUGUAAUGUUCCGUGUAGUCUAUUUUUCUGUUAAAUGAAGGCAGUUUACAAUAUGAAAGUUACCACUUCGAAGCAUAUGUUUGUGUUUACUGAAAUGCUUGUACAGUAGAUGAUUCUCAACUAUAUUUGGGGUAUACCAAAUUAUUUUGCAUUUUAUUUUUACUACCUAUUCCUUAGUGGCUAGUUGUUUUUUUUUUUGUAAAGUAAUGAUUUUAUUUAAACAGUUAGUGAUUACAAUCACUCAAGAUGACAUCCCUUAUAAAAUCGGGAGCAACAGUGGCUAGUUGUUUCUUCUACCUUUGCUGUAUGUAUGUGAGUGUUUCUUCUGUGUUUCCCUCCUUUUGAAAAAUUUCAUGUGUCUUCUCAGAAAACUCAAAGAAUCUGAACAAGUUGCCACUACAUUUUAGGGAAAUAUCAUUUUCCGAAGAUAACAUAUAUUGACGUCCACUUAAAUACUUUUCCUUGUUUUUCUUUAUAUCUUGUAGUUUCCAGAGGGCUUUAGUCAUUAUUAUUUUAACACCUUUGUUCUUAACGUUAGGUUCAUCUGAUGAGAAGGCUGAAUUGUAAGUCUGAGAUUCAUUUAGCUUUUAGCAUUUUCUCAACCAAAAUUAGAACCAUCAAAGCAUUGUGAUUGUUUUCCAAUAUUGCUUGGAGAUGUGCUUCAUACCUUGGCAUAUCUCUCGUUUUAGUAAUAAUGUUUUGUUACUCACAUCUAUAUUCUGAAAAUAGAAAGCUAAAAAUGUACUUCCUUGUUGCUUACACUAGUUGGUAAAUACAUGAGAAUUGCAAUUCUGUUUGUCGUAUGUAAUUAUGUAUCAAAUUUCAUUGGUCUUUCACUAAUGUUAUUUAUUUGGUCCACUAGAUCUAAGAACUCUGUGCUUGAUGGAUAGCUUGCUUAUAUAGAAGCAACAAGAAGACACCGAAGAAGACACAAUAGAACUAGAAACUGCUUAACACUGCAUACACUUCAGAGUGUUGGUUACUUGUAAAGUUUUACUUUGGAUAACGAGCAACAAAUCUGGAUCCCAUGGACCUGAAGUCAAACCAUAUUUCUCCUGUUCUCACUGAUCCUGCGCCUUUAGGCAAGUCAAGACUUGGUGUACAUUCCAGUCUGUUAUCAUAUUCACCUCCUGGAACAGCUUUUCCAGCAGACCUUCUCUUAACCAUCCCUAGGAGGAAGAAUGCAUUUCUUGAUGAUGUUCGCUCUAGCUCUUGGCUUGAUGCUAUGAAAUCUUCAUCACCUCCUCACAGAAAGAUAACUAAGGAUGUUAACAAUGACUCUGCAGCAACUGAGUAUGAUAUUGCCUAUCGCACAUGGAUGGUAAUAAUUAUUUCUUUUCUCAUGUGUUGUAUCUCUUUGAUGUUUUGGCAACCUUCUAAACAAGUUUUUUAUGCAGUAGUCCACAUCUGUCUAAUCUUGCAGGUUAAGUAUCCGUCAGCUCUUACAUCCUUUGAGCAAAUCUCUAAUUACGCCAAGGGAAAGAGAAUAGCAUUGUUUCUCGAUUAUGAUGGGACUCUUUCGCCAAUUGUAGAUAACCCUGACUGUGCCUUUAUGUCUGAUGCUGUAAGAAUAUCUAGAUUGUGUAAAACAUUACCCUUUUUACUUCUACUUCAAUUACUUGGUUGCUCAUAGAAGGUGUUCUAAUCAUUUCAGAUGCGAAUGGCAGUAAAAAGAGUGGCAAAACAUUUCCCAACAGCAAUAAUUAGUGGAAGAAGCCAUGACAAGGUAAUCUCUACUUAAUGCUUUUGGUAAUAUCCUGAUUUUCUCCUUGUUACUAUAUAAUUUCAACAAUCGGUCUUGAUGUGCUGAUUUUGACUGUAGCAUGUUCAAUGACUUUUUCUAUCAGGUGUAUGAGUUUGUUGGACUAAAUGAACUAUACUAUGCGGGUAGUCAUGGGAUGGACAUAAUGGCCCCUGUUCUACAAUCAGUAGUUGGUGACCAUAGACAUGGCUUUAGGUCUACUGACAAACAGGUAAUUGUUACAAGGAUCUCAUAAGACUAAUAUGUUUGAUUUGUUUUUUUGUUCUCUUAUCUAUUAUGUUAAUCUUCCUUGUGAAAAUUUCAGGGCAACGAUGUUAAUGUGUUCCAGCCCGCUGCAGAGUUUUUACCUAUGAUUGGCGAGGUUUGUUGAGUGUAUUAUCUGCAAUAGAUUGCUUUAAUGCAAUUAACCAGCAGUUCCCCUUUUCCUUCUCAAUUACUUGAUAGUUUAGCGUCUGGUUGCUUAUGCUUGAACAGGUUCUUAAAUCCCUAGAAGAAAGUACCAAAGACAUUGAAGGAUCUAAAGUUGAGAAUAACAAGUUCUGCGUCUCUGUACACUACCGCAAUGUAGAUGAGAAGGUAAUCUUGAUUAUACUGAGUUAGUGGGGUUUUCUUUUACUCUUAGUUUAGCUCAGCAGUGGGACUCUGGGACCAUUACAAAAUUAUUACUUCUUGUUUACCUCUAUUUACUUUUUGUUUCCAGAAUUGGGCUGUAGUUGCACAGCGGGUUCACGACAUUCUUAAAAACUACCCACGCCUGCGUUUGACUCAUGGACGGAAGGUAUGAAGCGUCAAAUCAAGAGUUCAACUUUAGUCUGUUAUUUUGCAUGUGUAAUUAUUCAUUUAUCUAAAUUUUUUGUUUCUGUAUUUGUAGGUUUUAGAGGUCCGACCAGUGAUAAAUUGGGAUAAAGGGAAGGCAGUCACAUUUUUACUUGAAUCUCUAGGUGAGUAUUGAGUAUUAUUUUCUCUUCAUAUUACUUACUGUUCUGAAGUGUAUUCUCAACAUCAUUGAAUUCCAUCUAAAUUGUCACUACCUUAAAUUUUGUAUUAGGGCUAAGCAAUUGUGACAAUGUGCUCCCAAUAUAUAUUGGAGACGACCGCACAGAUGAAGACGCAUUCAAGGUAAAUUUUUGAAAAGCUAUGAGGGAUGUAUCUGAUGGAUUUGAAUUCUAAUUCUCAAUUGUAAAUCAAGUAAAUCAAAUCUGAACUUGUAACAGGUUCUGAGGGAAGGAAACAAAGGUUAUGGUAUUUUAGUCUCUGCGGUGCCAAAGGAAAGCAAUGCGUAUUACUCACUAAGGGACCCCUCAGAGGUACAAGGUUUAUUGUGUUUAAAAAUUUGCCGUGGUGUAGGCUUCCUUCUUUUUGGUCUACACUUCCAUCAGAUAAGAGUUAGUUUCCUCACUCAAGCGUUGUAAUUUAUGUAGGUAAUGGAGUUUCUCAAGUCACUGGUGCUAUGGAGGAAGUCAAGUGCUCUAUAAAUAUGAGAUAUUAAUACAAUAGAGAAAGAGGAGACAGGAUCAUUGGUCUGAGUCAUACAUAUAUAUAUAUAUAUAUAUAUAUAUAUAUGAUUGAUGAAGCCAAAGCGAGCCAGUCGUUUUUUUUGACUUGUCUAGAAUGCAGAAGUAUACCAAGUUUUUGGAAUAGUAGGAUAUAUUGGAUAGAAGAAGACCUUUAUUAUAUCAUCAACGUCGAAGAUGUUGGUGGUGCCUAAUUGAGUCCGUCUGCCUCUGCUCAAAGCUUGCUUUAGUCUGUAAAUUCCUUGCGUUUAUUUAUAUCUGGGCAUCUUCUAUAUUUAUGCCGAAGGAACGCCAUCAUUAUUUCUUUCUUUAUUUCUUUGUGAAGGCGAGGUUCAUCCUCACUUCUGAGAUGUAUUAUUAUUCAUUUCUUCGUUUUCCUUUUCGAUUUUGAUUCAAGUAUACUGUCUCCCUCCUUGAUUAUUUUUAAUGAAAUCCCAUUGAGUUACAUAGAUGCUGAUAAACUGAUUCUUUCCCAUCGGUCAUGUUCAUAUGUUUUGGUAUCUACUCGAUACAUGAAAUACACUCAACCUUGCAGGCUCGACCCUCCUGUUGAGAAUGAGGCCAUGAGGGGCUGGAUCAGGAAAUAUAUCAUUAUAUGACUGAAACAUCCUCUUCUUGGUGACAGCCUGGUGAGUGAUCUGUGAUCGCUUGCCGCUGAAGGUUCCAGCUUCCUAUUCCUUGGCCUUUUUCUCAAACAUGAAAAGAACAUGUUGGUCUUGUAGUGAAACAUUAUUAUUAGAUCUAAAAGAGCCCCAAUCAGCAAAUUUUCCAGUUCAAUCUUCAGCAGUGAAAAAUAAUACAAGUCUAUCACUAUCAGAAUGACUGCAGAUCUCUCUAGGUAAUGCUUAGAGUUGUAAAGAAAAUUUGUUGUAGCUUUCAUGGCUACUGUGGAAAUCAUGAUCAGAAUUGACCCUAGUCUUGAUGAUAAAGUGGUUGUAUCACAUGUUGCCCAUAACCAACCAACCCCAAAGUCUCUAGUAUGAUCCGCACGCUUAAGAAAGGUGUACAUACCCGUUUAAAGAGUAAUAUAAGCAUGAAGGUUCACAAAAAGUGUGGAAGCAUGAAUCAUGAGUUCUGGUUAUUGUUCUGAUGUAAGCAUAUCAGAAGUUCAGUAUAGCUAACCACUCGAUCAUGAUGUGUGUGUGUUUUGUUUUGUGUGUGUGUGGAGAUAAACUUUAUGGAGUAAAGUACUAGUGAAUACAAUUCACGAAUCAUGAUGCAUAUAUAGUUCGAACCAAAAAAAUGAUGCACAUAUAGAGUUAUAUAUGUUUAUUACCCUCCCUUGUCUUACUUGAAAGUUAUAGGGAUUUGUUGUUUUUGUUGUGUUGAAAUGAAAUGAAGGAUAUAAAGAAAUCGGGAAAAAGAUGAAAGUUACAUUAUGACUAUUUUUAUUGAUUAAAAAAUAUAUAAUUAUAGAGUAUAUAUAGCUAGAUUGAAAAUAAAAAAAUGUCCGAACCUCCUUAUUCUAUAUCACUCCAUUCACUCCUACAAUCCUAACAUGUCUUAGUAGAAAAUCAUUUUUGUUGUUGCAUUAUAAGUUAAUUUGGGUAAAUGAAUGCUAUGAAGUUAUUUGUCGGAAAAGUGACUUACUUAAACCCUAGAUCGAUCAUCAUAAAAUGAAUCUGAUUUCUUUUGGAUAUAUAUUAAGGACCAGUGAUUCAGUUCGUGAACCGGUUUCAAAGAGCCACAUAACAUAAUUAUAUGUCAGAUUUGGCAUCUUAAUCUAAGGUUGCAAGUACUAAGCAAGUGAUUAAUUAGUACAUAAUCGACAAAACCCAACUGCAUAAAUCACAAUCUGGGACUGUCCCUUUUAAUAGCUAGUCAACCAUUCCAUAAAUCACAAUCUGGUUAAAACACACAAUAGAUUUGAUUUGACCUACCGUUCCAUCCCUCAAUGAACAUUCUAAAUACUCAUCAAGAGUACGUACUCUGAAGAAUGUUAGGUCUGGGGGUGGUGUUUUAUGUGAGAUUUGGAACAGAUCGAACAGAGGUUUAGUUUAUAACACACUUCAAGAUCUGAUCUCUCUCGUGUUCUUUUGUUCUAGAUCAGAGACGUACCACAUGUUGGCAUGUUCGAAUGCAUCAUAUGUGCAUAGUCAUUUAGGUCACUCUAAGUCAUUUUAUAUGCCAUCUCUUUGCCUUCCCAGGCUAGAACUUGUGAGUUCUACGGUGUCAUCGUUCUACUCUUUUAUUUACUUUCAGUAAAUCGACCAUAUAGAUCGGACAACACAAAUGGUGUAUAUGUUCAUCUGGUUAUCAAGUGACAAGAAAACAAUGUUCAAUCACCGUUAUAUGUUAAUCGUUGACGAGGUGACAGUACUAUUAGAUAUAUGUAGUUGAAUCCACUUCACUUGUUUGUUUCUUAAUUAAUAUAUAUGAAUUAUCAGAGAUUUCUUGGCCUUGAAACUAUUAUCGAUUUAGUCACCAUACAUAUGUUUAUUGGUAUGGAUCGUAUGGACCAUCCCCAUAUAUGUAGUCUACUUCAUGCAUGAUAUAUCAUCCGGUUCAUCCAGUAGUGUCCAGAAGUGACUCUGUGUUACACUGUUAGCCACGUUUUAGUGUAGACCUUUUUGAUGACAACCCUUUUCCGAUUAUUAUUAGCAGACAAAAGUCCUUCGCAUGAUUGUUCUAUUUCCAGUUUUUAUUUUCUUUUUUCAUAAUUUCGUUCACCAAUUGUCUUGGAGCAAACUGAUCAAUCCGUAGUCAAAACUUACAAGCUGAUCAUCCAAAUCCUAGUUAGCUUGUCCGACUUGGCUGUGUUAGGAUUAAAUUUGUGAAUGUAUAUAUAUGCAGUUCCCACAGUUAGAACUGCAAGAAUCCCGACGGGUUAAUUCAUAGUUCUAGUUAGCUAUGAGGAAGGAAAGGAUGGAAGAUCACUUUUUUAAUCGUAUCAAAGUUGAAGAGUGUGGCUUAAUGCUAGCUACACGUACACGUUUAUCAAACUCAAAACAACGUAUUUGUAUACUAUACGAAACCAAUUAAGUCAGAGACUUUUGAGCCAAGUUACCGUAACAGCUAGGUUUCCACUAUUGUUCAUGUGUAAUUGUUCUUGCUUGUUUACCAUGAACAAAAUGACGUUUCCUCGACCUUAAUAUAAACAAUAACUAGUAAAGCCAUAAGCGUUUUACAGUACUUUUACUAAGUUCAUUAGAUCUUACUUGAAGAAGGAACUAUAUGACGAUGUAAGUAGCAUUUUGCACAUACUUAGGGAAACUAAUGACUAUACUAACCAUUUUUAAGAAUUGUUUUCUUUUAAACUUAUGUUAUUCGACUCUAUUUACGAGAAUUAUAAAAUAAAAGAUAAUGUUGAACCAAGUGACUGACAAUUAUGUUUUUUCUUCUUUUAUAUUUAGUUUUUUAAUAUUAUAUAUUUAUUCCCUUUCCUAGAGGGAAGUCAUAUUGCUGAAGAUGAUCGAAUUGCUUACCUUAUUAAUGUAGCGUCAACAAAUUGUGGUGGAGGAAAACACGGAUGGUAACUUUUCCUAUUACAAUCUUGAAUUGACAUGACCAGCCAAGUCUUUUUCUUUCCCUAUCGGAUGUGGUAUACUCAGCUAAUUGUUAUAACUUUCACAUGCUUAACUAAUUAGUUUAUCAAGUUCACAUGUUUAACGAGAAAGAACAUUGUGGUACUUACUAAGCUUAAGUUUGGAAAAUAUAAGCCCUUAAUUGCUAUCACUCAAUCUAGACAUACUACAUUGGGUGCCAUUAUCAAAUCAUGAAGAAUAGAGAUUUUCCUUUUUUUUUUUUUUUGUUGCUACAAUACUUGUACAAACUAGCCAACAAACAUAAAGCUGUCAACCAAGACAACACAAUGUGGAUAAUUUCCUAAAAUAUAUAAUACAUACCAAGUCCUAGAGUUUUCUUAAACUUCACUUUUGUCCCCCCUUUCAUAAAAUCAAAAUUAAAAUACAUACCCCCAUAAUUUUGGUAAGUAAUUUCCACUUACCAAAAAAAUUUCAAUGACUUACCUUCCCCGAGCUCUCUCUUUUCUAUCUAAUUUCGACAACCACCAAUCCACACCCUAUAUAAUCCCCCCACUUUAUUCUUCUCCGCAGUCCAUAAUCAACACCACAACAAAUUUCACGACCAAACCAAACCACAGCAAUGGUCGACACUAGUGAUUCUUCCUACGCUCCCUUGCCGGGGGAGGAGCCAUUAUUUUCCGGUCAUUCCCCAACAAGUCUACGGCGACCCUGGAAGGGAUUCGCCGUGAUCCUCGCCUCCGUCGUGUUUCUCUUGUCAUUGGUUGCAUUAAUCAUCCACCAAGGCCCGUCAAAUGUAGUGCCGGAAAAACAAGAUGAACAUCAACAUCGUCCACAUUCAACUACUCCAGCUUCGGAAACUACGUCGUCGUGGGAGCCGAGAGGGAAGGCACUAGGAGUCUCGGCCAAGUCGAACCCGCCGGUCUCCGACGAGCUAUCGUAUAACUGGACCAAUGCUAUGUUUUCUUGGCAGAGAACAGCUUUUCACUUUCAACCAGAAGAGAAUUGGAUGAAUGGUAGGUACAAAGUACACCCCAGCUUCACAGCUAGGUUUCUUUCACUACUUUUUUCCAAUGAUUGAUUAGCUUUCCAGAAGCGACAGGAAUCCAAAUUCUAUGAUUUGUUAGUUUGAUUUGUCAUUAGUUUUUAAUUUGGUCGUGUUUUUCUGUUACUAAUCACAAUUCCUCGUCUUGUUUCAUCCCGUGUUGCUGCGGCGAAUCUGGCUUUCUUCUACUUCAUCAGAUCCUAAUGGUAAGUUUCCUUACUUGGCAAGUUGGUAUCAAUUAUUCGAGCACAUUAGUAAACAUCAUUAUUACUGCUUUUUCUUGGGCAAUUAUCUUGCAUUCACAUAAAAUUCUUGGUGCGUAUUUAUGAUAUUAUUACAAUUCAAUUUGAUAUAGCUUAUUCUUAGAUCAAAUGUAACAAAAAAAAAGUUGUGUUUGUAUAGUAGAUAUAGUAGUUGUUGUUGUUUUUUUUUUUUCCCGAUUAGACGAUGGAAGUUACAUGCUCAACUUGUUUUUGAAUUUUGCUUUAAUAUUAGUUUUUUUUAUAGUGAAAAUUAUGUUUUCCAGUAAUGUUUAGUAACAAACUUAAUUUACCAAAAAUUUAGUCCAAGAUACCAAGCAAGCCAAAUAUUUUUCUUUGUUUUUGGUAAAAGAAUAAAAACUAAUUUUUAUUCUUAUUGUAAUCUAUUGUAAUAUGUGGACCGGAAAAGACAUUAUUUAUGGAGUUGUGGACCAAUCAAGAGCCACAAUUGUCCCGGCCCAGUCCAGCUCAUGAUAAGGUGACUACCUAGACAGUCCGGCCCCACCUUGGAAGAUAUAACCAAUGACUCCUUGCCACUUGGCACAAAAUACCCAUAAUACCGGUGAUAGUGAUUUUAAAGUUUAAACAGAUUUGGAUAUUACAACAUGUGUGGUUUUAAAUUUGUCAUGUGCUCAUCUCCCACCGUCCACCCCUACCCACCCUUCAAAUUUUUCUUUUUUUGGCGAGGCACCCACCCUUCAAUUUGACCAACGUUAGGUGUUUGUCUGCCCCUUCAUGAUUCAUAAUCACACUCAGACAAAAAAAAAAUACAUAAUCACAUAACACACUGUUGCAAAAGCCUAAUCUUUUUCUUAAUAAUGAAAUUUUAACCCAAUGUUUUUAUUUUUUGUGUAGGUCCAUUGUUUCACAAGGGUUGGUAUCACCUGUUCUACCAGUACAAUCCGGACUCCGCCGUAUGGGGCAACAUCACGUGGGGCCACGCCGUCUCGACGGACCUGAUCCACUGGCUGUACCUCCCCCUCGCAAUGGUCGCCGAUCAGUGGUACGACGCAAACGGCGUGUGGAGCGGCUCCGCCACGCUACUCCCCGACGGUAACAUUGUAAUGUUGUACACUGGUGACACGGUCGAUGCGGUCCAAGUGCAAUGCCUAGCGUAUCCGGGCAACUUAUCUGAUCCCUUACUCUUGGAUUGGGUCAAGUACUCGGGUAACCCGGUGUUGACUCCCCCGCCCGGGAUUUUAUCCACGGAUUUCCGUGACCCCACCACCGCGUGGAUCGGACCCGACGGCAAGUGGCGCAUUACCAUUGGCUCCAAGAUCAAUACAACUGGAGUUUCGUUUGUGUACAUCACAGAGGAUUUCAUAAACUACAAUAUGUCGCAGGGUCUCCUUCAUGAGGUUCCGGGUACGGGUAUGUGGGAGUGCAUUGACUUUUACCCGGUUGCCAUAAACGGGUCGAAGGGUUUGGAUACGUCUGUGAAUGACCCGAGUGUGAAGCAUGUUCUAAAGGCUAGCUUGGACGACACGAAAGUGGAUCACUAUGCGCUUGGGACUUAUUUCAUAGAGAAUGAAACAUGGGUACCCGAUAACCCGGCUCUUGAUGUGGGUAUUGGGUUGAAGUAUGACUAUGGAAGAUACUAUGCAUCAAAGACAUUUUAUGAUCAGAACAAGGAGAGAAGGAUCCUUUGGGGUUGGAUCAAUGAGACCGAUACCGAGUCCGAUGACUUGGCUAAAGGUUGGGCAUCAGUUCAGGUAUGAUUUCUUCGCCUUAAAACUAUUUUGGUCAUAUAUAUUUACUGAUGAAACUGUGAAGCACACUCUAAUACACUAAUAAAUGUUACAGACUAUUCCGAGGAGUGUGUUGUUUGACAACAAAACCGGCACCAAUUUGAUCCAAUGGCCAGUGGAAGAGAUUGAGGAGUUGAGACUGAACAGCACAGACUUCAGUGAUGUUUUGGUUGAAGCAGGAGCAGUUGUUGAACUAGAUAUUGGAACAGCUACACAGGUUAGUUUGUCUAGUAAAACUUGGUUACAUAAGCAUUUUUUGUACAUGAUCAAUUAUAUUUACUAACAUAUACUUCUGUUCUGGUUUUGAUAUCAGUUGGACAUCUUUGUGGAGUUUGAGAUAGAGUCGUUGGGAUCAGAGACUUUGAAUAGCAGUGUUGGUUGUGGUGGGGGUGCUACAGAUAGAACCAGUUUCGGACCAUUUGGUAUUCUGGUCAUUGCAGAUGAGAUUCUUUCAGAGCUGACCCCUAUCUAUUUCAACAUUGCCAAUUCAACUGAAGGGGAUGUCACAACUUAUUUCUGCGCAGACGAAAGAAGGUUUGCAUCUUCAUCAACGUUGAGAUAUGCUUAUGAGUAAUUGCUGAAUUGUUAUGUGUAGUGGUUCUGAUGUAAGUUUCUUAUCAAUGCAGGUCAUCUAAGGCUCCUGAUGUCUUCAAACAAGUUUAUGGAAGUGAAGUGCCUGUGUUGGAGGGCGAAAAACACUUCGCGAGAGUAUUGGUGCGUAUCUUGAUCUCCAUAACAAGUUUAAAUGUUCUUAUGUAGUAUAUACGAAUGCCAAAUAGUCUAACAUCUUGUUGUCGGUCUUCACUAAUUUUUCCGUGUUGAAUGUUUACAGGUUGAUCAUUCGAUUGUAGAGAGUUUUGCGCAAGGAGGUAGGACAGUGAUUACAUCUAGAAUUUAUCCAACAGAAGCAAUCUAUGGAGCGGCGAAACUAUUUUUGUUUAACAAUGCAACAGGAUUGAAUGUCAAGGCCACACUGAAGAUUUGGCAGCUGAACUCAGCUUUCAUUCACCCUUUCCCAUUAGACCAGGUCCAAUGAGAGUACAAUUUUUUGUAGUGAAGCCAGUUGAACUGAAUAUCUGUGGUAACUUUCCCUCCUUCAUUAGGAGUUGCAUUCAUCCGAGAUUUGUCUACCAAGUACCAAGCAAUGACAAAUUUUCUGGCAAACAAAUGUAAAAUGUGGUCUGUAAUAUUCUUUGGGUGCCCAUUCUGUUUGUAACCAGGGUACGUAUGCCCUUCAGCAAUAUCUGUUGAUUUGGACCUUAUUGGUUCAAAUGAAUAAUCAUCUUCAAUGAAAUAUAGAUUUUGCCUAUUGAGAUCCUUUUUCCCUGCUGCAUUAGUCCCACUGAGCUAAAUUUCUUUCUGGUUUUUGUUUUAGGCCAAGAAAAUUUCUUCAGGGUCUUUAUAAAUAAAAUAAAUAAAAAUAAACCUCUUUCCAAAUCCACUCCUUACAUGUUAAAAACUCCUAAACAAACAUGGUAGUUUAGGAGAUGGUAGUUUCAACUUUACUUGUUACUGGUGCAGUUGGACAGCAGUCUUCUUCUGGUUCAACAUCCUCGCAAUCUCUGAAGUUGAAAAUAAAAUUAACUGUCAGCAGAGACUCAAAUAAUUCAUCAGACAAUAACAGAGGUACAUAAGUAAAACAAGAAAAUGUGUGAGGUAACUUACGAUGUAAAGCAGAAGUUAACUCCGAAAAAGUGGCUGCCCAUCAAGUCGACUUGAAAAACAGAUGAGUAUAGGGUUCUGAUUUCAGUUCUUCCUUCUUCACUGAGGAUUCGAAAUGUAGUCAUACAGAGAUAUUGAUGCACAGGAGAAUAUUUAUUCUCGCCUGUUUUUACAAGACAAAAGUCCAGCCCUCCUAAAUAAACCAAACUCUGAGUUAGAGGCCCCAACAUCGGUGGGUUUGAGGUUCUGCGUAUAUACAGAGGCAAAGGUGCGUCUAGGCAACAAGUACCAUCUGAAUCCCGCCAAAAAGGGAAUGCUAGGACUUCGCCACGAAAAAACGACAGUGAAUAUAUAACACCGUCUACAACCACAGCCCUCCCCAGAAAAGGAUAGUAAUCCGACUUGGCGACCUUCACUCGAUGCCAUGUUUGUGAACCGAUAUGAAACGCCAUCACCGCAUGAUCUUUCUGGUUAUACAUUGAGAUCAAAAUAUAGCCGUAACAGACGGCAUAACCUGCUACAUCCAUGCGUGGGUUUGGUAGAGUCUCGUACGGCCAAGAAGGCAGGGAUUUCCAGGAAUUAGUGGCGGAAUUAUAUCGCUCAAGGGAGGGGUGGUCUGGGAUGCGUAGGAAGCAUGUUGGAUGUGCAAAGUAAUAUAGCUCACCGUAUGCAGAUAUAAUAGUACCGUGUGGUUUUAAUGGUUUGGAUGGAGGGAAGUCAUGGAUUGAGGUUGCGUCUGGGUCUGUGUCAAAAACAAAGGAAUUGGUGGGUGUGAUGGGUUCGCCAUAAUAAGGGUUCUCCUUUGCCAUCAAAUAUAACUUGGAGCUAACUCUCACACCCUCAAACAAACAGUUCUUCGGCGGAUACAGAGGCUUAUCAAAAAACUUCAUUACUGGGACGAGUACAUGUGGAGGGGAUUCAGCUCCUGCAUCACCUGAAGCUUCACCGGAUUCUCCAUGCUCUUUAAGGUUUACUUUAUAUAGUGCACCGUGGUACUGACCACAAUAGAAACGCACCAAAACAAACAUGGAUUUAUACGUCUGCAGGUUUGCGUUAAUCUCCAUGGCCAAUCUGAACGUAGAAGCCAAGUUCACCUAAAGUAACAAAGCAAAUCGAUUUAAUUUCAACACAAUCCACUCUAAAUCGAGAGAAAUACAAACUCAAAUUAAAGAGAAAAAAACACAGAUGAUAUAUAGAUUUGUACAUAUAGAUUUCAAUCAAUGGUACAAAAUUGAUAAUCACUUAAUCAAACACCCCUAACUAUCAUGUUACAAUAUUUAUGAGUUCUGCAGGAGAGCAUCUGAUGCAAAACCAAAUGAUCAAUCAUGGAACCCAAACCAACAGAAACACAAAAGCUACGCCAUUCUGAUUCUCUCGUUGUUAUAUCAGGCACGGCCUAUGUAUAUAUAUGACGCAUCUCAUACUUGUUGUUUCCAAUCACAGCUAUUUCACAGAUCGGUAAAGACCUUACGUAGAUGAAAUAAAUAAUAAAAGCAAAUCCAACAAAGUAAUCCACCGGAAAAUGUAAACUGACCUCGGAACACGCGCUUUUGAUCGGUCGGGAAACAACCGAGAGGCUCUGCUAAGAUGAUGUGUUGGGAACCGCAAGGUUAAACAAUUAAUUGCUUCAAUGGAUCACUAGAAAAGCCCACAUCACAUAAGACUCCAAUCCAUAUCCAAAGGACAAAGGCAUUAUAUGUGUGACCCAAGAAGGCCCAAAUACGCGGCCCAGAAACCAAAGAGAGCCCCAAGCAGCCCAACCAAACCCUACACGCUCUCAAAACUACGGUAAUGUGCCCUCAAAUCUAGCUAAGAAUUGCCACUUUUGUCGGAAUGGAAAGGAACACCUGUUCUCUACCUGCUGCAACAUACAACUUCAGAUCUGCUUUAUUUUCUUUGUCCUCCAAUGUCAUCCUGGUACUUCCAACUUCACUUUUAACUGGUGCAGUUGGACAACAGUCUUCUUCUGGUUCAACAUCCUCACAAUCUCUGAAUUCCAAUAUAAUGUAACAGUCAGCAGAGAAUCAUUAGAAAAAUAGAAUACCAAUAUAUCAAUAGGAAUUGCAUUGGAAAAUAAGUAAAACAAGCACUUGUGUUAGGAAACUUACGGUGUAAAACUGAAGUUAACUUCCAGAAAGAAGCUGCCCAUCAAGUCGACUUGAUAAACAGAUGACCGUAGGGUUCUGAUUUCUGUUCCUCCUCCUUCACGUAUGAUCCGAAAUGUAGUGAUACAAAGAUAUUGAUGCUCAAGAGAAUAUUCAUUCUGGCCAGUCUGCACAAGACAAAAGUCUAGCCCCACUAAAUGAACCAAAUUCUGAGUUAUAUACUCCAACAUCGGGGAUGGUGGAUGCGCGGUAUUCCAUAUAUGCAAAGGCAAGGCUGCGCCUAGGUAACAAGUAUCAUCUGAAUCCCGCCAAAACGAGAAUGCUGAAAUUUCGUCCCGAAUCAAAGACAUGGAAUAUAUGGUACCGUCUACAACCGCGGCCCUCCCCACGAAAGGAUAAUGUCCGGAGUCGGUGACUUUCACUUCAUGCCAUUUUUUUUGUAGUAAUAUGAAAAGCCAUCACCCGGCGAUCUCUGCUGUUAGACAUCGAAAACAAAAUAAUGUCCGGAGUCAACCAAAAAGCUACCAUUGAAGUCCACAAUAUCAAGUUAUCAACCAACGUAACCAUCUGCCUAGUUCAAAAUUUAGUCAGUAGAUUAAGAAAUGAAUUUGGUGUUGAUAGGUAAGUAAUCUAGAAUCUGUGCUUACUUUAGAGCACUGAAACAACAGGGUAAUGAUGAUGACCACCCCAUAACAUAGAGGUAACAAAAAUGUUUUCUCUUUCCCCGUCCCAUCUUGAAUAGCCUCUGUUAAACCUAUUCCCAGGGCAUCCUCAGAAGCAUAUAUCCUGGGUCCUGGCUGUGACAAAAUGCCUGUAACAUACCCAUUUUCAGAUAUUUGCAGGAAAUUGGAGCAUACUACUCUGUAAAGGCUACUACAUAUAAAUGUUUCGCUACUAAAACUUACUUACAACACUAUCUAUAAGAGAGUCUCAUGCUGUUGUUCAACACAUGUUUUGCUACUAAAUAUGUUACAUUUAAAAGUUCGACCUGUUUACUUUACUGACAAAUAUCAACCCUUGAGAGUGUUUUAGUGUCACAGUUUACAACCAGCAAUGGCAGCUUGUGUUUGAUUAGUAGCUUGACUAAGAUGACAUAAUACAUUGUUAUAAAGCCAUUGAAUACUACGAGUAUUUGAAUAGUGAUUAGCAAAUUAAACUUAAGCACAGAAUACAAAACUACAUUCAAUACAGAUCAAAUGCCUAAUGCAAGUUUUCCAGCACGAAACAAAACUAACAAAUUGAAUUGCAUUUUCACAGCUUAGCGUAUUUGACAAACCUCGACAGAGCUGAUAUUGUUUCUAUAGAUACAAAACUACAAGGAUAUGUAUCACAAACUCUUCCUGGAAGGGAUCGAGUUGAGACUCCAAAUGUCAUAUUAUGUGGAGGAGGAAAAGGAUGUGCUCUCACUGCUCAGCAUAUGGAGACCUGGAGAUGGAAGAAAUAAAAAGUUCAAAUUUAAAACCGAGGAAAGUUUGACAAGCUUCAACAUGUUCCCUCGCUUUUCUACAUGUAUUUGAUAACAUUAUCAUCAGUGCGGAUGUUGUCUGAAAUUACAAGUGCGUACCUGGAAACCACUCGAUCGAGGAGUGUUGGUUUUCUCUUAUAUGUCUUCGCCAUUAAUUCGUACGCAAGGGAUGUGUGCUAUCUUGUGCCGGUAUCGUCCUUUGUAUCUCUGUUCAAGGAGAGGACAGUUGCGAAUAAAAAGUCCCUCAAGUGAAAGAGGCAGGCCUUCCUCCACUGGAAGGGUUGUAAGCUUCGGACAGUUCCAGAUCCAAAUACUUUCAAGAGAGGUGAGGAAUUGAAAGCCCUUGCUCAGUUUCUUUAGAUUUGGGAAGUGUCUAAUACUCAAAAUAACAAGAGAUCUGGGGAGCAGUAUCUCCGUCUCCUUUGAAUUCUCAGCAGCAGGUGGAAAUGACACCAGACCUCCAUCAUCUUCACCCCUCAGACGCAAUUCUCUCAAAGAGGUGAGUCUCUGCAACCCUUGAGAUUCCAUCAGUGCCUUACAGUUCGUGAUCUUGUUAAUUGUCAGUGAUGUUAGGUUGGUGGGGAAGGAAGUUGUAGUUGUCAAACCUUCAAAGUAAUCAAUUGUCAGUUUUUCAAGAUUACUGGUGUGCAUCAUGUCUCUCGCCAACUGUGCCACCUCCAAUUUAUCGCAAUUUUCGAGUUUGAAAACUCAUUAAAAACAAUCGGGUGAAGAUUUUUCAAGUUCGUCAGUUUUACAAUUGCUUAAAGAUCAUGAUUUACCAAUGUAAAGACUUUGGUGAACAUACAAGAAUAUGAGAUUUUUGUCAAAAAAAACGUGCUACAAUCCACAAUUUCAUAUGAAUAUCAUGAUUUCGAACAAUUUCUUGUUUUCUUAGAAAAAUCUCUGCAGUUGGUUCCUAUUGUAAAACUGGUGUUUAACAGUGUUCUCCGGAGCAAUUUCUACAAUAUAGAAGAGUCAAAACUUCUUUUUCUCAGACAGACUGGUUCAGUAAAACAUGGUACACUCGGCAUUGUGCAUGUUUCUAUAUCUAUUGUCUGUAUAUAUGAAUAUCUACUCACCUCGGUUUCUUUUUUACAACACUAAAUGACAGCAUAUUUCUCUACAUACACAAGAAUCAAUAAUGCCAUUUUGGUCUUUCUUCCUCUUCCUUUUCGGUCAACUCCCGGUACUGAUACCACACUGCUCCAGACUUACCCACUGGGAUUGGAGACCUAACAAAUAUUUCGACUGGCUUGGGAACAUGCACAGCUAAAUGCAGUUCCCUGCAGUUUUUUCUGAAUUUGAAUCAGAACUUCUUAAUAAUCUGCAAAUAGGUUCAAUACUAAUCCAACCUAAGCCUGAUAUAGCCGCAUCACCUGCUGGCCUGCAUACAAGGAAAAGAGAAGAAUUCUCAUAUUGAUUAACUAACUAACUUUAAGGAAAUAUCAGAAUUGCAAUACUCAUAUGAAUGAUUUACCUUUGCACAUCUUCAACUUUUAUUUGCAAUUGACGCUGAAAGUCGAGACCUCUCCAUUCAUCUGCUCUUUCUUUCCCAGUUGGAGGUGUCAGUAAGACUCCAACGUGUUUCUGCAACAUGGUAAAAGGCACAUUACAAUCACACCAAUCAAUUUAAAGAGAAAAAUAUCAUGCACACCUUUAAGGCCGGAAUGGUAUCACAUUUUCAUAGUGUCAGUAACAUAAAAGGGUUCACUUUAAUUGUUUUCAAAAUAUUUUAAAUGCUUCAUAAGUCAGCUGUACUUGGGAAAUAAGAAACUAUGAAUCUCAAGUGGGACCUUGAUUACCUGGUAAAAUUCAUCAGCCUCAUCAGUUGGUACCAUAUGAAUCUGAAGACUCUUUGGCCCAUAAAAUGUUAAACGUGUCUCAGGGAGAACCUGAAAUUAUCAAUAUUUGAUUACUCAGGAAACACCGUAUAUGCAUCAGCCAGAUAAAGAUCGUAUCUGAAGCUACAAGGCCAAACCAAACCUUUAAGACAUCUACUCUGACAAGACCUCCCCAGAAUAUUAAAUAGCCAUUCAAAUCAUUGGAAUUUCCUUGCCUGGUUGUUCCACUUCCAGAAACCUGAGAAUUCUGGAGGGAUAAGAAACAGUCAACAACUCAAAGAUACCAAAGGAAAAAACAAGAGAAAGAAAAGCAAUUAACUUACAGGCAAAGAUUGACCCCUAAGCCGACUUUGAGGAGCAAGAGAAGGUAGGUCUUCUGAAUGAACGACAGCGGCUUGCCUAUGAUGGAGAUGAACUCCAGGUGUGUCGUAUAAUUUCUGCAGAUAACAGAAUGUUACUGUACUAAACUCUGAAAGGCCAUUGGUAAUAUACAGAUACUAUAGCAUACCCCUCCUCCUAGGAAAGCGUUGAUUUGAAUUGAACCCAGGGUAGUUCCAGGGACAGCAGACUGUAUUGGUUUGUACUUUUGCGCUGAUGCAGCAACUGGAUCCUUUUCCGCCAUCAGUUCUGGUAUAACGGUAAUACAGUAUUAACAAAAGUCAGUUCAAAAGAAGAAUAACUCAUUUAGAAAAAUAAAUCCUGGCAUUUAUCUUUGUGAACAGAAUUGCUAUGAACUUCAUAGCAACAAAACAUAUCAGAUGUCAACUAAUGAACCUACUCAGUAAAGCACUGAUAAAAGCUGAUUUCCCAACAUUUGCGGAGCCCUGUAGCAAAAGGUAAGCUAAACUAUCAGAUGCAAACGCAUUUUUUAUAGGUCAAUGCAAACGCAUUUUUUAUAGGUCAAUCCAAGUAUGCACCAACUAGAGGAUAAUCGAUACAGAAGGCAAAACAAGAUAUGACAACUCUUUUGUUUUACUUCCUUUUACAAGCAUACUCAAAUAGAAAUCAGCAACAUGACUUGACUGGGCAUGAAAGAUUUUCAUGGAUAAAAUACCAGUAAAAAAGCAUGUGCUGAUUCAAAAUCUUAUUGAAGUUCCAUACAGUCAACAGGUUAAAAUCUCAAAUGUGAUUGAGAAUCAAAUCAAAUUCAUAGCAGUUCACAAGAAACCACACACUCCAAGAGCAAGGAUAAGUAGAAAAAAAAAUUCAGGUUCUGAGAAGUGUUAAAUUCACUUGACAAAACCAAUACUCAGUACUAAGUAAGUAAACUUCCAGAGUUCCCAUCAAGAAGCUCACCAUAACAUACACGUCCCGCCCCUGCACCAAAAAAUAACCAAAGAACUCAGUUUGAAGUUCCUGUAAAUGAUAGAUGUUCAUACUUAUUUCAUUCAACAGGAAGUACAAAUUUACAAUGUAUAAACCUAUUUCUUCUGUUGGCUAUAAUUAAAUAACUUAUAUCAAUGGCUUUAGUCAGAUCAAUGAAUUUCACACAUGAAGAUGCACAUACACUGAGAAGUAAAUACCUUUUUUUCCAUUUGAAUCUCUGAUGCAACUCCAGCUACUCCAACCAAAGACUUUGAACUCAUCAGAUGAAUGCUCAAAACACUGCAAAUAAGCAUCAAGGACACUCUUUUAAAAAGACACCAUAUAAAAUAAGUAAAAGCAAAGGCUAAGGAAACAAAUCUUACUUAAGCUUCUUCUUUACAGUGGCCUCUACAACCCCAUCACCAAUGCAAUUAAAAUCAGUCCCCUUGGGAAGUAAAUCAAUCUGUCAUUCGAAAAGCGCAAUUAGAAAGCUGCGUGCAUCAAUGUCAUGUUACAUAAGUUACAUAAGUACAAAUGAGAAGCUUAAUACCUUAGUAAUGACUAAUAUUAUGGGAUUCGCACCGGCCAGAUCACGCAUACGAGCCAAAAAGCUACCAUUGAAGUCCACAAUAUCAACCUACAUUCCAAUAACCAUUUAAAAACAACCUACAUUUCGCAACGCAACUCACUCAAAACUAAAUGCCAGCACGUAGUAUACCAAUUUAACUAUCAGCGCUCUCUCGUAGCCCAAAUGCGAGAGCUCUCAUUCUCGUAGCCCAAAUCCAAUUUAAUUAAUAUCAUAUUUUGUGGAGGAAAAGGAUGUGAUCAACAGUUUUGAGCAUUAGGAGACCUGCAGAUGGAAGAAAUAAAACGUUAGAUGUGGAAAACAGAGGAAAGUUUGACAAGCUUCAACAUGUUCCCUCGCUUUUCUACAUGUAUUUGAUAACAUUAUCAUCAGUGCGGAUGUUGUCUCAAAUUACAAGUGCGUACCUGGAAACGGCUCCAUCGAGGACUGUUGGUUUUCUCUUAUAUGUCUUCGAAAUUAAUUACUACCUCAGGGAUGUGUCCUAUCUUGUGCCGGUAUCGUCCUUUGUAUCUCUGUUCAAGGAGAGGACAGUUGUGAAUACGAAGUUCUGAAAGAGGCAGGCCUUCCUCCACUGGAAGGGUUGUAAGCUUCGGACAGUUCCUGAUCCGAAUACUUUCAAGAGAGGUGAGGAAUUGAAAGCCCUUGCUCAGUUUCUUUAGAUUUGGGAAGUCUACAAUACUCAAAACAACAAGAGAUCUGGGAAGCAGUAUCUCCGUCUCCUUUGAAUUCUCAGCAGCUGGUGGAAAUGACACCAGACCUCCAUCAUCUUCACCCCAUAGACACAAAUAUCUCAAAGAGGCGAGUCUCUGCAACCCUUGAGAUUCCAUCAGCGCCUUACAAUUCUUGAUCUUGUGAAUUUCCAGUGAUGUUAGGUUGGUGGGGAAGGAAGUUGUAGUUGUCAAACCUUCAAAGUAAUCAAUUUCCAAUGUCUCGGUGUGCAUCAUGUCUCUCGCCAACUGUGCCACCUCCAAUUUAUCGCAAUUUACGAUCCGUAUCAUUCUCGGCCACACAUUCAUUCUCGGCAACGAAAUAAGACUUUGACAAUACAAAACAGUUAAUGACUGAAGAUUGGUGAGGUGGCACAGUCCCUCGGGUAAGGAUUUCAGGUUUGGGCAGUGAAAGAUGAAAAUUUGUUCGACUUGCCAGCUGUCAUCGAGGAACCUCUCAGUUAUUAGCUCCAGCUGUCCACAACUCACUAUCCGAAGCUGUUUAAGAGACCUGGGUAAUUGACUUUUGCAUGAUAAGCACAUCAAAGAGGGACAAUUCUCUAUCGUCAAACUCUCAAGACAAGAAGAAGAAGAACCGUUACCCACCUCCUCCUCUUUCUCUAUUAAUGACUUCAAAUUCCCACAAUUCCUAAUCUUUAUUCUUUUUAGGCUGAGAGGAAUCUGGUAUUUUGCAAAGUGCAACAGAGAUUCGCAGUCAUGAAUCACUAUGUCUUGGAGACAAGGUGGCAGACCAACAUCCGGAAAAGAAACAAGACUUGAACAUUCACUUAUGUGCAGCUCUUGAAGACAAGGUGGCAGACCAACAUCCGGAAAAGAAACAAGACUUGAACAUUUAAUUAUUCGGAGCUCUUUAAGUGAUGUAAGGUGAUGAUAUCCUUCAGGCACCAUCAAAAGCCUUCCACACUCGAUUAACGCCAGACGUUCAAUCUUGCAAUCCAGGAUUUGCAAUUGCACCAACUGCUCUGCUUCAAUCCCUAGCUUUUCAACAAGGAUCGAGUUGUCUUCGAUACACAGACGACCAAGAGAAAUCAAGUGUUGCAGUAAUCUAUCCUCAUUUUGAAAGCAACAUGUAAGCUCCUCACAACCAGUGAUCCUCAACUCUUUAACAUUUUUCAAGCUUUUCAUGAACGCCACUGUUUGGAAUCUCAAUUCUGAUACAUUUGAAAAUGUCAAACUCUCUAGUAAGUCAAACUGAACUGUACUUGUGUCGUACACCACCAUCUUGCACUUUUCAAUGUUUGAUCGGUGAAGCUGUUUAUAUUUGGAUACUGAAACCACCAAUUCCUCACAUCCGCAAAUCUCAAGCUGUGCUAAUGAAUCAAGCUUCUCCGGUAAAUCACCCUCCAAUUUGGAGCAGUCCUUGAUGGAAAGCUUUUUCAGGCAAGAGAAAACUUCAACACCCUCACUUUGUUGGCAAUGAGACCACUUCUUCCAAUUUUUCAGAUAAUGCAACUCCAGGGUCUCUAAAACAUGAAACGGCAGGUCACUUUCUCCAUAAAACUCAACACCAACACUCUCAACUGCAUCCAUUUCUUGUACACAAAGUUCUUUGAGACAAGGCAACUGUCCGAAUGGUGGCAAGAAUUGACAAUGAUUACAACCUUCUAACCUUACCCGCACCAUUUUAGUGAAUGAAGGAUUCCCAAUCCAUGUUGAAAAUUUCAAUCCACCAUAACCUUUG